RNAcentral lists this long non-coding RNA (117214 nucleotides) under Solanum tuberosum (potato). RNAcentral describes it as "long non-coding RNA (STUB_LNC011105)". The stretch from base 34680 to 34752 matches the Rfam family "tRNA". The record is from RNAcentral. Lineage: Eukaryota; Viridiplantae; Streptophyta; Magnoliopsida; Solanales; Solanaceae.
UUAGCAUAUGUUCUGUAUUUGUAUAAUUUCGAUGAUGAUCAUGAGAUUGUUGGGAUAAUGGAGGCAUAUUAUUAUUGGGUAUUAGUCCGUGACUCCUACAUCUCGGAGUAGGAGGUCUUUGUGGUAUGACUAUACCAAGAUUCAGGGCCUUGCCUGAUGUUUUUGAAGCUUGACCGUGAGCAUAGAGUGGAAUCAAUGUUUUUUGUGAGACUUCAGCUUUGCAAACAGGGCAAUUUGGCUGUUGAUUAUCGAUGUUCUUUGAUGAAAUGGUCUUAAAAUGUAUCCAUUUGUAGAUGCAAGGCCAACAAUAGAGGUGACCACAUAAUGUAACAACAGGAUCAUGUACAACAUCCAGGCAAAUGUUGCACUCGAAACCUUCAGGUGAGUUUUCUUCAAGUUUAUCAAGAUCAAUUGUGUUCCAUUUUUCAAAGGAAAUAUCGCGUUGAUCAAAGGUAGUUUCUGGUAUUUGGUCUUGAAAAAUUUGUUGUAAGGCCAUAUUUGCCUCUUGGUAUUGAUUUAUUUUGAUAAUGGCAAGAUGAAGAAUGGUUAGAAUUCAGGUUUUUAAUACAAUUAGAAGUGAGUAUUUAUAAGGACAAGAAUAGUAGUUUGCAAACAAUGAUUCUUAAGGUUGUCACUUGUCAACAUCACAUUAUGUUAAAGGGGCAUGGCUAAAAAGAAAAGGCCCUACACAUUACUCCCUCCGUCCCUAUUUACUUGUCCAUAUUUCCUUUUUUGGUUGUCCCUAUUUAGUUGUCCAUUUUGACAAAUCAAGAAAGGACAACAAAUUUUUUCCUAUUAUACCCUUAUUUACACUUCUUGAAAAUUGUAAAAGUGUAUGUUGUUUCCCUCCAAUUUAUUUCACUUGAAUUCAAAUAAGUGGUUGUAAUUUUGAAGUGAAAAGUUGUCAGGGUAAAAUUGUAACUUCACUGUGCUAAUCAUUGUUGCCUUAAUCUGUGUGUCAUUUCUAAAGUGGACAACUAAAAAGGGACGGAGGGAGUAUUAAACAACACUAUAUCAUAUUAGUCAACUCAGUCUUAAUUUAUGCGGUACUGUUCGAUUUGAUAUAACGUUUAAUAAAGAAAAGAAGAUUUUUAAAAUAUGUGGUGUAAAAUAAAUAUUUAAUUAUUUGUGGUUAUAAAUCAUGUCAUUAAGAAUAAUAAAUGAAUUUAAAGUUUUUUCAAUCAUCAAAAUGUGAUAUUCUUUUUGUAUCAGACUGAAACAAAUGUGUUACAUAAAUUGGGACAAAUGAACUAUCACACACAUCAUAAUUAAGUGAUUUAAUGAAGUUGAAAAAUUAAUAUUAAUGGAUCAUGGUUAAGUGAGAGGAGUUUUGUGCAAACACAUCUUUUAUCUAUCUAUUUGAUUUAAACAAGUAUAAGUUUAUCAUAUUAGAAAUAUGAUUAGGACGUUAUAUUAGGCCCCAUGAUAAGAAUCUUAAUCUAGAAAAUAACUUUUAGUCAAUAAAAAGUAGCACUAGUUGCGUAAGUUCAAUUAUUAUUAUUAUUAUAUAUUAAUCUAAAAUUAUUAUAGAAGCUUCUAAACUCUAAAUUCAGAUCCAACUACGGAGUGAAUAUACAUAGUGGGGGAUGGGAGAAAGCAUAUGGACGGUGUGACAAAAAAAUAAAAGAAAUACUCCGUCCAUUCCAUUUGACUUACUAUUGUUUGACUUAAUACGAUGUAUAAGAGGAAAAAUGUAUCUUAGAAAAUUAUACGCUAAACAAUUUUUAUAUAAAUUGUAAAUCAUUUCAUUAAUUAAGGGUAGAUGGAGAAUUUUAAGUUAAAUUAUUUUCAAUUACAAUAAAAUGACAUUUUUAAAGACGGACUAUGAGAAUAGAGUGCCACGUAAAAUAAAACGAGAAAAUACUAUUUCCUUCGUCCCAUUUUAUAUGUCACCUUUUUUACUUUGCACUUGCAUUAAGAAAUAAUGUAACUUUAUCCUUCUACCCUUAUUUAAUGUUUUCUUAAGUCAACUUUAUGAAUAAAUGACAAGAUUAAUUAACUAUUCUAUCAAGGGUAUAAUAGACAAAAUAUGAUAAUUUAUGCAUAAAUUUUAAAUAGUGGCAAGUAUUGUGGUCCAUCUAUUUAUAGAAAGGAAUGACAUAUAAAAUGGGACGAAGUUGGUACUAUAUAUUACUCCCUCCGCUCCAUUUUAUAUGUCAUUCCUUUCUAUAAAUAGUUGGACCACAAUACUUGUCACUUUAUAAAAUUUAUGCAUAAAUUACCAUAUUUUUUCCUAUUAUACCCUUGAUAAAGUAGUUAAUUAAUCUUGAAAAUGUAUUCAUCAUUUAUUAUAAAGUUGACUUAAUAAAACAUUAAAUAAGAGUAAAAGAGUAAAAUUACAUUAUUUUUUAAUGCAAAUGUAAAGUAAAAAUGUGACGUAUAAAAUAGGACGGUGGGAGUACUACAAAAGAACGAGUCCGCACAUGAAUUUUAUAAGUACUACAUGUGUCUCGAAUUUAGCACCCUUUUGUCAACGUUUUAUAUUUUUGUUUACUUCGAAGCAAGUCUAUUCUAUACUAUCCAAUCAAUUAGGGGCGGCCGUUAAUCAGAUAUUAUUAGGCUAAAGAUAACAUAUUACUCUCUCUCUUUCUAAUUAUUUGUCUAUUUUUUUAAAUUGUUUUUAAUUACUUGUCCAUUUUGAUGAAUCAAGCAAGGACAAAUUUUUUUUACCUAUUAUACCCUCAAUUUAUUAUUUUGAAAAAGUAGAACUUCUUGAAAAUCUUAAGUUUUUAAUUUAUCCACUUCAUAAUUAAUAGGGGUAAAAUGGUAAACUCAUUAUGUCAAUAAUUGUUUUCUUAAUAUGUGUGUCAAUUAAAAAAUGGACAAAUAAUUAGGGAUAUAAAAAGUAUAUCGAAAUAAUAUAAUCAAAUAUUAUGCUAAAGAUAAUAAACAAAACUUUGAAGAAUUAUAAAUAAGAUAGCAAAAAAAUCCAUUAGAUAAUACAUAGUAAAUUAACAUGGUUCAACGAUUAGUGAUGGAAUCUGAAUAUGAUUCAAGAUUUUCACUAUUAAUGAAAUUCAAUAGGCAUAAUACAUAAAUGUGCUCUUUAACUUGACUUCAUUUUAUGUUUAUGUCCUUCAAUUUUGAGUAUGCACAAGUAUGCACUUAAACUUGUAUAAAAUUGAACAACUAGCCACAUGAGUUCUACAUGACACAAUACACUUAAGACACCAUGUAGGAUAAAAAAUGACAUGUAGGAUACCAUGUAGGACCUGUGUGUCUAUUUUUUCAACUUUAUACAAAUUUAAAUGUCUACUUGUGCACACUCGAAGUUGAAGGGCAUAAAUGUGAUUUGAAGCCAAGUUAAAGGGUAUAUUUAUGUAUUAUGCCUAUUCAAAAUAUGAAUAAGUAAACAUACAAAUUAGAUGACUACAAUAAUACAAAGACAAUUUUUUUUUUAAUUAUAUGUAUAAAUAGUAUAAUUUUCCAUUGAAGGUGGUUCAUUUGAUUCCUCACUUCUUUCCCUCAUUCAAAACUAUGCAAUAUGAGACUUUCAUGUCACAUGGAAUCCUUCCCUUUUUUUUUUUGGAAAUCUUAAUAGCUCAGUUAGUUGACUGACUAUUUGAAUUCUCGAUUCCCCAUACUGUAAUCCUCUACUCCCAAUUUUUUUUCAUUACCUUCCUCACAUAUGUAUAAUACCGAAUCCAAAGAUCUAAGAUGAGAGAAUUUUGGGAUAGCCGCCACUCCAACUAGCGCCAUGUAUUAUCCAUACUAGAUCUGACCAACUGUCCAUCCUACCCUCCUCUACGUUCUUGACAACCCAUUUUUGUCUUAGUCAAGUCUUUUAGUGGCACAUUUUGACCUUCUUUUCCAUUACUUAGAAAAAGUGAGCUAUUAUUCAGAUACAAAAUACUAUCAUUAUCGCCUAGAAAAUUAGACAUUCAACCCGUAAUCACAAUGAUCCAAUUACAAAUGCUUUGAACCCCCUAGGUCUAGACUGGCUCUGGCCCCUGGUUUUAUCACUUGACCUUCACAUGAGUAAACUCGUUGAUAUAGAGGAUUACAGUAUCGAUUUCUUUAAAAGAAAAAAAACCUUAAUUUAUAAAAGUUCAAAAGAUUUUAAUUCAAUGUUUGUAAGUCAGAAAACAUAUUUCAUAAAACGGUUGCAAAUCACAUCGAAUAAGUUCCAUUGAUUGGUGUAUGGUUCUCAUAAGGGAAGUAACAGCAGCAUAAGCCAUAUAUCCAAAAAAAGGGACUAUCUCUCACUCUCAGUAUGAAAAUGGACAAAUUAAUUGCCACAAGUUAUGUAAUUUUUCAGUUUUUAAGAAAACAGAAAAUGCAAAGAUCUUACUUUUACUAACUAUUUCCAUCACAUUUCCAGCUAGGUCCACUAACAGGAUAAAGUUGAAAGAUGUGAGGUCACUAACCUUAACUUCAAACAAAAGGUCUUUCUUUUAGUUAGGUUCAUAAUCCAUGUAGUGCUGUCUACUCUCUAGUCUCUAUCAACCAGCUCAAGUUUAAGGGUGUGUUUGGUAUGGAGGCCUAGUUUUUCUCAACUGUUCCAGUGUGAAUGUUUUAGUAAUAAAGCUGGUGCCACUGGAUUUAGCCUUUGCGAGGUAGAUUGAGGACUCCCAAGAAAGGAAACACACGUUAUAUAUGGAGCCUGUUCUGGCCUAUACAGUCUGUAUGUACAUAAAAUUUGGAGUAUCUAAAGAACCACUGACAAAUGAAAACGAACAAAAACAAACACUCACACAUUUGGCUUCUGAUUUGACAUUUAUUUCAGAGAACUGGCUAGUCCUCAGAAUACCUUAACUAUUUGAAUUGAUAAAAUCUUACCUAAAAUAAUAAUUGAAAAAAGUAUUUGAAAAAAUUAUUUAUAUAAAAGAUAUUUAGUAGUAAUUUACAUCUAAAAAUUUAGAAAAAUAAAUAAAUACAAAGAAAGUUUAUUUAGAUUUUAGGUCUUUAAUUAAAAUUUUGCUUUAGGCCUUGAAUCAUGUUGAGCCGCCCCUGAUCAUAUUACUCACUCAGUCAAAAUUUAUGUGGUACUAUUUGAUUUGAUGUAACAUUUAAUAAGGAAAUGGAGACUUUUAAAAUAUGUGGUGUAAAACAAAUCUUUAAUCAUUUGUGUUACAUAAAUUGGGACAGAUGAACUAUCACACACAUCAUAAUUAAGUGAUUUAAUGAAGUCGAAAGAUAAAUAUUAAUGGAUCAUGGUUAAGUGAGAGGAGUUUUGUGCAAACACGUCUUUUAUCUAUCUAUUUGAUUUAAACAAGUAUAAGUUUAUCAUAUUAGAAAUAUGAUUUAGGACCUUAUAUUAGGCCCCAUGAUAAGAAUCUUAAUCUAGAAAAUAACUUUUAGUCAAUAAAAAGUAGCACUAGUUGCGUACAAGGAGCUACCACUUGAUGAACUUCCACAGAACCACAUCCCAUAAGUUCAAUAGUUUUCACACUAUAAGAACUAGAUGUUUUUUUCCGCGUGAAUCAAUGAAAAUUGUAUGUUAUAAAACAUGAUUUUUUCCAUUUUAAUUUUAUUAAACUAAUUCACUAAGAAAAUCCAUAACAAAACAUAAGUUCUCAUUGAAAUACUGGAAAUAGUCACUUGGAAAUUUAGGAGUUUUAGGAAAUUAUGCAUCAAAACUUAGGAAGAGGCGGCUCAUAUAGAAAUUUGUUGUUAAAUCAUAAUAUAUACUUUUACAUAUGAAUAUCUUUAUUGAUUUGGUUAAAAUUAUAAUUAAAAAAAUUACAAUACAAUAUAUAUAGAUUCACAUAAAUUUAAUACUGUAAGUUAAUUAUUAUUAUUAUUAUAUAUUAAUCUAAGUUCAAUACAAUAUAUAUAGAUUCACAUAAAUAGAACUUUUUGAAAAUCUUGAGUUUUUAAAUCAUCAACUUCAUAAUUAAUAUGGGUAAAAUGGUAAACUCACUAUUUCAAUAAUUAUUUUCUUAAUAGGUGUGUCAAUUCAAAAAUGGACAAGUAAUUAGGGAUAGAAAAAGUAUAUCGAAAUAAUAUAAUCAAAUAUUAUGCUAAAGAUAAUAAACAAAACUUUGAACAAUUAAUGUAUGUAUGUACAUAAAAUUUGGAGCAUCUAAAGAACCACUGACAAAUAGCUAUACGAAAGAUCAUAUACAAUUAAAUUACAAGCCAUUUGCAAUCAUCCUGCCACCUUAUGCAGAAAAAAUGAAAACGAACAAAACAAACACUCACACAUUUGGCUUCUGAUUUGACAUUUAUUUCAGAGAACUGGCUAGUCCUCAGAACACCUUAACUACUCGCUGCAAGAAAAAAAAGGCAACAAAAAAUAGGAAAAAUAAUAUAGUUAGAUGUCCAUAAUUAAGGAACAGGAGAACAUUAUAGACAAGAAUGAGCAUGCAGGUAUAAGAACUUACACAUUAUUGCGGCAAGAAGCAACUUCUUUCUCAAAGUCAACAUCAUCAUCUUCAUAUGUUGUCACACUCUUGGGAAUGCUAGCCACAAAAGAUGAAAAAUGAAAUGUUACACUUCCCAAAAUCAAGAAUGAACAUGCAAGUAUAACAACUUACACAAUAUUGGAAGGAUUCGAAUCAAUCACAAUGACAGCAUCAAGAACUUUGUUGAAUUGGUGCAAUUUGACUUACUAAAGCUAUUAUCCAGAUCAUUAUCGAGUUUACUAUGAUGAUGAGUUGUCAAAAUCACAACAGUGAAACCUUGUUGAAAUCACUCAACAUCAAAGGGAGCUUUGGAUACAAGCAGUUAUCAUCAGUGAUGAAGAAGAAAAGAACUGUUCAUGUAAAAUGCAAAGCUUCGCUUUGGAUGUAUUGAUCUAAUGAGUAUUUAUACAAGAAAUGUAAAACUAAUGCUCUGUAACAAACUAACUGAAAGGAAUCUUCUAACUAACUACCAGCUGUACUAUACAACACUAUUAACUACCAGCUGUACUAUACAACACUAUUAACUACCAGCUGUACUAUACAACACUAUUAACUACCAGCUGUACUAUACAACACUAUUAACUACCAGCUGUACUAUACAACACUAUUAACUACCAGCUGUACUAUACAACACUAUUAACUACCAGCUGUACUAUACAACACUAUUAACUACCAGCUGUACUAUACAACACUAUUAACUACCAGCUGUACUAUACAACACUAUUAACUACCAGCUGUACUAUACAACACUAUUAACUACCAGCUGUACUAUACAACACUAUUAACUACCAGCUGUACUAUACAACACUAUUAACUACCAGCUGUACUAUACAACACUAUUAACUACCAGCUGUACUAUACAACACUAUUAACUACCAGCUGUACUAUACAACACUAUUAACUACCAGCUGUACUAUACAACACUAUUAACUACCAGCUGUACUAUACAACACUAUUAACUACCAGCUGUACUAUACAACACUAUUAACUACCAGCUGUACUAUACAACACUAUUAACUACCAGCUGUACUAUACAACACUAUUAACUACCAGCUGUACUAUACAACACUAUUAACUACCAGCUGUACUAUACAACACUAUUAACUACCAGCUGUACUAUACAACACUAUUAACUACCAGCUGUACUAUACAACACUAUUAACUACCAGCUGUACUAUACAACACUAUUAACUACCAGCUGUACUAUACAACACUAUUAACUACCAGCUGUACUAUACAACACUAUUAACUACCAGCUGUACUAUACAACACUAUUAACUACCAGCUGUACUAUACAACACUAUUAACUACCAGCUGUACUAUACAACACUAUUAACUACCAGCUGUACUAUACAGGUUUUCAGUGUUCUAGUAGAUCUUCUAGGUUGAACAGAUACAUCAAUGAGAGGGGCAACAUGAUCUGGAGCAGUAGGUGGUUCAAGUAUACGAGAAACUGUGGAUGGUAAAGGGGAAUGAAUUAUAGGUUCAGAUGGCAAAUUGCAUGUGACAGGUGAUUCUCCUAGAUUAGUUUGAGAAAUGCAAGUGGUAGGACUGUCAGUAUGAUCAAAAAUGUCAACAAAAGGAACAGAAGGCAACACAGAGGAAGGAAUGGAAGGAGUUGAAUUUGUAUGAAAAGGAAAAAUGUGUUCAUAGAAAACAACAUCCCUAGAUACAUGUAUCCUCUUUGUGGACAGGUUAAGGACCUUAUACCCUUUAGUCUCAAAAGGAUAUCCAAUGAAAAUAUGAGGUGUAGUCCUAGGUUCAAAUUUUGUUCUAUGGGGUAUUGGAACAGUAGGGUAACAUAAGCACCCAAAGCUUCUCAUAUGAGAAUAAAAAGGCUUUUUGUUAUAUAAUGCUUCAUAAGGGGACUUAUUUUUCAACACAGUUGAGGGAAGUCUAUUGAUUAUGUAUGUGGCACACAAAAGACAGUCUCCCCAAUACUUUAUAGGGAGUUUAGAUUGGAAUAAAAGUGCUCUAGCAGUUUCAAGAAGGUGUUUGUGUUUUCUUUCCACCACACCAUUUUGUUGUGGUGUGUAUGGACAUGUUUUCUGGUGGAGGAUACCUUUGGUUUGAAAGAAAAGAGUUGUUUCUGAAUUGACAAACUCUAAGCCAUUGUCUGUUCUGACUGUCUUCACAGUGGUGUUAAACUGAUUUUCUAUCAUGGCAACAAAAACUUUUAAUGCUUGUAGAGCAUUGCUCUUGGAGCUUAACAAUGUGGUCCAUGUAGAUCUACUGAAAUCAUCUACUAUUGUUAUAAAGUACUUAAAAUGGUCAUGUGUAGGUGUAUGGUAUGGACCCCAUAAAUCUACAUGUAACAACUCAAAAAUGAAAGAAGUUAAAAAGGUUCUUGUUUUGAAAGGGAGUCUUUCUUGUCUUGCCAUAGGACACACUGAACACAUAAAAGGUUGUUGUGGUGAAAAACUAGCAGGGAUAGUGGAAAUGCAUUUCAUUUUGACAAAAGGAACAUGUCCCAAUCUAUUGUGCCACAGAACAUUUACAUCAUUUUUAGCAUGUGCAUGAUGAUCUGAAACUGUAUUAUGCAAAUGAGAAGGAGAAGCUGAAAAAGAAGGAACAUGAGACUUGGCAACAAAAUCUUUAUUUCUCAAAGUCCCUUUUUCAGGGUAAUGUGUACAUUUAUGAUUUUUCAAACAAGAAGUAUCAGCUGCAACAUGAGGUUUACAAGAAUUGCACAAAUUUAAAUUGCUAGAUGAGGUUGAGUCUUUCAGAAACAAUGAACUAGAUGGGUUGGAACUCUGGACACACUUGGGACAUAGAAAAUAUAGGCCAUCUUCUGCCCUACCAAUCACCAGAGGCCUCUUCAUUGAAGGGCCCUGCAUGUAACAAGAAACUUUGUUGAAACUGACAGUGCAAUUUGAAUGUGAAGUCAUGGUAUGAAUAGAGAUUAAGUUGUAUUUGAAAGAUGGAAUGAAGAAAACCUUUUUCAAACUAAUCAUGGGAGACAAUGUCACACUACCAAUUUGUGUUACCUUAACCUUAUAUCCAUUUGGCAAUACUACUAAUAUUGGAUAUGGGAGUGUGAUAAUAUUGUGCAGUAAGGAUAUGUUGAAAGUCAUGUGGUUUGAUGCUCCAGAAUCUAGUAUCCAUGAGUCAGACUUAUUUUUGAAACAUUCACAUGAUAGUUUCCCAAAAUCAAUAGAGGAGGUGCAAACUAUAGUACCUGCAAAGUCAACAGUGCCACCAGUGAAAUUUGAGUUGCCAUCAUCACCAUGCUCUCCCUGAAAAUGUUGAAGCAUGUCCUGUACUCGACCAUAUUGAUCUUUGGUAAGAUUCACACUGUACAUCUCCUCAUGAUUAGAGUUAUCUGCAGAUCUCUUCCCAUUCUCGGAAUCUUGUGCACAAUGGACAUUUGCGACUGCCCUAUGUCCAUUACCUUUGAAUCUAAUGCCCUGUGGAUUAUGUCCUCCUCGAACAUUGUUAAAUCUCUGAUUUGAGCCUUGGUAGUCAUUGUUUCUCUGAUUUGGAACUGGUUUGUUGGAAUUUGGAUUAGAAGAUUGGCGGUUGAAGGUUUGGUUUGAAUUGGAUGGAUAACCAUGAAGCCGAUAACACUUCUCAACAAGAUGACCAGUUCUCUUGCAAUAGUCACAGAAUUUGUCUUUGUACUGCAGAGAGGGUUUGGAAGUAUUUGUGGUAUAAUUUGUUCUGUAAUUGGAGGAUCUGCUGGUACCAACAUGUAACGCAGCAGACUCCAAGUUUGGGUGAUUGGCUGGCUUAAUUUCCCUCUGUUGUUCCUCCUGAACCAACAAGGAAAAAGCUUGCGCCAUAGAUGGCAAAGGAUUCAUCAUGAGUAUGCUACCUCGCAUUAUUGUAUAAACUUCAUUAAGUCCCAUAAGGAACUGAAUCAAACGACGAUCCUGCUCCACCUUGUGAACAAUUGCCUUGGCUCCACAAGUGCAAUCACAGGUGCAAUUAGCUUUGGCACUCAAAGUACUAAGCUCUUCCCACAACUUCUUCAAUUUGGUAUAAUAUCCAGUUAUAUCCAGUGAUCCUUGAGACGUAUCAUUGAUCUCUUUUUGGAUUUGAUACAGCUUCGCUCCAUUAGUUUGUUCAUACCUGUCCUCCAAUUCUUUCCAUAGCUCUGUUGAAUCCACAACAUACUCAACACUAUCAGCGAUUUCCUUCGAUAAGGAGUUAAGAAUCCAUGAUGUGACAAUGUCAUCACACCUUUCCCAUUGCCUGUAGGUUGGAUCAAUGCUUUUGGGUCGCCGACAUUCUCCAUUGAUGAAACCCAAUUUGUUCUUCACUGACAGUGAUCGUAGAACACUCCUCCUCCAUGAUCGAUAACCAAUCCCGGCAAACGGUACUGACACCAACAUAGCACCCGGAUUAUCAGAUGGGUGCAUAUAUAAGGGAUGGUUGGAAUCAAUUGAGGGAACGACUGAAUCACUUGACUGAGCAGAAUCACCUGGAAUGGCCAUUUCUCAGCAAGAAAAAAAAUCGAAGAACACCACAGAAGAAAACAGAGAAAAUUUGAUCUGAAAACGAAUACAAAUCGAACACCUCAGAAUCGAGUGUGCUCUGAUACCAUGUCAAAAUCACAACAGUGAAACCUUGUUGAAAUCACUCAACAUCAAAGGGAGCUUUGGAUACAAGCAGUUAUCAUCAGUGAUGAAGAAGAAAAGAACUGUUCAUGUAAAAUGCAAAGCUUAGCUUUGGAUGUAUUGAUCUAAUGAGUAUUUAUACAAGAAAUGUAAAACUAAUGCUCUGUAACAAACUAACUGAAAGGAAUCUUCUAACUAACUACCAGCUGUACUAUACAACACUAUUAACUACCAGCUGUACUAUACAACACUAUUAACUACCAGCUGUACUAUACAACACUAUUAACUACCAGCUGUACUAUACAACACUAUUAACUACCAGCUGUACUAUACAACACUAUUAACUACCAGCUGUACUAUACAACACUAUUAACUACCAGCUGUACUAUACAACACUAUUAACUACCAGCUGUACUAUACAACACUAUUAACUACCAGCUGUACUAUACAACACUAUUAACUACCAGCUGUACUAUACAACACUAUUAACUACCAGCUGUACUAUACAACACUAUUAACUACCAGCUGUACUAUACAACACUAUUAACUACCAGCUGUACUAUACAACACUAUUAACUACCAGCUGUACUAUACAACACUAUUAACUACCAGCUGUACUAUACAACACUAUUAACUACCAGCUGUACUAUACAACACUAUUAACUACCAGCUGUACUAUACAACACUAUUAACUACCAGCUGUACUAUACAACACUAUUAACUACCAGCUGUACUAUACAACACUAUUAACUACCAGCUGUACUAUACAACACUAUUAACUACCAGCUGUACUAUACAACACUAUUAACUACCAGCUGUACUAUACAUAUAUAUACAUACAUCAUACAUUAUAAUCUCAACAAAUAUUAUUGUAAUUUGUAAAUCAAGGAAGAAGAUGUCUUACAAAAGCUCACGAGUAUGGACCUCGAUAGAGCUUCCAUAGUUGUCUUGAAUGUCCUGUUGAAUUUGCUUGGCGGAAUUCCCAACAGAUUGUUGACAUUUACUUAUAUCAAUAAGAGCAAGUGUGGUUAUAUCUGCAAAAUCUCGAGGGAUUGAAUCCAAAGAAUAGCAAUCUUUAAGAAAAAGUCGUUCAAGGUACGGAAAGUGAUCACUACUAGCUCUCCAGUACUGAAUGUAUACGUCAUCCAGAGACAAGAACUUCAAGUGAGGAAACCCUUCCUCAACUACUUCCCACUCCUUGCCUUUGAAGGCAUUGCCUGAUAGUUUAAGGACCUCGAGUUUGGGUAAUUUACCAACAAUGCUCAAAUCCCUCCAUGCCAAAGAGAAUUCUCCCCUAAAAGUUAAACUCUUAAGGUUUUGUGGAAAAGCAUCCGGAGGAGGUAAGAGUAAAGUUGGAACAUCAGUUGGAGGUGCAGUUCCCCCAAAAUCAGUCUCUUUGUGCAAUGUUUCCGUCUGAAACCUCAGAGGAUCUUGCGGAGUAUAACCUGAAGGUGCAGUGUUUUUUAGAAAGCAAGCAUCAUAUGGAUGAUAAAAACCAAAUGCCAAUUUCUCGAGCUGAUACAAGUAGCGAAAAUCAUACAGGUCCUUGUGAUUGCGAAAGUCCUCUCGGACGCCAAAUACUUCCAACUUCUUUAAAUUGGGAAAUAGUCUAAAAAAAGACUCUGUACAAUACCGAGGAUUCAAUUGAUUGAGGCAUUGCAAACUUUUCAAAACCAAUCUGUUCUCUGUAGGCUCAUGACUCCGCAAGUAAUUCCAGCCAAUACACAGCGUCCUCAAUUGUGGCAUCGUCAAAAUUUCCGAUGGUAAUAUGAAAGGAUAACCUACUUUACAGGUAAAUGGAGAGUAAAGUUUAAAAGUUUGCAGAUAGCAUAGGCUUGAUAUCGAUAGAGGAAUGUCUAUUAUUGAUGAGGGAACAGCUUCUUUCGAUCUUAGAUACUGCAGUACGCAAGGAUAAAAACACAAACAUAGGUAUCUCAAAUGAAUUAGAGAAAGUACUCCACUGGGAAAGAUUGGGCAUAUAGUCAAACCAAGAUCUAGUACUCUUACUAGCUUGAAAGACAAUUCCAGUGUGACGCAUUUGAAUAAACGCAACAUGAUAAUAGAAUGAGCCUCACUGUUAUGACACCAAGCCAAUUCUUCCUCCUUAUAGAUACUGAUCCGACUUCGACUCUUAAAGGAACACUGCAUGGAUUGUGCACAUGAAUUUUGAUCACUCUUUCCUCUGAUAACAUUCACAAAAUUCAUGUUUCGAGCUUCCUUCAAACAGAGUUCACGGGUCACAUCAUGCAUUCCACAUCUCUCUAUUUCCCCAUCAAAACUCAAAUUGUGGAUAGAAAUUAGACUUCUAUCUACAAGUUCGUUUAUACAUGUUUCUGCCACCUCUUCUAUGCUUUUUCCCUCUUCUUCAUUCAAAAACCCCUCUACAGCCCAUAACUCAACAAGUUCACUUACAUAAAUCUGUUCAUCCUCUGCGAAAAUUGCAAAAUACAGAAAACAUGGUUUUAGGUGAGAAGGCAAGUGAUGGUAACUCAAAGCCAACACUCUCAUGCAUUUUGCUUCAAGAUCUGUGCUUACCACCGAACUUACAUUCUCCGCAACAUUUUGCCACUCAUCCAAUGUUUUACUGAUUUUGGAGAGAAGUCCAGCAAUCACAGUAAUUGCUAGAGGUAACCCUCCACAUUUUAAUGUCAAUUUGUUUCCCAAUAUUUUCAAAUUCAGGAGAAUAAGAACCUUCUUUUUCAAAGAUCUUUUGUGUAGUAAAUUCCAACUUUCGUCAAAAUUCAUGAGGCGCAUAUGAUGAGGAGGCUUACCUGAACUAGCAUAUUCAGCCACUUCCACAUUCCGAGUAGUCAGGAGUAUUCUGCUUCCAUUAUUACAGUCUGGGAAACAUUGUUUUAUAUCAUCCCAAGCUUCUGUAGUCCAUAUGUCAUCAAUGACUACCAAGUAUCUCCUGCCUUUCAGAUUCUUUUGCAGUCGGUCCGCUAGCUGAUCAUCAGGUUCAUUACUUAUCGAAGAAAGAAGGCCUAGGAUUACAUUUCUCACACAAUACUCUUGUGAAACAGUUGCUUUUGCACGAAUAUCAAAUCGAGACAUAAUGUAAGGAUCACUAUAGAGUUUUGUAGCCAAAGUUGUUUUCCCGAUACCUCCCAUCCCUACGAUUGAGACAACUUCUAGUUCCCUUCCUCCUCUAGCAAGUUGAUCCAGCAUCAUCUCAAAUUCAUUUUCACGGCCAACCAUUAUAUUCUCGGGCUGCUCAACAUCAUGUUCAGGUAAACUGACAAGUGAGCUAGUUUGUGGUUUUAGAUCUUUCAUGCUGUCCGAUGCUGCCAUCCACUGUUUCACGGUGGAAUCAAUGCAUUCUAGUGCUUGUUCCAAGACGAAAAAAAUCUCCCACAUAGCCCUGCUUCUUUCCUCCAAAUUCUGUGCUAAAAAAACAUUUCUUGAUUCCGAGUCAACCAUAUCUUCUGUUGUGUAUGCUACCUCUACGAUUUCAACUUCCAAGAUUGUUAACUCCUCAUGAUCGCCCGUUAUAUUGCAGGAAUUCUCCAGAAUAGUUCUUAAAGAUUCGAGCUUUUCAUAAAACGGUUGCAAAUCACAUCCAGUAAGUUCCAUUGAUUGAUGUAUGGUUCUCAUAAGGGAAGUAACAGCAGCAUAAGCCAUAUAUCCAAAAAAUAGAAAUAUCUCUCAGUAUGAAAAUGGACAAAUUGCCACAAGUCAUGUAAUUUUUCAGUUUUUAAGAAAACAGAAAAUGCAAACUUCUUUCUUUUACUAGGCUAUUUCCAUCACAUUUCCAGCUAGGUCCACCAACCUUAUCAUCAUGUAGACAAAAGCAGAGACCAAAGUUUAAAAAAAGAAAAAGAAAAAAAGACAGGAUUCUAACUGGAAAAAGUUGAAAAAAUUGUGACCAUUCAUUAUUAUACCUUACACUUAUCUAUUCAUGAAUAUAAGUAGGGAAAAGGGCCUCAUUUACCCUGAACUUUAUGAUUUGGAGCUGAUAUACCCUUCGUUUAAAAAAUGGCCCAUAUAUGCCCCUGCCGUUAUAGAAAUGGCUCAUAUAUGCCCUUUUACUUAACAGACCAAUAUUUAAUAAAUUAAAAAUUCAUUUUUUUAUGCUUUAAUUUGAGAAAAUGCCACGUGGCUCUUAAAAUACCCCACCCAAUAACUUUUCAGCAACCCGACCCAAUGGAAACAAGAAAACCCCAUCCACUUAAAUAAACCUAGCCCAUUUCAUUCUAUGGUCUCCACUCUCCACGCUUGACAUGAAAAAAAAUCAAAAACUUGUUAGGGUUUCAGUGAGCUCUAAACUGGUGUCAAUCAAUCUCAAUAAUGUUCAAAAUCUUAGGUAAGUUUCGAUUAUUUUCUUCCCUUACUUUUAAGGAUCUUUGGUGUUAAAAAUAUAGGAUAAUAUGUGAGAAAAGUGUAACUGAGUUUACCUAUGUGCUUUUUUCCCUUGACAUUCUGUCCAUGGAAGGUUUAUUUUCUUACUUUAAUACAUGAGUUUAUCUCUUUGUAUGCAGAGAUGGAAUCUUUGUUGGUCCCCAAAUAGUUAUUGUCUCUUUAGUAUUUUAAAAUUCAUUUUUCAAUUGGUUGGUGUUAAAUGCUAAGGUGGUCCCUUAUGUCUAAUUUAUUUGCUUGUUGCAGGUGUCAUUUUGAAGGAUGAUUAAAGAAGUGGAUAUUGUUUUCAACUAUGGGGGCAAUAGGGUAAUUUCCCCAAAGCUGGGAUACAAUAUAAAAUUUCAGCACACCUGGUAUUAUAAUACUUGUUUAGUUUGUUAUGAUGAUUUGUGUGAAGCUUUUACUUCCAAAUUUGGAUUUAAGGAAGUUCAACAAUUGUUGGUCACUGGUCCAUCUGGUACUUAUUAUGUAAUUGAAGAUAAUGAUGGAAUUAAGACUCUUCAAUACUUAUUUUCAGAAGAUUUCAAGGUAAUAGAUUUUUAUGUUGUAGAUGCUCAUGAAUUGAGAGUUUCUGCCACAAAUAUCAUAUAUCAUACUGAAUCAUAUUUUGUGGAUGUUGAAGCUGCUACUGAUUGUGAUUAUAGUGAUGUGGAGGAUGAUACUCUUUAUGAAAUGGGCAACAGUUGUGAAAUUGUUGAAUAUAAUGUUGAAGUGCUUCAACGUUAUGAACAUGAAAAAGAGAGAGUUGUGAGUGAUGGACUUGAAAAGUUUAAGGAAUUAGAAAUGGGUAUGACCUUUAAGACUAUUGAAGAACCUAGGCAGGUUGUUAGCUUUUAUGCUAUGGCUAACAAAAGAAGUUGAAAACAAAAAAAAGUGAUACAAAAAGAAUUAGGUAUGAGUGUUAUGAUGGUUGUCCCUUUUACUCUUCUCAUAUCUAAGGAUGGAAAAUCAGCAACAUUUAAGGUUAAAACAUUGAUGCCUAAGCAUACUUGUGGUGAUUCUUUUGUUAAUCCAUUGGAAACUUAUCAUACCUUGGCUGUUUAUUUUAAGGAUGAAGUUCUAAACAAUCCAAAAUACCCUAUCAAAGACAUGAGAGGAAUUCUUGAAAAAAAAUUCAAGUUGAAUGUCUUAAGAUCCAAACUAAAAAGAGCCAAAACAAUGGCUCUUGAUAAGUUGGAAGGCAGUUUCAAAGAUGACUACAAUAGGCUUGAAGCUUAUGGUCAAGAACUUAGACAAUCAAAACCAGGAUCUGAUGUGGUAAUUAAUAUCUCUAAAGAUGCACUUGAACAAGGCAUAAGAAGGUUUUUGAGAAUGUACAUUUGCUUCAAGGCUUUGAAGGAUGGAUGGAAAAGUUUGAGACCUAUAAUUGGUUUAGAUGGAACAUUUCUCAAAGGAAAAUGCAAGGGGCAACUAUUAGUAGUUGUUGGGCAAGACUCAAUGAAUCAUUUUUACCCAAUAGCUUGGGCAGUGGUGGAAAAGGAAAACACAGGAACAUGGACAUGGUUUAUUCAGUUGUUGAGGAUUUCGUUGGAGUUGAAAAAUGGUGAAAUUGUGACAUUUAUGUCUGAUAUGCAAAAGGUAGCUUUAAAUUUAUUUUUUUCUUAUUGCCUUUUCUUUAUCUUUUUUCUUACUGUCAUUUUUUUCUUUUCGAUUUUUAGGGCCUGUUCGAUGUUGUAGCUAAUGUUGUUCCAGAAGCACACCAUAGGCUUUGUGUGAGGCAUAUAGAAUCUAACUGGUGCAAGAAAUGGCGGAGUGGUGAAGAGAAAAAAUUGAUGUGGUGGUGUGCAUGGAGUACCUAUGAAGAAGAAUUCAAAGACACUUUGAAGGUGUUAGGAAAGGUGGAUGAAGAUUCAGCUAGUGAUCUUCUUCAUUUUCCUGUAAUUAAAUGGUGUAGGGCAUAUUUUGAUACUCAAUGUAAGAAUCUAAUGGUAGACAAUAACUUCACCGAGUCUUUUAACAGUUGGAUACUUGAAGCUAGAAAAAACCAAUCAUUAAAAUGUUGGAGGAAAUUAGAGUGAAGGUGAUGAAUAUGUUGGUGAAAAAUGAAAAAAUGGGCAGAAAAUGGCAAAAUGAUAUCAGUCCAACGGUUAUGAAAUUGUACAAUGACUAUCGAUUAAUGGCUACCAAUGGUACAGUUGAGUUCAAUGGAGAUUAUGGUUAUGAAGUGAAAGAUGGAGACACGGACACACAUACAGUGAAUUUGGAGUUGAAGAAAUGCAUUUGUAGAUUAUGGGACUUGGGUGGAAUACCGUGUCACCAUACCAUCAAGGCAAUUUUGCAUAAAAAAACUGAACCAUUGGAAGAGGUUCAUUACUGCUAUAAAAAGAGGCUUAUUUGUUAACAUACAAGCACAAGUUGCAACCAGUUAGGGGUUCUCAAUUCUGGAAAAUCGACCAUGCUCAAGCAAUGGAACCUCCGAAAAUGGUAAAACUUGUUGGCAGACCCAAGAUGAAAAGAAAUAAAGAAACUGAUGAGGCAAGUUUGAGAAAGGGGGCAUGGAAGCAGUCAAGAAAAGGAACUCUAAUGAGAUGCAACAAAUGUGGUGAUUUCAAUCACAAUGCUAAGGGAUGUUAUAAGGUAAUCUCUCUUAAUAUUUUCUUUUAGUUAAAAGGUGUUCAUUUUUGUCAAUCACAACAAUUUUUUUGGGUUGAAGGACCAUGAAGACGGUGAAAGUUAGCAUGAAAGAAAUAAGAAAGCAAGCAAUCAAAAGUCGAGGAGUUGAGCAAGAAAAAACUCUAUUGUAGAGUAUGAGACAGAAGCUUCACCCCAACAAUUUCAGACAAAACAGUCGACUGCCUAUGGUCCUAAGAUCGGGAAUGAUGAAGAUCCAGCAUUGCGACCAAUGGUAAUUUUUGAGACAGAAACAAGGAUGGAAAAGAGGUCUCGAAUAUUUGAAGGAAUAGGAAGCAGGAAGAUUGUUUUUUAAGGGGAUGCAAGAGGAAUCUCGACCCCUUCGGAUCUACCAUAUUCACCAAAGAAGACUACUUGAAAGGGCAAGAAAGCAGUCACAAUUGAUCAGUUACAAGCUGAAGUAAAGAAGAAAAGAGUGAAACAAAUGGCAAUGAAGGGCAAAUGGCCCGUGGAUACUAAUGAUGAUCUAGUUUAGAAGUCGUUGUGUGGUUGAUCAUUUUUUGACAUUAGGUGGUUAUUUUGGAUAGUAUUAUAUGAUGUAAAUCCAAACAAUUUCUUUUGUUGCUAACCAUAUAAUAGAUAUUUGUGGUUGGUUUAACCACCAGAAGGUUAAUCUUCUUUUGCUGGUAACUUGUGUUAAGAUAAUUUUAUAAAAAUUGAGAAUUAUAUUCUACUGCAUCUGGUGUAAUUAUUGUUGAUUGUAUUUUGUGUGAGAGAGUAAAUUUAUGUGCUUUGAUUGGUAGCGUUGUUUAAAUUACGACUAAAAUUAGCAUUGUUCACGAUCUUCUUUGAACUAGUAGAUAGCUCACAGAUGAUUCAACGUGGAAUGUCAAGGAGUCAUUGAUGAUUCUCUAUCAUUUUACCUCGAGCUUUUGAUUCUCUUUCAUUACUAAAUAAUACAAAAGUUGACAAAAUCACUACACAAGACCAAAUAAGGUGAAUCAAAAGUUGUCAUAAAUCAAUACAAUGAACCAAAAGUUAAUUACACAUAAGUCACAAAACUGCAAAUGAGAUGAAAAAGUUUAGUCGCAUAAUAUGGCCUUGGAAUCUAUCAUUUAAAUUCCCAGAAAAGAUAUGAUCCUACAAAGUACUACUAUAUUUCCAAAUUUUACAAACUUUUUGCCUCAGUGAGUGAAGAAAAGAACCCAACUAAGCAACUGAAUGUAAAAUAACUUCAAACUUUUCUCUCGAAUUUUAAGAUUUCAUAAACGCAAUGACUCCGUCCACAGUUCGUUCGCGAACACUCUGAAUAUGUGGUGUGACGGCCAAUAAAACUUCAGCAGACUCUUGAUUUUCACUUGUAGCUGCAAGAUGUAUUAGCAUGUAAUUAUCACUGACAGUAUCCCCUGCCUUUACCACACAACGAAAGAAUGAACUGCCGCAACUGCUAGCAGAGGACACAUAUUAUCAUCUCCUAUUUGAGCAUCAAAAUUAGCAUGGUGUUUUAGCAAAACCGUAAUAGCAUCUUCCUGGCUGCGGUCUACAACGCAUAUUAAUGGUGUUCCAACAUCAACAUCACUUCGCAAAUCAACGUCUACACCUAUCGGUAGAAACAAUUUAACCAAUUCAAUAUGCCCAUUUCCUGCAUCAUUAAAUGGACAAAAUAAAACACAUAAGAAUAUCACUUCAAGCAAAGAAUAUCAAGAACAAAUUUACCCUAUAACUCUAACACCAAAGGUCCUUAAAAGAAAAGGGAAGAAAGUAAUCGAAACUUACAUAAGAUUUUGAACAAUAUUGAGACUGAUUGACGCCAAUUUAGAGCUCACCGAAACCUACCAACAUUUUGAUUUUUUUUCUUGUUGAGCGUGGAGAGUGGAGACCAUAGAAUUAAAUGGGUUAAAGUUUAUUUAAGUGGGUGGGGUUUUCUUGUUUUCAAUUGGGUCGGGUUGGUGAAAAGUUAUUGGGUGGGGUAUUUUAAGAGCGAUGUGGCAUUUUCUCAAAUUAAAGCAUAAAAAAAUGAAAUUUAAUUUAUUAAAUAUUGGUCUGUUAAAUAAAAGGGCAUAUAUGGGCCAUUUCUAUAACGGCAGGGACAUAUAUGAGCCAUUUUUUAAACGGAGGGUAUAUCAGCUCCAAAUCAUAAAGUUGAGGGGUAAAUCAGGCCCUUUUCCCAUAUAAGUAUGUUUCUUACAUACAAGAGAUUGAUGAUUUUAAUUCCAUUGAAAGCUACUUAGUAGAAUUUUCCAAAUCAAAGAGAGAGAAAUAUUAAGAUCCAAGUAGGAAUUUCUCUAUUCCUAGUUCGAUUCAAUUAACCAAGCAUAAAUAUCUCUUAAUAUACAAGAGAAGUUUAGACUCUAAAAGUCAAAUCAACAAAAUAUUGAUGGGCUAACACAUGAAAAACUACUGAGAAAAUCGCCUAAUUCCUGUAAAUUGUCCCUUAAAUACCCAAAAUGGACUCUAAAAAUUGUUAGAAUGUACGUAUUGCUCCCCCAACUCCCUACUGAGGGUUUUGUAAAGAUUUCGAUUAGAAAUCGUCCAUAAGUCAUAUCACUAAUAUAUUAAUGGUUAACACACACGACAAACUGAGAAAAUUAUCUAAUUUCUUUAAAUUGGCCCCUAAAUGCCUAAAAUGGACUCUAAAAGUUGUGAGACUGUACAUACUGCUCCCCCGACUCCCUACAGAGGGUUUCGUAAAUGUGUAGCAAAGAAAUCGUCUGAAAGUCAUAUCACUGAAAUAUUAAUGGGCUAACACAUACAAAACACUGAGAAAGUCGCCUAAUUCCUGUAAAUUGGAAUUCUAAAAUUGUGAGACUAUACGUAUUGCUCCAUUAACUCUCUAUGGAGGGUUCCGUAAAGAUUUCACAAAGAAAUUAUUCGAAAGACUUAUCACCAAAAUAUUCAUGGGCUAAUACAGACGAAUUGAGAAGAUCACCUAUUUCCUAUAAAUUAGCCGUGGGAUACCUAAAAUGGACUCUAAAAAUUGUGAGACUAACUCCCUACGAAGGGUUCCAUAUAAGUUUCGCAAAAGAAAUCAUUCAGAAAUCAUAUCACCAAAAUAUUUAUGGAUUAACACACACGAAAAAUUGAAAAAAUCGCCUAAUUCUUUUAAAUUGGCCCCUUAAUCCCUUUACGAGAUUAAUUAGAGAUGCGCGAGCGCGCGCACACACACACAUACACACACAUAUAUAUAUAUAAAGAAGAGAAGCUAGUUGUAGGGUUUGAUUGCCAUAAAAUACUUAGACAAUGUGGGUGACGCACAUUGUGAAUCUCAUGAAUUGACUCGUGGAUCAUUGUGAUAUUGGCCCAUGAAACUUAGUCUUAGGGAAAGAUUGUUGGGUGUGAGAUUGAAUUUCCACAUUUGAGAAGCUAUAUAUAAGGUGUAGGAUCUCUUAAGGGAAAAUUUCAUGUAUGGAAAACGUAUUUAAUGAAAUAACGCUCUAUAGGUAUAGUUUAGUAAUUACAUUCAAUGGGUAGUUUAGUUUGCUAUGAAGCAUUAAUUUUGUAUAUAAUGUUUUUUUUAAAAAUAAUUUAUACAAUAUUUUUUUUAAUAAAUGGAUACAUGAGCGCUAAAUACAGUAACAAAAAAUUUACAUAAUCCCAUGAUUCAAGCUAAUCGUUCAAAAUCAAAUAUUUUUCCAAAAAAGAGUUCUAUAGCAAUAGAAACACCAUAACAGCUGGUUUCCUCAAACGACUGAAGCAUACGAUUAAUCAAUAUUCUUGUAUAUUCAACACCAGGUAAGCGUUUCUUUCAAGGAAACUUCAUGUUUUGAACGGCAAGAAAGUAUACAAUUGAUUUGUAUAGUAUAUAAUUGAAAUUUUGGAAAACGGAUUAUUUUUGUUUUGUUCAUUCUAAUGGUUCGCAAUAAUUUAAUUUUGUUUAUACAAUAUUAGAUAAAUUUUAUAUUAACAAUUCAAUUCUAAUUUUUUGUUCAAAAAAUUGAAUGACACAAUUUGUAUAUAUGAAGUGUAUAUGAUUCGACAACAAUGGUGUGCUUUAAUUUGCUAAUUUUUGUUGUUGUUGUUGUUGUAAUUUUACUGUAUAAAUAAGUUAUACGAUUUGUAUAUUGUUUAAUUGGUAAUAUUGUAUAUAUGUAAGUAAUUGUAUACAAUUAUUAUACCAUAAAUAAGUGUAAGUAGUUGUAUAAAAUUACUAUGACAAUUAUAUAUAUGAAUUGUAUAUGAUUCAAUAAAAAAGGUGUGCUUUAAUUUGAUAAUUUUUGGUGUAACCUAAUGUUGACACCCAUUUUUGGACCUCCACAAUAUAUAUUAAUUCUCGAGCUUCUUAGAUUUCAAAUGAUUUGGAGUUAUUAGUUUAUAAAAUUUAAAUAUUUUUUAAAAAGAUUUUUGAAGCGAUUUAGUCGGCUUUAUAAUAUUUUAGAUAAUAGAUGGAUUUUACAUAAUUACUUAUAUAAUCAACGUGUAUUAUUAGCAUUUGGAAAUCAUCUUGAAAUAUUUUGCAUUUUUUAAAAUUAACUAUGUUAUUAAUUUAGUUUAGUAUAAAUUAAAGUUAUGAUUCUGAGUUAUUUGAAUUAGUUAGUUUAUAAUUAAAUUGUUUAUUUUAUUUUUGUUAAGAUUAAGAAGCUUGUUAAUUAAUUAAUAACAAUUCAUCUUAUUUAGACUUUGGCCGAAUUCACCAAUUAAUCCCAAUUUGGCUAAGUUUUAACUCUGAAUGGUUAUAAUCGUAAUCCAUUUAGCCCUUCUUGAUAUUGCAAUUUUAACCAUUCUCUAACCUUACCUCUAGCUUAUUUAAAUAAUCACCAAGGGGCUUUUAUCCUUGAUUACAUUUUCAGCAACACCCAAGCCCAUUUUUCCAUCAGCGUACAAUUAUUUCCAGCCAAUAAACUCCAGCAGUCCAUACCCACCCUCCAAUUCCCAUUACAGCAUACAACAAUUCCCAGUGAUUCAAACAUACACGUAGAGCAGCACCAACCGACCCCAUCCCCUUUAUUUCGCUCAUCUCCUCGUCCGUUUCAAAGUAAUAUUCUGGUGUUUGGAAGCAUCUGUUCUGUGAUUGUUCGUUGUUAUUUUUCAUAGGAUUGAUGAUGUUUUUAACGUAUUAAAUGUACACUUAAUUGUUUCCAUCAGUUAGUCCUAAUAUGGGGUCAAGUUCCGGAGAGCCAUUAAAGUUUUAUUUUGUUGUAUUUCUUUUCUUGAGCCUGCUCCUCGAACAUCGUCGAAUCUAUGUUCUUUUCGCUUUAGCAUCUUGAAUAUUGAAAGUUCCAUUCACUUUAUUACUGCUAAUGUUCUCUGUUCUUCCUUUGAGAUGAGGAAAAAUCUUCCGUACAAAUUGUAUGUUGUUGUAGCUGCUGUUCGGUAGGCAUAAGUGGUUAUUUUCUUCUUGAUUAAAUUUCAUGGCCGUCCUAUUUUGCAUUGCGAAUGUGUAACUGUUUAUUUGGUUUUUAUUCCUCCUCAUUUUCAGCAUAUUUCCAUAAUUUUGGUUGAGUGUAUUGCUUAUUCUAACUUGAAGCUAAAUGUUUAUAAUAAUUUCGUUGGUUGUCUGCUUAAAUGUGGGCUGAAUAUCAAUACUAUUCUUUCUAAAUGUUAAGUUAUACUCGUUCUUUUUGGUUUUUUUUCUUCCGAGGAUUUGCUUUCGACUAUAGUUCUGUUUCUUUUGUGCGUGUGUUUGGAGGUCGGCAUUUGGUUUUAUGCCAGCCUAGUUUUACAUAUCUCUUUUCACUUUCAUGGAAACCUUUGAUGUUAUAGCUCUACUUGUCGGAUUAGGUUUAAAAAAAUGAAAUGCAUCUUUGUUCUUCUCAAAUUUGUUCCAUGUUUUCUUGGUUUUUUAAAAAAAAUGGUAUAGCUGAUUAAAAUAGCAUUAGUUUAGCUCGAGAUUUCCUUAAUACCGUGUUGCUAUUUAUUCUAUCUCGCAUCUUAUAACUCGAUAUUAUUUGUCUUGGGUUCUUUGUGGCUUUUAUUUCGAAAGUUUUGCCUUGCUAUCGUGUCAAUUUUCGUGCUUGUUGUUUGUAGCUGCUUGAGAAAAUAUGAAUGACCACUUUAUAAAAAAAAAAAAAAAAGGAGUUAGAAUCAACAAUGGGUUGCUGUUUGAAUAAUUGACCUUCAGCUUAUUUUGCUCAAAUGUUAAGUCACGUAUGUUCCCAAACACGGUUCGUAUACAAUGGUACACGUGAUGUGUAUACACAGAUUUCUUGAAGGAAAAUGGGGGGCAAAAGCCCAAGGAAAUUUCAGCAAGUCCAAGAUUUGGGCCUAAUUUGAUAUUCCUCUCCUUGCUCUUAUUUAUUUUGUUAUAUUUGACUAACGUUUUGAUUAUCUUAUGAUUUAAUCUAAUUAAAUUUUCCAAGAAUGGUCAUUUCAUUUUAUUUUUCGAAUUAAAGUAUAUAUAUUUUAUUACUUAGUUUUUAUUUUAAUAUUUGUCUUGUUGACAUUUUAUGAACUAUUUCCCUUUAGAAAAUUCUCCUUUAGUUCAUUCCCCCUUAAGAUAAAUAAAAUGAUAAAAAUAAUAGUAAUAAAUAAAUGAGUUCAUUUACUUAGCUAAAUUUUUUUUUAAAUAAGUUAAAAUAAAUGAGUUCUUUUACUUAGUUAAAAUUUCAAAAAUUAGUCAAAGUCGUUAUGAGCUCUUUUAUACUUAGUUAAAAUUUCAAAAGUUAGUCAAAGUCAUUUUUAGUCAAAUCGUCGGUCAACCGCAAGUUAGCGGACAUUUUGAGGGCCUAACACCUUCUCGGAAUGUACAUUGAACUCGAACCCUUUUUCAAUUGAUUUUAUCUGUUUGAGUAUUUUGAAAAUCUUAAGUUUUUUCUUGAGUUUUACUAAAAAAAUUAAGUGGCGACUCUAUUCUUUUGGAAAUCGAUUUCUCUUAAACUACAAGUUUAAUCGAUUUUUUCGAAAUCCUAGUCAUUUUUCUUUUAUAUAUAUUUUCGAGUAAAACACCUAACUGUAUAUAUAAUAAUGUAAGGUUUGUAUAUUGUUUAAUUCAUACUAUUGUAUAUAACUUACAAAAUAUACAAAUAUAUAUAUAUAAUACAAUUAUGAUUUAAGCAAAAAAUAUACAUAUACUUCAAGCAAUUUUGUAUAUAACUAACAAAAUAUACAAAUAUCUAAAUACAAUUGUGAUUUAAGCAGAAAAUAUACAUAUAUUUCAAACAAUUUUGUAUAUAACUAACAAAAUAUACAAAUAUCUACAUACAAUUGUGUUUUAAGCAAAUAUUUGAUGUUCUUGAUCUAAUGAAGGAGACACAACCUCCUCAGAAUCACUAUCUUUGGCUUUCCUCGUACUUCCUCCUUCAACAACUUUAAUGUCGCUUGCCUUAACAUUGUUGAUGACUUCUGGGAGUGCAAUUGGGUCAUUUUUUUUCUUGGAUCUCAAUUCUUCAAUAGAUUUUUCCUGUAGAAUUUGUUUAGAUUUUUCCAUAGACCCUGCAUUGACUCCAAAAUCUUGAGUUAAACCGAGUGAAAAUGAAGGUUGAUUAUUAAAAACUUUGACAUGCAAUGACGUACCUCUCGCAAUCCUCUUAGAUGGAGUCGAAUCAUCCAUUUUAUUUUUUGUAAAAAUGAUAUAUAAUAAGUAAUGAGGGAAUUUUGAGAAAAAAUUAUCCAAACACUAACAUGCACAAUACAUAUACAAUUGAAAAAUGAAAAAGAAAAAAAGAAAAGAGGUUCACCUACGAUUUAUGCGGUUACCUGCAAAAAGUAAAACACGAUUGGAGGGAGAAAGUGAAAUUCGAAUUUCAAAUUGAUUUUAGGAGAAAAACAGGAAAUGAGGAGAGGAGAGGAGAGGAGAGGAGAGGAGAGAUAAAUUUAAUUUUGUAUAAAAUCAUAUACAAAGACCGAUGAAGGCUUUGUUGAUUCGGUAUACAAAGUGGUGGUGGGUCUCAUUAUUAAUGGCGAAAAAACUGAAAUUGUAUUUACUAACAGUAAAUAAAUUAAAUUAUACCCUCAAUGACUAAUAGCCUAGUAAUAUUUGCCAACUCACUUAAUUUUUCCAUAAUGUGUGAGACUUUUUGAAAGAAAAAAAAAUUGUGCUAACUUGGUUAAAGUGAACAAUUAUCAUACUCUAUUUAGAAUAUCUUUGGGCUAAUUUAUCCGAACAAAAACAAAUAAGUCCCCAAUCUAAGACCAUUAGCCGUUACUUGAAGACAAGACAUUCAUCAUUUGAACUAUUGAAUUAUGGACACAAGUCAAAGAAUCUUCCAACUAUUCAAGAAGUGUAAUUAAUACUUAAUAAAUAUAAUGUCAUCCUCAAUAACUUCAAAUAAUAUCCAAUAAUCAAUAUUAAAUUUUGAUAUUAAUAGAAAUAGUUAAUGAACCCCAAGUUGUAUAAUUUGAUUGUUGGGAUAAAAGAUAAAAGUCAAUCAAAAAUUUAAUUUUUUUAAGAAAUAAUCUUUUAAUUGUGAUUCAAUAAUGUAAUAACACAAGCAAUUACAAUACAUAUAAAUUUGCCAUGUCAGCAUAUGGUGUUCAUGAGUGCGUGUAUGACAAUAGUAAAAGUAUCUAUUUGGUCUUUUAGAUAAAUUUCAGUAUCUAAAUUACAAUUUUUGUCAAAUUUGAGGGAUUAUCUAGAUAUUUAGAUAAAAUUAUUUAUAUAUAAUUAUCUCUAAAUAGGCUCAUAAGCCAGUAAAUGAUACUUUAUAAAUAACUUCAGUUGUAAGUGUUUCUCUUACAAAUUCAAAUUAAUCCAAUGACAAAACCUUUUUAUGAUUUGACUGAAGAGGUUUCUGUGUUGCUGGUAUAUCAAGAUGAGGAAUUGGUUUCUAGUAAAUCAAAUGGUUGAUUUACUAGAGUUCAAUGGAUACAAAGGUGAUAUAUCUAGAACUAAUUUCUAUAUGACUUUCAUUAUAUAGAGAGAGAAUUAAUUGAUACGAUGUUUAUUUAGAACUUUUCCUUUCCUUGUUAUCAUAACAUUAUUUCUAUGCUUGUGUAUGUUGUGUUACAAGUUAAUAAAUGAAUUUGUAUGAUUAUAAGGAAUUAAAUUAGAUUCUUCAUUUUUGUUUUUGUUGUAACCAUGUCACUGACUCGAUUAGCUUUCUCCAUAAGGAUUGUGUAAUUUUUCAAAGAGGUUCAAUAAUUUUAUGUUAAAGUAUGUGUUGUUCUAAUUUUAUCGGAUAUUUUUCCAUAAAGGAGAUAGUUUAAGUUUAUGUUAAUAUUAAUUAUUUCACACUUGACUUUUUUGUACAAAAAAUAAAAAGGAAACUUAUUCUUUGUCAAUCGGGCCUAGAGUGACAUCGUGUUGGAGGAGAAAAUAAUUAGGACCCUCAUAAAUAAUUUUGAAAUCAUAGAUCUUUGAUUUUUACAAAUCUAUAUAUUGUUUUAGAAAGAAAACACAUUCACUUGGAUGAUUGAGGCACAAAAUAAGAGUAAGAGAUUGAAGAGAAGAGCGAGAUAAAGACAUGAUAAGAGAUGAUUUGGCUAUCAUUAUUGUCUGAGAUGACUUUUUUUUGUCUUUUAUUCAAUGUAGACAAACAAAUAAAUAGGGACAUGUGAUUUUCAUGAUUUUUUUCUUCUAUUUUUUUUUUUUGUCUUUUAUUAGAUGUAGACAAGAAAAGAAAUUUUUUUCAUGUGACUUUUCCUCAUUUAUUUUUGUUUCAUUUUCAAUUACUUUGUUAGUAUUUAAUAUCGAUUGUUCCUUAUUCAAGCUAUGUUAAAUAUUUUUAACAUAAUUUUUUUGGUAACUCCUUUCUAAUAAUUUGUUAAAUCUUCUAAACUCUCGUUACUUAUUUAUGAAAUAAAAUUACCUUAAAACUUUUUACAUAAAUUUAUCUUAAAACUUUUUAUCCUAUUAUAUCUUGCUUUAAUAGUAUUUAAUCUAUAUAUAUAUUCAGUGUUUAUUUGUUUUCAACAAGUCAAAGAAUAAAUUAGAAUAUAUUCUUUAGAAUUAUAUUCCUAUAGAAUCUUCUCUAUUAUAUAUUCCUACAGUUAUUUACUGUAAAGUAAUAUUAUAUAUUAGUAAGAUUGCACACACCGUUUACGAUAUAAGUUGAUUAAUAUGUGUUAUUUCAUAAAUUAAAGUAUAGCAACAUAAUAUGAAAUUUCAUAAUUGAAUUUGAAUGAGAAAUUAAAUAAACAUAUCCAAAUGAUAAUUUUGUGUAUAAUAUUUUUUUCAUGUUCUUCACUAACUUUAAAGUGUAUGGAUAUAUACAGUUACGACAGCUACAACUCCUGCAGCAAUGUCAAUGCUCUCCAAAGAAAAGAAAAAAAUUGACAUGAUGAUAAUCGAUGUCAAUUCAUCAGAUUUACAUUGUUUUGAACUCUUGACACAAGCUGUAACCUUAAAUAUAAUCUCUCUUGGUAAGUAUUUAUAAUUCUAUUUUUCACUUCUUGUUAUAAAUAUUGGGUAAAAUCAGUUGUUUCAAUUAAUACACCACAAAAAUAUAAUUAGCUAUAAAAUUUAUCGUUAAUCUAUUGUCAAGAGACGACAUCUAUCCAUUGGUAAUCUUGUUUUUAGUUAUAGUUAUAUGAUAAAUGAUUGUUUCGUAACAAAGUUGUUGUCGUAACAGAUAAAAUUCAGUAAAUAUAUGUGUGAAAUUAACUAUUCUCAUAAUGUAUGAUAUAUUUUUAUUUUUAUUUUUAACUUCUCAAUAUAAUUAUGUAGUUGUAUGUGAUGAACUCAAUAGACUCUUAGCCAAGAACGCUUUGGAAAAUGGAGCUUAUUUUGCUUGAAAAAGCCAUUCAACAAGGAAAUUGUGAAAUACUUAUGGCAACUUGUAUUGAGAGAAAAAAUACAAAGGGAGAAAUCGAAAAAAGGUUUAGAAGCAAAUGGACGAAAUCAUAUGAAUGCUGAUGAAAUUUAUGAUAGUAAUAUUGUAAGAGAUGAACAAUUUGGAGAGAAGAAUAUGCAUGUUGAUACUGAGGAACAUAACAAUAAUAUCCAUAAGGCUGAAAAUGAUGGCGUAUCAACUGGUAAAUACAAGUUGAAGAGGAAGAGAGGGAGAAAAGGUAUAAAACAGAUUAAUGAAGGAGAAAGUCGUAGCAGUACUGUUAUUAAUAAGACUGGUACACGUAAAUGACUUGUAUCAUGCAUUUUAAACAUACAUAAAUGACAAUGAAUUUGAGAUAAUAAUUAUAUCCAUAGUCCAACUCUCCUUUGAGUUUUUCUUUCUUUCAGAAAUGUCGUGAAAACAAUUGGAGACCUCGAAAAGAGAGAAAGAAUAUUCAUCACGGAUCCUCAAGUGAUUCUCAACAAAGAAGUAGUUGUAACACAUCAUUAGAAAGAAAAAAAAGGAGCUGCAAAAAACUUGGAAAAAUGCCUCAUCUUCAAACAAAUAUACCAAAUCAAAUACAAAGAGUCUCAGAGUUCCCACCAGUUAAUACCAACAACAUUUUUGCUAUUUCAACUCAGCAGCAACUCCAUCACCCACAACUUCAGGCUCAACCUCACUGCCUAAACCCAUCUUUGUCAGCCCAAAAUGAUGUUGGUGGUCAACUACAACAACACAGUCUGUUAUUUGGAAUGCGGGUCCAAUUAUUGGAAGCACUCAAAAUGGUUAUGGCUUGGAUCUCAAUCCUACCCAUGUAACAACAUAUUCAGGUAGCACAAUGAUAACUAAUACAAAUGUUGGAAAUGUGACACUUAAUGGAUUGGGAGCUACAAAUGCUAAUUUUCAGCAAGAUAUUGGUGAACAAAACAUGUUUGAUCCAAGUUCUUGCUCUCGUAAUAUUUGUAUCUUAACUUAUCGAAUGCAUUUAUGUAUCUUCCUGUAUUGCAAAAGCUAUAAUUGGGAAAAUAUUUUCAUCUUUUGAUGAGAAAUUUCUUAACCUUUACUCAUUUCUUCGUUUCCUUAUUAUGUAUUGAAUGUUUAAGAUUGUAGUAUAUUAUUACAUACUUAAAUCUUGUUUAUGAAAUUUUUUAAUGAUUAAUGUUUGGAUUAUAAAUCUCUUGUUUUGCUUAUGUAUUGAAUGAUUUUUAUUUUUAAUGAAGUGAGUCAAAUUGUUUCUUUAAUUAUUCUUGUGUUUUAAUAUUUCUAAAAGGAGCGACUAAUCCUAGGACUUGCUCAGUUACUUUGAUUUGAGCUCGAGAGAGUGAAAAAAGAAUAAGAAGAGAGAUUGGAAAAGAUUAAUUAACAAAAAUUGUGGUACUAAUUUGGGUAUUAAUAAACAAAUCCUUACUUGAUCGCAUAUGUGUUGUUCUGUGUGAAAUUUGCCUCUGACUUAUAGUUGACUAAAUUAUAUUGCAUAUGUUCGUGUACAUUUUCUCACUUGGAAGAGUGGAUUUGGAUGUUAUUAACCAUCACCAUCGUUUAGGUAGAAAAAGAAAAUAACUAAUAGUUUAAUGUUUUAAUACAUAAAUGAUCAACUAAUAUGAGACGGAAAGAGUAGCGUAAAUGUAAGAUUCACUUCUCACCAAGAAUCCUCCUUUCUUAUUAUUUUCCUUUUAGAGGUUAAUAAUUAUUAUGUAUCCCUAGAAUAAUUUAUUGAAAUAGUAGAUUUGAAAGAAAGCAAUUAUUCUCUUCUUCCUAUGCGGGACUUUUAGAACAAAACUAAUUUGACAAAAACCACAAUUUAUUGAUUUUUAGGUGGAAUUAUAUCAAUAAGGAACUAUGCUUAUAAUAUUAAUCUAAGAUCAUUAGGGGUCGUUUGGUAGAGUGUAUGAGGUAAAAUAAUGCAUGCAUUAGGUGUGUGUAUUAGUAAUACCUUGUUUGGUACACUUUUUCAUGUCAUGUAUAACUAAUGCAAGCAUUAGUUAUACACUAUAUUGUGUAUUACUAAUACCAAGAAAUCCUAGAUAUUAGUAAUACAUAGCGUUUUAAUACUUGCAUUAGAUUAUACAAUUACAAAACUACCCUCAAAGCCUUUUAAAAAAACAUCUUCAUUUUCCAUGGUACUGUGUUUAGAAACCUUUCAUCUUCUAUGUGGCUGCUAACACUACAAGAAAAGUGUGAAUUACAUGAGGAUUUUCCUGGGGAUUAGUAUGAAAAUCCGUAGGAAACUUAUUUUUCUGCAAAUUUUCAUACUAAUCCCCAGGGAAAUCCCCAUGUAAUUCACAUUUUUCUUGUAGUGUAAACCUUUAAAAAAAAACAUCUCCGUUAUUUAUAAAUUUGAUUGUUGUAAUACUUUUUUGUAUUUCAAUUGCACUAAAAAAUAGGAUCUGUGGCUGCUAAAGCAUAUGCCCAGACUCCUAAUAUAUAUAAAGUGCAUAUACUGAUUUUAAUAGGGUACCGCUUUGCAGUUAGGAAUUAUCUCAGGUCUAUGCUGCCUGUAUCUCCCUUACAUUCCAUCAGUUUUUAUUUUUUAUUUUUGGACUCGUUUUAUCUCAAAAUAUAUAUAAAGCACUACUAAUGCAUGCAUUACUAACACACCCUAUUUUACAUUAUUCUUAUACACUCUGCCAAACGAUCCCUAUUGUUACUUGAACACAUGGAUUCAUCAUCUGAACAAUUGAAACAAUUAAUACUUGUGUGAACCUCUUGUUAUUUCGAGUGAUGUGUCAGAAUCUUUAGCCAACUAAGACUAGCGUUAAAUUUUUGGCAAGUCUCAAGAAGUGUAAUUAAUACUUAAUAAAAUAAUCUCAUCCUUGAGAUUCAAGAACUUGUUUGGUCUGAAUAGGUUUUAAUCAUUAAGAUCUAGAACAAAGUCUUAAUAUUAGUAAGAGGUAUUUUUGUGUGAAUAGUUUUCUUUGAGGUUCGAGAAAUGGAAUAGAUAUGGACUACAAGUUGAUAUUCGCCAUUAGGAAAUUCACACGAAAAGGAACGAGGAAUUCUCAAUGAAAAAAGCGCUCUCUAAAUCUGUUUAGUAUUUGCCAUGAGGUUCUUACCAUAAUUGAAUUUUCCUUUUAGGAAAAGGUAAACACAGUCUCCAUAUUUGUCUAGUUCUUUUUCUUGUACGAAAAAAAUUAUGACUCUAUAAAUAGAUGUUUAUUCAUUCUAGCUUGGUAGCAUUCAUAAUGUAGUCUUAGGGGGCUUUGAGAGUUUUGUGUAUUGUGUGAAGCUAGGGGAAGAAUGUGUGAGACACAAGUAUUACUUUAACACUUGUGUGAACCUCUUUGUAUUCCGAGUGAAUUGUGUGAGGUCAUUCUUCUCUAGAUUUUGAACUUUCUUUUAUAUAGUGAUUUUUUCAUCUCCUCUUGUGGAUGUAGACCGGUUGACCGAACCACGAUAAAUGUUUGUGUCUUUUUGUAUAUUUCUCGUUUGUCUUAUUACUCAUCGUCUUUCGAGGUUUGCUUUGCUAACUUUUGCAUGACACCUAAUUAUUUCAGUCCCAACAAGUGAUAUCAGAGUCAAGUUCAAUGGUUUAAUGAUCCAAUGGUUGAACCAGGUCAAAAAUAAGUGUUCAUCUUGACGGGUUUAGUUCUACCAUAACAUAUUUGAUAGUAAUGAAGAUUUUUGUUGGAGAAAUAUUUUCAAAGAUGUUUUUUGUGUUGAGAUAUAUAUAUAUAUAUAGAGAGAGAGAGAGAGAGAGAGAGAGAGAGAGAGAGAGAGAGAGGGAGAUAUUUUGCAGAGGAGAUGCAUAGUUAUUGAAGAUUAUGUGAAGAAGGUGGAACAAAUUUAUUUUGUCAGAAAUUUAGGCCAAUGGAGAUAUUUGUUUAGUAUUUGUCAUGAGUUUCUUACCAUAAUUGAGUUUUUUUCUUUUAGAAAAAGGAAAACACAAAGUUUCCAUAUUUGGCUAGUUCUUUUUCUUGUAGGAAAAUGUUUAUGACUCUAAAAUUAUAUGUGUAUUCCUUCUAGCCUAAUAGCAUUCACAAUGUAGUCCUAGGGGGCUUAGAGAGUUUUGUGUAUUGCGUGUAGCUAGGGGAGAAUGUGUGAGACACAAGUGUUACUUUAACACUUCCGUAAACCUCUUUGUUUUUACAUUGAAUUGUGUGGGGUUAUUCCUCUCUAUAUUUUGUACUUUCUUUUAUAUAGUGAAUUGCUCAUAUCCUCUUUUGGAUGUAGGUCGGUUGUUCAAACGACGUUAAAUAUUUGUGUCUUUUGGUAUAUUUUUUGUUUGUUUUAUUACUCACAGUCUUUCAAAGUUUGCUUUGCUAGCUUUUGCAUGAUACCUAAUUAUUUCAGUCCCAACAAAACCAAACGUGAAAGUUGUUUUCCAGCAGGCAACUUUUCUAGUAGCUCUACUCUCGACUUGGAUAAUAUAUCCAAAAAGGUACGCUUUCGGUCAUUCCACAUGCUGCCUAUGUAGAGACAUGUUUAUCUAAAGUGGAUUCUCUUUUUUGCAGUAGGUAUUGAACCUGUUAUGCCCAUUGACUAAGAAGCUAGGGGUGGACACAACAACUACAUGGACCUCUUCCUUUCAUUGGCCAUCACCAUUAGUCGUCUUUGUUAUCACAAUGACCACCACCAUUACCGUCAUCAAAUAUCUCUGUCAUCACAAUUACCAUUCUUAUCAACCACUACUAUAUAUCAAGCAUUUGCUAUAUUUAUGUUUUUUAUCGACAUAAACAAUGGGUUAACAUGAUAUAAUUUAUUAGUAGUUUUAUAUAUUUUUCCCAUAAUAAAGGAAACAAUCACUUAUACAUUCUUUGAGAUCAUUUAGUGUAAAAUCAGGAGUGGAAUCAUAACUAGGGUUAUAGCUUAGGAUCAAUUCACCUUCUUAAUUAAUGGGAUAAUUUACUUAGCUAAAUUUGAGUGAAAAGAAGAAGAAAUUAAUUAAUUUAAUUCGUUUACGUUCCAAUGGGGUGUGCAAUACCCAUAAAUUUGUCAUGUCGUUAUUAGGUGUUCAUGAGAUGCAUAUAUUUCAAGCAAAAGUGUCUAUCUGAUUACUAGACAAGUUUAGCCGUCCAAUUUACAAAUUCUGCCAAAUUUGAGGGACUAUCUAGAUAUUAUUAAGAAAAUCUAUCUUAUUUAAUAUAAUAUUUAAAAUAGAUAACUUUGUAAUUAGUGUUCGCUAGAUCUUCAUAUUUUCUCCAACCAUUAUAAAUUCUCAGUGCUCUCUCUAUAUAAAUUCAUCAGGAUAAAAAUAAACAAGACAAGAUAUCAUACAUAAAAAAUAUCCAAAAGAGUUUUCUUUAAAUAUGUGUAAUCUUUUUUAAAUAGCAUAUCCCUUAAGAAGCUAUGUAGUUUUAUCACAAUGUCCUUCUUUAAUUGUUUUUCUUUAAUUAAUAAAAAGGUGUGUUAUAUAUAUCUUCAAUUGAUGAUAAGCCCACUUAUAUACAAAUAAAGUAAUGCAAGUGAAACUCUGUAAAGAAUCCUAUGAAGGUUCUAGCAGAGAAAUUAUAUUUAAAAAGGAGGGUAAUAGCUAAUGUGAAACAAUUAGGGUUGUAAAAUAAAAAAUAAAUCAAAAUAAUAAUAAUUAGGGUUGCAAAGCAACACCCUCUAUUAUUGAAGUUGAAGUUGUAAUUCGUAGGAUUAUUAUAUAAUUGUAAUAAUGCCUAGCUUUUUGUAACAAGAAGAGAAGUGUAUCAUCAUUUGGAGAGUUGUUAGAACAAUUAUAGUUAACAUUUGAGUUAAAGUACUAAAAUUAAUCUCUUAAAUUAUAAAGGUGUAAUUUGAAAUCAUUCGUUGAAGUUAGUAUAGAUUGAUUGAUAAGGAGUUGUUUAUAGUCUUUUGAGCAAAGAUAUUUUCAUUGUAAGCCCUUUCUUACUUAAUUAGCACUCCUUCGUUACUUUUUACUUAGUAGGACAUACGAAUUGAGGUUAGCUUAUCGCAAUCUAGUAUAUACAUUCAAUUAUUAGAAAAUAAAAUAAUAAUAAUAAAAUUAUUAUUAAAUUUAAGUUUUACUGUCUGGAUUUAUCAUGACACAUAUAAUGUCCACUUGGGCAAAUUUAUUAUUUAAAACACAAUAAUAAUAAUAUAUUCAAUGUAAUUUCAUAAUUGACAUUUGAGAAGAAAAAAUAUAUAUGCUAACCCUUGAUUAAAAAAUUAAAAUUAACCAACCAAAACUAAAAUAAAUAUUUAUAUAAGGUUGUGUAGUGAGAACAAUUAGAUAUACUGGUUUUAAUUCAACUAUGCAUUAAAAAGAACAAUAAGUUGCUGUGGUGUAGUGGUUAUCACGUUAGUCUUACACACUAAAGGUCCCCAGUUCGAUCCUGGGCAGCAACAUAUAUGUAAAAAGUUUUACUUUUUUUUUGAUAUGUCGACGAAAACGUGUUUAUCCUUUUAUUUGUCGGCGGCAUGUCGACGAAAACGUGUUUCUCCUCUUUAUUGUUUUCACCAUGACCUCUUCACUACUAUAUUUACAUUACAUGCUUGUUCUAUCGGAAACAACUCUACCUUCACAAGGUAGGGUAAGACUGCAUAAACGUCACCCUCCCCAUAGUACGUAAAAAGAAUAUGAGACAGCUGCAGGAUCAUGGAAAGAUCAAAUUUUCUCUUUAUUUCAUUAUUGCAAUUACUCCAUGUCAAAAUCCAAAUACAUUCUAUAGGCAUUUCUAUCUGAAGAGUAAUAGCCCUCCACAAGAGUAUCCACUUGGAAACCGAGUUUCUUGUAUAGCUGCAUAGCUGCAGUCCUUGUAGGAUCUACAUGAAGCGAUAUCCGAUGAACGUUUCUUGUUCUGCAUUUCUGCACUGCUGCCUCCAGUAAUUUUUCUCCAUGGCCUUGUCCCCUGUAGUUCUCUUUCACUGAUGUAUUCCACAGGAACGAUGCAUCAGUAAACAAAACGAAAAAUUUUAAAUGACAAAAGAUAAGGAAUAUUGUAAAUGAAUCUCUUAACCCCUCGUUUUUCAACUUGUGUUGAUUCGCUCAGGCCAGAGAACAACAAGAGAGAGACAGGCAUAAACAUCACGAUGAAAAACUCAUAACCACAUAGAGAACGAAAGCAAUUCUUUUGAAAAAUAAACAUCACAUGAAAGAUGGUUCUCUCUUCUAUGUAAUGACGGACAAUGCUUCACUGACUUAUCGGGAAUAUUUACUAAUAAUAUCAAUUCACCUUCUGCCUUUCCCUAUUGCGAUUCAAUAUGAUGACGAUCAGAGAAAGAUAUAACUAAACUCUCCUGCAAAAUUCCUUUAAAACAACUGCUAGCUAUUUCAAGGUUCGUUGUUUCCGCAAUAGUAACAUAUCAGCUUUGCUCGGAGGGGAAAACUACAUAACACCACUCUAAUUUAGAAAUGCUGCACUUUCAUCCAAUCCAGCUACAGAGAAAAACGUUGAAAGAGCAGAAGCAAUUUCUCCUACCUCUCUAUUCAUAGAGAUCAAAACUUGUUCGGCAAAUGCAUUCAUGCAUAUUCUUCUUUAAAAGACAACUUUUUGUAGAUGAACUGCUCCCAAAUAAGUAUUUUUAUCUUUUGAAUGCUCAAGUUAUAGUCACAUUCACACUCUUGACUGCUCUUUUUCCUACGAAAACAUUAUCAAAGAGUCACAUUUGAGUUCCUCACGAUUAUAACCUCGUAUAUUAAAUCAAAUUGGUCCUAGUCACAUUCGGAAAUAGUCUCUCUACUUUCACAACUAGGGAUAAGACCGCGUACAGACUAACCUCUCCAAACCCCACUUGUCUACGCGGUCCUAGUCACACUCACAUUGGGAAAUUGUCUCUCUACUUUCACAGGUAGGGAUAAGACUGCGUACACACUACCCUCUCCAGACCCCACUUGUCUACACAGUCCUAGUCACACUCACAUUGGGAAAUAGUCUCUCUACUUUCACAGGUAGGGAUAAGACUGCGUACACACUACCCUCUCCAGACCUUACUUGUCUACGCAGUCCUAAUCACACUCACAUUGGGAAAUAGUCUCUCUACUUUCACAGGUAGGGAUGGAUAAGACUGCCUACACACUAUCCUCUCUCCAAACCCGACUUAUCUACACAGAGUAUGUUGUUGUUCCAAUAAACAAUAUUAGAUAUCAGCUUAGACUUCAAUCCAAGAAUACAACUACAAUAAUCAGAAUAAAUUCAAGAAUAAGACCAAUUAUUAAAAGGAAAAUCAAAGCAAAACAGAAAAUUAUGAAAAGGGUAUUUUUUGUUCAGACCUGCUAAUUUAGUGAUACAAGCAGAGAGUGAAGAAGGCCAAGAAUACAUAACAUAACCAGCAAUAUCUUCACCUAAUUGAGUGUAGAGUAACCCAGAAUUCUUCUUUUUCAGUUCCUCAUCAAAAGAUCGAGCUAAAGAUUCAUGUUUGGGGAAAAUCUUCUUCUCUAUUCUCACUAUAUCGUCAACUACCUUAACCCAAUUUGCUGAAUUUCUCUGCAAUUCAACUAUCUCUGCCAUUUCUUCGUUUUCAUAUUUCUCUGUUUUUGCUGCUGUAUUUAGGUUAACAAGAAUCUACUGGGGUCAUUAUUGGAAAGAAAAAUAGUUCCUCUGUUAUUUUAAAAGUUUUUACUUUAUUUUUUUUAACUAUAAAGUUCUUAUAUAUUUUUAACGUUUUAAUUAUUAGAAACUAUUAUGUACAUUGUUUUUAUUUUACAUGGUUUAUUAAUAUAUAUAGUAUAAAUUUGCAUUCAUGUAUUAAUUAACUUAUCAAUUAAUCAAUAGUAAAAAUUCUCUCUGAUUUUCUGAUUAUUUAUGGCCAGUUUUUUUUUGUAUGUGUGCGUCUCUAAGCUCGUAAGUGAAAGUAAAUCAAUUUUUUAAUUGUUAAUUUAUGCCCAACUUCUUUAUGUAUGUGUGCGUUUCUAAGCUCGUAAGUGAAAGUAAAUCGAGUCUCACGAUAUCAUCUGUCUUUGUCAUACUCGUCUGGUUGAACAAGGACUAAUACUAGUUGUUGAGCAAAAUUAAUUUAUAAAUACUCUUAACAAGGUGUGAUAUUAUUUGUUUUGGGUAAAGUCUUUGUAAGGCUUCACACUAUUAAGAGAUUCUACACUUUAUAUGUAAUUUUUCAAUCUUUUCAGCUAUCAAUGUGGGAUUUUAUUUACCCAACUAACAAUUUUGUUAUUUGUUCUUACAUUUUGGUGUUAGCUUUGGCCUUUGUGUACUCCAUCAUAGGUUGAGGAAAGGGAUCAUAUAUAAUUGGAAAAAUACAAAUCAGAAUGGUAUUUUUGUUAGUAAUCCAAGGGAUUGGUUUACUUUUGGACAUGUUAUUUUUUUGGUUCUACUUAAGGUUAGUAAGGUCAUUUCAAUAUUAUUUUCUUCCUACUUCAAUCAACAGCAACUUCUAUUUUUCCUUAUAUGACAACGCAAUUCAAUCUAGCUACGUUGUUAUGUUAACCAACCCCAAAAACAGGACACCAUAUCUAGAUUGAUAAGCUUAAGUAAGUUUCGAUAUGACUCAUUUAUACUUCAAUUAAUCUAAAGUAAAACUUAUCCAUAUGUAUGAUCCAGCCAAAUUAUUUUAUCAAUAUAAUCGAAAUAUUAAAAACAUAUUUAGUAAUUAUGGAUAUCAUAGGUAUAGAUAUGUAUAUAUAUUAUACUAAAAUAUACAAAACCUAUACAAUUAUGACUAUUUGUAAAUUAGAUUAAUCAAAGACAUUGAACUGUAAUUAUUCCAAUCUAUACUUUAAACCCUUUUCACUUCAAAGCACUAUCCCAAUUCUAAACAGUUUGAGACAUGGUAAAAAAAAAUAAUUGAUUUUUUUUUUUUUAAGAUGGGGUGUAGUUAGGUGGAAUUUUCUUGGUUUUGUUCAAAUAAGUCUGCCUUUUGAAGCAUAGGCAUACUUGUUUCAUCUUUAUAUAUAUAUAUAUAAUAAUGAUGUUCUGGAUAACUUUUACACCUUAACUUGAUUAAUUAUGUGAGAUAUCUGUCAUUUUUCAUAGCAAUAUUAUAUUUAACUAUAUUCGCCCAAACUAAAACAGGUAGAAAUAACAUUUGAAUCUGUCAAACUGCAAUAAUGAAUUAUAUAUGGUGGAAGAUUCUUUGGGGCCCAACUGGCCCCACAGCUAAUAUUUUAACGGACGUCCAUGAAAAGUUUUAACAAAAUCACGUCGAAAUUCUAGAUCACCAAAAAUUCAUGGACUAUAUAGCACACGAUAAUCAGCAAAAUGGGGGGGGGGGUUACUUGCUCAAGGGCUCGUCUGACCUUGAAAAUGGGCUGGUUUGCCCGUGGGGACCAAUUGGCUCUAUAACUAAGGUCUUAACGGACGUCCAUGAAAAGUUAUUGCAAAAAAUCACGUUGGAGUUCCAUAUCACCAAAAAUCCAUGGACUAUAGCACAUGAAAAUUGGCAAAAUAAAGGGUUUACCUACUCUGGGCUCGUUUGACCUUGAAAAUGGGUUGGUUUGCCCGUGGGAACCAGCCGGCUCCAUAGCUAAGGUUUUAACGGAAAACCAUGAAAUUUUUUGGCAAAAGUCACGUCGGAAUUGCGGAUCACCAAAAAUCCAUGGACUAUAGUACACGAAAAUCGGCAAAAUGGGGGGGUUUACCUACUCUGGGGAUUGUUUGACCUUGAAAAUUUCCCGAUUUGCCCGUGUGGACCAACUGGCACCACAGCUAAGGUUUUAAUGGACGACCAUGAAAUUUUUUGGCAAAAGUCACGUCGGAAUUGCGGAUCACCAAAAGUUCAUGGACUAUAGUACACGAAAAUUGACAAAAUAGGGGGUUUACCUACUCUGGGGAUCGUUUGACCUUGAAAAUUGUCCGGUUUGCCCGUGUGGACCAACUGGCUCUAUAGCUAAGGUCUUAACGGACGUAUACAGAAAAUUUUGGCAAAAAUCACGUCAAAAUUUCGGAUCACCAAAAAUGCAUGGUCUAUAACACACGAAAAUCGGUAAAAUGAGGGUUUACCUGCUCUGGGGAUCAUUUGACCUUGAAAAUGGGUCGGUUUACUCGUGGGGACCAACUGGCUCUAUGCUAAGGUCUUAACGGACGUCUAUGAAAUUUUUUAGCAAAAAUCACGUCGAAAUUUCGGAUCACCAAAAUCCUAUGGACUAUAGCACACAAAAAUCGGCAAAAUAGGGGGUUUACCUGCUCUAGGCUCGUUUGACCUUGAAAAUGGGCCGAUUUUCCCGUGGGGACCAACUGGCUCCAUAGCUAAGGACUUCACGGACGUCCUUGACAAAUUUUGGCAAAAAUCACGUCGGAAUUCCGUAUCACCAAAAAUUUACGGACCAUAGCACACGAAAAUAGGCAAAAUGGGGGGUUUACCUGCUCUGGGCUCAUUUGACCUUGAAAAUGGGCCGGUUUGCUCGUGGGGACCAACUGGCUGCAUAGCUAAGGUCUUAACGGAUGUCCAUGAAAAUUUUUGGUAAAAAUCACGUAGGAAUUCCGGAUCACAAAAAAUCCAUGGAUUAUAGCACAUGAAAAUCGGCAAAAUGGGGGGUUUUACCUGCUCUGGGGUUCAUUUAACCUUGAAAAUGGGCCAAUUUUCCCGUGGGGACCAACUGGCUCUAUAGGUAAGGCUUAAUGGACGUCCAUGAAUUUUUUUUGUAAAAAUCAUGUCAAAAUUCUGUAUCUCCAAAAAUCCAUGGACUAUAGCACACAAAAAUCAGCAAAAUGGGCGGUUUACCUGCUCUGGGAAUCGUUUGAACUUGAAAAUGGGCCGGUUUACCCAUGGGGAUCAACUGUCUUCAUAGCUAAGGUCUUAACGGACGUCUUUAAAAAUUUUGGCAAAAUUACGUCGAAAUUCCAGAUCAUCAAAAAUCCAUGGAUUAUAGCACAAGAAAAUGGGUAAAAUGGGUUGGUUUGCCCGUGGGGACCAACUGGCUCCAUAGCUAAGGUCUUAACGGACGUCCAUGAAAUUUUUUAGAAAAAAUCAUGUCGAAAUUCUGGAUCACCAAAAAUUGAUGGACUAGCACACAAAAAUUGGCAAAAUGGGGGGUUUACCUACUCUGGGGAUCGUUUGACCUUGUAACUGGGCCAAUUUUCCUGUGGGACCAACUGGCUCCAUAACUAAGGUCUUAACGGACGUCCAUGGAAAUUUUUGGAAAAAAUCACAUCAGAAUUCCGGAUCACCAAAAAUUCAUGGAUUAUAGCUCACGAAAAUUGGCAAAAUGGGGGGUUUACCUGCUCUUGGGCUCAUUUGACGUUGAAAAUGAGCCGGUUUGCUCGUGGGGACCAACUGGCUCCAUAGCUAAGGUCUUAACGGACGUCCAUAAAUUUUUUUGGCAAAAAUCACGUCGGAAUUCCGGAUCACAUUCAUGACUAUUUGUAAAUUAGAUUGAUCAAAGACAUUGAACUGUAAUUAUUCCAAUCUAUUCUUUAAACCUUUUUCACUUCAAAGUACUAUCCCAAUUCUAAACAGGUUGAGACCUAGUAAAAAAAAUGAUUUUUUUUAAAGAUGGGGUGUAGUUAGGUGGAAUUUUCUUGGUUUUGUUCAAAUAAGUCUGCCUUUUGAAGCAUCGGCUAUUCUUGUUUCAUCUUUAUUUUAUUUUUCAUAAUAAUGGUGUUCUGGAUAACUUUCACACCUUGACUUGAUUAAUUAUGUGAGAUAUUUAUCUGAUCAUUUUUCAUCAGCAAUAUUUAACUAUAUUCGCCUAAACUAAAACAGGUAGAAAUAACAUUUGAAUCUGUCAAACUUCAAUAAUGAAUUAUAUAUGGUAGAAGAUUCUUUGGGGCCAUUAUGCAAUGAUAGUGGAACAUGAGAAUAUUUUUAUGAUUGGUAAAAAUAUCAUGGGAAUGGCGAAAAACUAGCUUUGAUAAGAAGAAUAUGAUGCUUUAUAACAUUAUCAAGGGAACAAAAGUCAUUUUUAUAUAUUUGAAGAAAAGAAAGUUUUCACAUUACAAUAAUUGGGAUGCCUAUAAAUGUGUGGUUCAAAAUGAUAGUGACAAGCCACAUAUUAUAUUGAAGCAUUAAUUAAUCAUAGUAAAGAAAGUUCAAUGUUAUUAUUAGGGGCAAUUUGUGCAAAGUAGAUAUGACCUAAGUUGCUUGAACGCAAAGGUAAUGUUAUAAUGUUUGUGAAAAAUUGAUAGAUCAUUAAAUCAUUAAACCUAUUACCUAUAUAAGAUUUAGUGCUAAUUACAAUCAUUUCUAUGUAGUGUAAGUGAUGUUGGAUUAGGUGGAUAUCAACUUAUCAAAGUGGACACCAAAUUUUUUAAAUUGCUUUCUCUAGUGUUACACUAACUUUAAUAAGUGGAAAUCCUUAGACAAUUGUUGAAGAUAUCUAUCAUAUUUGAUCAAAUAAAACAUAAGUUAUCAAUCAUAGAAUCAGAUAUAUACCUUUAAAUUCACGGGAGCGUUUGACUAUGUUUCAUUGUGAAAUUUGAUUUUUCUUUUCAAGUAAAAAAAGAUAAAUUGAAAUUAGAUAUUGUUAUCAACUUGUAUACCACUAGUUCGAAAGGCAUAAUUUCUUAAACUGACAUUCAAACUUAGCCUCCACUUACAAGUAAUUACUUCAACUUUUUCAUUAUGUAUGCAUAUUUAGACACCUUAUAAACUCGACUCAUUUCCACUAUACCAGCUAAACUCUCCAACAUAUGUACAAAAUAAUCAUCUAGUCACCUUCAAAAUUUAUUCAUUACAUCAGCAUCGAAUGUAAUGAGAUACAGAGACGAGUUGAGUAUUUAGUAGACCGUUGAAACCAAGUUGAGGUGUCCAUACCUAUACAACAAUUAUCACAGGUGACAUGCUUUCAAAUAAUUUUGAAGUAUUAAAAAUAGAUGAUUUAUUAAAAUAAGAUAUUUCUCACCAUAAGCAAUUUUCAAUUCUUUCGCAUCAAACGCACCCAUAUUUAGAAUGUUCUAUACUAUCACUCUCCAUAGACGGCAGCCAUCAUGUCAAUCACCACCCACCAGCACUUGCUGUUGUUAACCUUGCCAAAUAGAUAAUGACAAGUUGGCAUAUGAGAUAGGUGGUCUACGCCUAUCAACAUGAGUUGUGGUGCAAUGGUGGAAUUGCUCAAUCCUUAAUUAGAAAUUUCAGGUUUGAGUCUUGGGUAUGAAGAAAAUUCUAUUGGAAGCGUCACUCUCAAAUGAGUCCUGUGCUGUACAAUUCAGAUUUAAUUAAGGCUUUAAUGCAGACUCCGAACAGUGAGCGUGAGAAAAAAAGAGAGGUGGCCUAUGCCUAUUUCUCUUUGAGAUGUUGAUGCCUUGAUUUUGAAUGUCUUGUUUUUCAAUCCUCGUGCUUAUAUCUUUGAAUAUUCAUUACUUUCUCUAGAUGUGAAAACUACUCUUUCCGUUUCAAUUUGAAUAUUCAGAUUAUAAAGAAUAUUUUUUUUAUAUUUUACGUAACUUUAAUCGAAUACCAUAUAAUUUAAAAGUUCGUUUUACUUUUUUAAAUCAAAAUCAAAUAAAUAAAUUAAAACGAAAGGAGUGAUGGCUGAGAUGUCCUGUAAAAUGGUAUUGGUCUCUUUAGUGGGAUUUUGUUAUUUUGAUUUUAAAUUGACACAAGAAGCUAAACAAGCUUUGUCUUCUUAAUGAUUGGAUUUGAUUCAUCUUUUCAAUUUCAAUUGAGUCUGUCUCAAAAUUCAUAAUGUUAACUAUAUAAAUCCAGGUGAUCAUAUAUUACAUUGAUCUAAGAUGUAUAUUCAUAUCAUAUAUCGCGUUACUAAAUAUAAUUACAUUGUAUGAACACGCGAAGAAGAUGAUCAGAACAAGAGAAGACAUGUUACUAAACAACAACAUAAGAAAAAACAAAUUCUGUUAAGUGAUUGAUCCGCGUGUGAUAGUUGUCUUCUUAACCUUGGACUAUUGCUUCCUGCUAGAUUAUAUGAACUUGAAUAUGUAUACAAAUUAGUAUUCAAUGAGUUCCCAAACAUUCGCGCAUAAAAAAUUUCCCCUGUUGUCGUUCCACCAGGACUUAGCAUAUGUUCUGUAUUUGUAUAAUUUCGAUGAUGAUCAUGAGAUUGUUGGUAUAAUGGAGGCAUAUUAUUAUUGGGUAUUACUCCGUGACUCCUACAUCUCGGAGUAGGAGGUCUUUGUGGUAUGACUAUACCAAGAUUCAGGGCCUUGCCUGCUGUUUUUGUAGCUUGACCGCGACCAUAGAGUGGAAUCAAUGUUUUUUGUGAGACUUCAGCUUUGCAAACAGGGCAUUUUGGCUGUUGAUUAUCGAUGUUCUCUGAUGAAAUGGUCUUAAUAUGUAUCCAUUUGUAGAUGCAAGGCCAACAAUAGAGGUGACCACAUAAUGUAACAACAGGAUCAUGUACAACAUCCAGGCAAAUGUUGCACUCGAAACCUCCAGGUGAAUUUUCUUCAAGUUUAUCAAGAUCAAUUGUCUUACAUUUUUCAAAGGAAAUAUCGCGUUGAUCAAAAAUAGUUUCUGGUAUUUGGUCUUGAAAAAUUUGUUCUAAGGCCAUAUUUGCUUCUUGGUAUUGAUUUAUUUUGGUAAUGGCAAGAUGAAUGGUUAGAAUUCAGGUUUUUAAUACAAUUAGAAGUGAGUAUUUAUAAGGACAAGAAUAGUAGUUUGCAAACAAUGAUUCUUAAGGUUGUCACUUGUCAACAUCACAUCAUGUUAAAGGGGCAUGGCCAAAAAGAAAAGGCCCUACACAUUAUUAAACAACACUAUAUCAUAUUACUCAACUCAGUUUUGAUUUAUGGGUACUGUUUGAUUUGAUAUAACAUUUAAUAAGAAAAUGAAAACUUUUAAAAUAUGUACUGUAUUAAAGAUAAAAAAUAAAUUUUAAAUUUUUAGAUCCUAGAAAUGAUAUUCUUUUUAUAUUAAGACUACAACAAAUGUCUUACAUAAAUUAAGACAGGUGAACUAUCAAACACAUCAUAAUUAAGUGAUUUAAUGAAGUCAAAAAUAAAUAUUAAUGGAUCAUGGUUAAGUGAGAGGAGUUUUGUGCAAACACGUCUUUUAUCUAUCUAUUUGAUUUAAACAAGCAUAAGUUUUAUCAUAUUAGAAAUAUGAUUAGGACCUUAUAUUAGGCCCCAUGAUAAGAAUCUUAAUCUAGAAAAUAACUUUUAGUCAAUAAAAAGUAGCACUAGUUGCGUACAAGGAGCUACCACUUGAUGACCUUCCACACAGCCACAUCCCAUAAGUUCAAUAGUUUUCACACUAUAAGAACUAGAUGUUUUUUUCCGAGUGAAUCAAUAAAAAUUUUAUGUUAUAAAACAUGAUUUUUUUCAUUUUGAUUUUAUUAAACUAAUUCACUAAGAAAACCCAUAACGAAACAUAAGUUCUCAUUGAAAUACUGGAAAUAGUCACUUGGAAAUUUAUGAGUUUUAGGAAAUUAUGCAUCAAAACUUAGAAAGACGCGGCUCAUAUAGAAAUUUGUUGUUAAAUCAUAAUAUAUACUUUUACAUCUGAAUAUCUUUAUUGAUUUGGUUAAAAUUAUAAUUAAAAAAAUUACAAUACAAUAUAUAUAGAUUCACAUAAAUUUAAUACUGUAAGUUCAAUUAUUAUUAUGAUAUAUUAAUCUAAAAUUAUUAUAGAAGCUUCUAAACUCUAAAUUCAGAUCCAACUAAGGAGUGAAUAUACAUAGUGGGGGUCUGGGGGAUGGGAGAAAACAUAUGGACGGUGUGACAAAUAAAUAAAAGAAAUACUCCGUCCAUUCCAUUUGACUUAGUAUUGUUUGACUUAAUACGAUGUAUAAGAGAAAAAAAAGAUUUUAGAAAAUUAUAGGCUAAAACAAUUUUUAUAUAUUUAUAUAAUUGUAAAUCAUUUCAUUAAUUAAGGGUAGAUGGAGAAUUUUAAGUUUAAUUAUUUUCAAUUACAAUAAAAUGACAUUUUUAAAGACGGAUUAUGAGAAUAGAGUGCCACGUAAUAUAAAACGAGAAAAUACUACUCCCUCCUUCCCAUUUUAUAUGUUACCUUUUUACUUUACAUUUACAUUAAGAAAUAAUGUAACUUUACCCUUCUACCCUUAUUUAAUGUUUUCUUAAGUUAACUUUAUAACUCCCUCCGUCCCAUUUUAUAUGUCAUCUCUUUCUAUAAAUAGUUGGACCACAAUACUUGUCAUUUUAUAAAAUUUAUGUAUAAAUUACCAUAUUUUACCUAUUAUAUCCUUGAUAGAGUAGUUAAUUAAUCUUGAAAAUAUAUUCAUCAUUUAUUAUAAAUUGACUUAAGAAAAUAUUAAAUAAGAAUAGAAAGAUAAAAUUACAUCAUUCUUCAACAAGUGGUAUCAGAGCCAGGUUAAUAAGAGCGAGGUAGUAACUCAAAAGAGAUCCUACAAGCUACCGUCGGAGGCUACAAAUCGCGAGGCACUAAUUAAUGAUGGAUUUUGCAAGCACUCUCAAUAGCGUUGAGANNNNNNNNNNNNNNNNNNNNNNNNNNNNNNNNNNNNNNNNNNNNNNNNNNNNNNNNNNNNNNNNNNNNNNNNNNNNNNNNNNNNNNNNNNNNNNNNNNNNNNNNNNNNNNNNNNNNNNNNNNNNNNNNNNNNNNNNNNNNNNNNNNNNNNNNNNNNNNNNNNNNNNNNNNNNNNNNNNNNNNNNNNNNNNNNNNNNNNNNNNNNNNNNNNNNNNNNNNNNNNNNNNNNNNNNNNNNNNNNNNNNNNNNNNNNNNNNNNNNNNNNNNNNNNNNNNNNNNNNNNNNNNNNNNNNNNNNNNNNNNNNNNNNNNNNNNNNNNNNNNNNNNNNNNNNNNNNNNNNNNNNNNNNNNNNNNNNNNNNNNNNNNNNNNNNNNNNNNNNNNNNNNNNNNNNNNNNNNNNNNNNNNNNNNNNNNNNNNNNNNNNNNNNNNNNNNNNNNNNNNNNNNNNNNNNNNNNNNNNNNNNNNNNNNNNNNNNNNNNNNNNNNNNNNNNNNNNNNNNNNNNNNNNNNNNNNNNNNNNNNNNNNNNNNNNNNNNNNNNNNNNNNNNNNNNNNNNNNNNNNNNNNNNNNNNNNNNNNNNNNNNNNNNNNNNNNNNNNNNNNNNNNNNNNNNNNNNNNNNNNNNNNNNNNNNNNNNNNNNNNNNNNNNNNNNNNNNNNNNNNNNNNNNNNNNNNNNNNNNNNNNNNNNNNNNNNNNNNNNNNNNNNNNNNNNNNNNNNNNNNNNNNNNNNNNNNNNNNNNNNNNNNNNNNNNNNNNNNNNNNNNNNNNNNNNNNNNNNNNNNNNNNNNNNNNNNNNNNNNNNNNNNNNNNNNNNNNNNNNNNNNNNNNNNNNNNNNNNNNNNNNNNNNNNNNNNNNNNNNNNNNNNNNNNNNNNNNNNNNNNNNNNNNNNNNNNNNNNNNNNNNNNNNNNNNNNNNNNNNNNNNNNNNNNNNNNNNNNNNNNNNNNNNNNNNNNNNNNNNNNNNNNNNNNNNNNNNNNNNNNNNNNNNNNNNNNNNNNNNNNNNNNNNNNNNNNNNNNNNNNNNNNNNNNNNNNNNNNNNNNNNNNNNNNNNNNNNNNNNNNNNNNNNNNNNNNNNNNNNNNNNNNNNNNNNNNNNNNNNNNNNNNNNNNNNNNNNNNNNNNNNNNNNNNNNNNNNNNNNNNNNNNNNNNNNNNNNNNNNNNNNNNNNNNNNNNNNNNNNNNNNNNNNNNNNNNNNNNNNNNNNNNNNNNNNNNNNNNNNNNNNNNNNNNNNNNNNNNNNNNNNNNNNNNNNNNNNNNNNNNNNNNNNNNNNNNNNNNNNNNNNNNNNNNNNNNNNNNNNNNNNNNNNNNNNNNNNNNNNNNNNNNNNNNNNNNNNNNNNNNNNNNNNNNNNNNNNNNNNNNNNNNNNNNNNNNNNNNNNNNNNNNNNNNNNNNNNNNNNNNNNNNNNNNNNNNNNNNNNNNNNNNNNNNNNNNNNNNNNNNNNNNNNNNNNNNNNNNNNNNNNNNNNNNNNNNNNNNNNNNNNNNNNNNNNNAAGCUUGAGAUAAGAGGAGACGUUAUAUGUGCUGGAUGUCAAUAUGGGAAAGCACAUCAACUUCCCUAUGGAGAAUCAAAGUAUCAAGCGNNNNNNNNNNNNNNNNNNNNNNNNNNNNNNNNNNNNNNNNNNNNNNNNNNNNNNNNNNNNNNNNNNNNNNNNGACCAGUGAAGCAGUCCUCCAUCAGCGGUUACCGUUACAUGGUAACAUUCAGUGAUGACUUCUCAAGGUACGUAUGGAUUUACUUCAUAAAAGAGAAAUUUGAAGUAUUUGAGAAGUUUAAAGAGUUUCAAUAUACUGUGGAGAAUGAUAUUGGAAGAAAAAUCAAAUGUCUCCGUACGGACAAUGGGGGAGAAUACACGUCACGAGAGUUCAAUGAAUAUCUUAAAGAGAAGUUGAUAAGACGACAACUAACUUGUCCAAAUACACCACAACAAAAUGGAGUGGCUGAAAGAAAAAAUAGACAUCUGGCGGAGAUAUGCAGAAGUAUGUUGCAUAGUAUGAAUGUACCAGCAAGGUUUUGGGCAGAAUGCAUGAAGACUGUUGUCCACAUCAUCAACAGGCUGCCGCAGGCAAGAUUGAGAUUUAUCUCACCAUUUGAGAAACUUAAAAAAAUAGAUUCCUACUGUAAGCCACUUUCGAGUUUUUGGUUGUGUGUGCUAUGUGUUCGUGCCAGAUCAUCUCCGCAACAAGUUUGAUAAGAAAGCUGUUCGUUGCAUCUUUGUUGGAUACGAUGAACAAAGAAAAGGAUGGAAGUGUUGUGACCCUACCACAAAUCGGACAUAUGUGUCAAGAAAUGUGGUAUUUGAUGAAGCAUCAUCUUGGUGGUCCAAAGAAGUCUCCCUGCCAGACUCAAUAGCUCUUGAGCAAAAGCUGCAAGAUAAGCUCAAUGAAGUAGAACAAGGGAACAAGAUAGACUCUAACCAGGAGGUAUCUCCACAAAAGGAAAAGAAAAGCUUACCACAAACUGGAGCUUGUGAAACACCAGAUGAGUUGCAAGAAGAAGUCCAAGAAGAGUCACAAUCGCAACUGAGGAGGUCUACACGACUGAAGCGUCCAAACAUCAAGUACAUAGAUGCAGCAUUAACCGAGGUGGUUAACAUCAAAGAGGCUGCUACCUUUGAAGAAGCUUCAAAGAGUAGGGAUCGGAAUAAUCCGACGAAGGUGGAGAUCCCCAAAGGGUAUGGACGUUAUGAUGCUUGCAAAGUUUCAGGAAUCGCUCACAAAAGACGCAAAGAAAAAAUUAAGUUGGUGUUGAGGGGGAGUGUUAAGAAUUCAUCACCAACUUAAUUCUUUACUUAAGAUAAAUCAAGAAAAAUCUAGAAUAUUCCGGAGGUGUAGAGAAUUGAAGGAAGAUCUCUAGAAUGAGUAUUCUAGAAAGAAUAGUCUAGAAAUGUUCUAGAAAGAAUAGUUCUAGAAAAAGAUAGUUAGGAAUAUUCUAGAAUAGAGUAGUAUGUAUCUCUCUAGAUUCUUCCAUCACCACCUAUAAAUAGAGGUGGUCCAUUUGAGUUGUAAGCAACCAAGCAAGAAACCAAGCAAGAAAUAAGAGAGCAAACAAGAGUGAGUGCUUAAGUCAAAUAGUGUUGCUGAAGCAAGCAACAAGUGUGAUCAAGAUUGUAAGACCGAAGCGGGUCCUUACUUUGAUAUAAUAAAAUUCAAGUUGUGAGAAAUCGAUUGUGCCCGUCGUCUCCAAAACAAUAAUAUUCAACACUCAUCCCCAAUUCUAGAGACUAAGUUUCUCAUCUUCAUUCUUAUCUCUAUCCUUACUUGUUAUUUCAAUAUUUCCAUUGUAAUUAGAUAGUUUGAUUAUUCCAAUUAGAAUAUUAAAGUUGUAAUAGUGUUCCAGUGCUCUUAUUAAUAGUGUGAGAAUUUUGGUUUGUUACAUCAGACGUUCUCUUUUCGAAUAAUUGAACGUCUCAUAUUAUUUGCUAAUGAAAAAUAUCAUGAGUAGGACCCAAAAAGAUAGUAGUACCAGAUAACAAACAAAAAAAUACUGUACAGUCUAAAAAUAAGUAUAGAAUAGCUUGAACUUUUGGGCCGUUGUAUAAAACACCCAGAAAGGGAGACAGGGGAGUCACUGGUCCACUUAAUUAUUACAUGUAGUAAAAUUAUUAGUUAUGUACUAGCAAUACUGGAAGUAUUAUUUCAUGGCAUAUAUUGGUGACUAAGAUAAGUGAUAAGCAUAAUAAAUAAUUUAGAAGUAGGUGGAUUCGAGUCAUCAACGAGCUCCCGGGGAGGAAUGAAAAAACUCUUAAUAAUAACUACAACAUGGAGUGGCCACUGCUAGCAUAGGUGAUAUCCUACGAAUAAUGAUGCCACUGCCUUCCGUCAUAUCCAAAUCCUCCGGUUUUAACACUUCUGGUAAUGCUAAAUUGAACUUGUGCACAAUCCUUGCUAAUGCUAGCUCAAUUACCACAAUAGCAAAACCAGUUCCUGGGCAGCCCCUUCUCCUAAAAUUGUCAACUUUUUAUAUUUUGGCUUACUUGGAAGCAAGUCUAUCCUCUCCUAUCCAAUCAAUUAGGGUGGCCAUUAAUCAGAUAUUAUUAGGCUAAAGAUAACAUAUUGCUCCCUCCGUUUUUAAUUAUUUAUCCAUUUUUUUAGUUAUUCCUAAUUACUUGUCUAUUUUGACAAAUCAAGAAAGAAUAAUUUUUUUUACCUAUUAUACCGUCAAUUUAUUACUUUGAAAAAAGUAGAACUUUUUGAAAAUCUUGAGUUUUUAAUUCAUCCACUUCAUAAUUAAUAUGGGUAAAAUGGUAAACUCACUAUUUCAAUAAUUGUUUUCUUAAUAAGUGUGCCAAUUUAAAAAUGGAUAAGUAAUUAGGGAUAGAGAAAGUAUAUCGAAAUAAUAUAAUCAGAUAUUAUGCUAAAGAUGAUUAACAAAACUUUGAACAAUUAUAAAUAAGAUAGCAAAAAAAUCGAUUAGAUAAUACUUAGCAAAUUAACACGGUUCAACGAUUAGUGAUGGAAUCUGAAUAUGAUUCGGGAUUUUCACUAUUAAUGAAAUUCAAAAGGCAUAAUACAUAAAUGUGCCCUUUAACUUGACUUCAUUUUAUGUUUAUGUCGUUCAAUUUUGGGUAUGCACAUAAACUUGUAUAAAGUUGAACAACUAGCCACAUGAGUUCUACACGACACAAUACAUUUAAGACACCACGUAGGAUAAAAAAUGACAUGUAGGAUACCAUAUAGGACAUGUGUGUCUGUUUCUUCAACUUUAUACAAAUUUAAAUGUCUACUUGUGCACACCCGAAGUUGAAGGGCAUAAAUGUGAUUUGAAGCCAAGUUAAAUGGUAUAUUUAUGUAUUAUGCCUAUUCAAAAUAUGAAUAAGUAAACAUACAAAUUAGCUGACUACAAUAAUACAAAGAUAAAAAAACAAUUUUAAUUAUAUGUAUAAAUAGUAUAAUUUUCCAUCAAAGGUGGUUCAUUUGAUUCCUCACUUCUUUCCCUCAUUUAAAACUAUGCAAUAUGAGACUUUCAUGUCACAUGGAAUCCUUCUCUUUUUUUUUUUUGGAAAUCUUAAUAGCUCAGUUAACUAACUGACUAUUUGAAUUCUCGAUUCCCCAUACUGUAAUCCUCUACCCCAAUUUUUUUCAUUACCUUCCUCACAUAUGUAUAAGACCGAAUCCAAAGAACUAAGAUGAGAGAAUUUUGGGAGAGCCGCCACUCCAACUACUGCCAUGUAUUAUCCAUACUAGAUCUGACCAUCUGUCCAUCCUACCCUCCUCUACGUUCUUGACAACCCAUUUUUGUCUUAGUCAAGUCUUUUAGUGGCACAUUUUGACCUUCUUUUCCAUUACUUAGAAAAAGUGAGCUAUUAUUCAGAUACAAAAUACUAUCAUUAUCGCCUAGAAAAUUAGACAUUCAACCCGUAAUCACAAUGAUCCAAUUACAAAAGCUCUGAACCCCCUAGGUCUAGACUGGCUCUGGCCCCUGGUUUUAUCACUUGACCUUCACAUGAGUAAACUCGUUGAUAUAGAGGAUUACAGUAUCGAUUUCUUUAAAAGAAAAAAACCUUAAUUUAUAAAAGUUCAAAAGAUUUUAAUUCAAUGUUUGUAAGUAAAAAAACAUAUUUCAUAAAACGGUUGCAAAUCACAUCGAAUAAGUUCCAUUGAUUGGUGUAUGGUUCUCAUAAGGGAAGUAACAGCAGCAUAAGCCAUAUAUCCAAAAAAUAGGACUAUCUCUCACUCUCAGUAUGAAAAUGGACAAAUUAAUUGCCACAAGUUAUGAAAAUGGCUAGUCCUCAGAACACCUUAACUACUUGCUGCAGAAUAAAAAAAAGACGCAAAAAAUGGAAAAUAAUAUGUUAGAUGUCCCAUAAUUAAGGAACAAGAGAACAUUAUAGUAAGAAUGAGCAUGCAGGUAUAAGAACUUACUCAUUAUUGCGGCAAGAAGCAACUUCUUUCUCAAAGUCAUCAUCAUCAUCAUCUUCAUCUGUUGUUACAGUAUCAAAUACCAAUUUCUCGAGCUGAUAUAAGUAGCGAAAAUCAUACAGGUCCUUGUGAUUGCGAAAGUCCUCUGGGACGCCAAAUACUUUCAACUUCUUUAAAUUGGGAAAUAGUCUAAAAAAAGACCCUGUACAAUACCAAGGAUUCAAUUGAUUGAGGCAUUGCAAACUUUUCAAAACCAAUCUGUUCUCUGUAGGCUCAUGACUCUGCAAGUAAUUCCAGCCCAUACACAGCUUCCUCAAUUGUGGCAUUGUCAAAAUUUCCGAUGGUAAUAUGAAAGGAUAAGCACAAUCACGAAACGGAAAGUUAAACUUAAAAGUUUGUAGAUAGCAUAGGCUUGAUAUCGAUAGAGGAAUGUCUAUUAUUGAUGAGGGAACAGCUUUUAACGAUCCUCGAUACUGCUUUAAGCAAGGAUAAAAACACAAAGAUAGGUAUCUCAAAUGAAUUAGAGAAAGUACUCCACUGGGAAAAAUUGGGUAUAUAUUCAAACCAAGAUCUAGUACUCUUACUAGCUUGAAAGACAAUUCCAGUGUGAAGCAUUUCAAUCCACCCAACAUGAUAAUAGAAUGAGCCUCACUGUUACGACACCAAGCCAAUUCUUCCUUCUUAUAGAUACUGAUCCGACUUCGACUCUUAAAGGAACACUGCAUGGAUUGUGCACAUGAAUUUUGAUCACUCUUUCCUCUGAUAACAUUCACAAAAUUCAUGUUUCGAGCUUCCCUCAAACAGAGUUCACGGAUCACAUCAUGCAUUCCACAUCUCUCUAUUUCCCCAUCAAAACUCAAAUUGUGGAUAGAAAUUAGACUUCUAUCUACAAGUUCGUUUAUACAUGUUUCUGCCACCUCUUCUAUGCUUUUUCCUUCUUCUUCAUUCAAAAACCCCUCUACGGCCCAUAACUCAACAAGUGCAUUUACAUAAAUCCGUUCAUCCUCUGCGAAAAUUGCAAAAUACAGAAAACACGGUUUUAGGUGAGAAGGCAAGUGAUGGUAACUCAAAGCCAACACUCUCAUGCAUUUUGCUUCAAGAUCUCUGCUUACCACCGAACUUACAUUCUCCGCAACAUUUUGCCACUCAUCCAAUGUUUUACUGAUUUUGGAGAGAAGUCCAGCAAUCAAAGUAAUUUCUAGAGGUAACCCUCCACAUUUUAAUGCAAUUUGUUUCCCAAUAUUUUCAAAUUCAGGAGAAUAAGAACCUUCUUUUUCAAAGAUCUUUUUGUGUAGUAAAUUCCAACUUUCGUCAAAAUUCAUGAGGCGCAUNNNNNNNNNNNNNNNNNNNNNNNNNNNNNNNNNNNNNNNNNNNNNNNNNNNNNNNNNNNNNNNNNNNNNNNNNNNNNNNNNNNNNNNNNNNNNNNNNNNNNNNNNNNNNNNNNNNNNNNNNNNNNNNNNNNNNNNNNNNNNNNNNNNNNNNNNNNNNNNNNNNNNNNNNNNNNNNNNNNNNNNNNNNNNNNNNNNNNNNNNNNNNNNNNNNNNNNNNNNNNNNNNNNNNNNNNNNNNNNNNNNNNNNNNNNNNNNNNNNNNNNNNNNNNNNNNNNNNNNNNNNNNNNNNNNNNNNNNNNNNNNNNNNNNNNNNNNNNNNNNNNNNNCAUGUUCAGGUAAACUGACAAGUGAGCUAGUUUGUGGUUUUAGAUCUUUCAUGCUGUCCGAUGCUGCCAUCCACUGUUUCACGGUGGAAUCAAUGUAUUCUAGUGCUUGUUCCAAGACGAAAAAAAUCUCCCACAUAGCCCUGCUUCUUUCCUCCAAAUUCUGUGCUAAAAAAACAUUUCUUGAUUCCGAGUCAACCAUAUCUUCUGUUGUGUAUGCUACCUCUGCGAUUUCAACUUCCAAGAUUGUUAACCCCUCAUGAUCGCCCAUUAUAUUGCAGGAUUUCUCCAGAAUAGCUCUCAAAGAUUUGAGCUUUUCAUAAAACGGUUGCAAAUCACAUCCAGUAAGUUCCAUUGAUUGAUGUAUGGUUCUCAUAAGGGAAGUAACAGCAGCAUAAGCCAUAUAUCCAAAAAAUAGAAAUAUCUCUCAGUAUGAAAAUGGACAAAUUGCCACAAGUUAUGUAAUUUUUCAGUUUUUAAGAAAACAGAAAAUGCAAAGUUCUUUCUUUUACUAGCUAUUUCCAUCACAUUUCCAGCUAGGUCCACCAACCUUAUCAUCAUGUAGACAAAAGCAGAGACCAAAGUUAAAAAAAAGUAGAAAAAUUUGUGAUCAUUCAUUAUUAGACCGUACACAUAUCUAUUCAUGAAUAUAAGUAUGCUUCUUACAUACAAGAGAUUGAUGAUUUUAAUUACAUUGAAAGCAACUUAGUAGAAUUUUCCAAAUCAAAGAGAGAAAUAUUAAGAUCCAAGUAGGAAUUUCUCUAUUCCUAGUUCGAUUCAAUUAACCAAGCAUAAAUAUCUCUUAAUAUACAUGAGAAGUUUAGACUCUAAAAGUCAAAUCAACAAAAUAUUUAUGGGCUAACACAUGAAAAACUAUUGAGAAAAUCGCCUAAUUUCUGUAAAUUGGCCCUUAAAUCUCCAAAAUGAACUCUAAAAAUUGUCAGACUGUACGUAUUGCUCCCCAACUCCCUACUGAGGGUUCUGUAAAGAUUUCGAUUAGAAUUCGUCCGUAAGUCAUAUCACCAAUAUAUUAAUGACUAACACACACGAAAAACUGAGAAAAUUGUCUAAUUUCUUGAAAUUGGCCCCUAAAUGCCUAAAAUGGACUCUAAAAGUUGUGAGACUGUACGUACUGCUCCCCCGACUCCCUACAGAGGGUUUCGUAAAUGUGUAGCAAAGAAAUCGUCUGGAAGUCAUAUCACUAUAAUAUUAAUGGGCUAACACACACAAACCACUGAGAAAGUCGCGUAUUCCUGUAAAUUGGCCCCUAAAUGCCCAAAAUGAACUCUAAAAUUGUGAGACUAUGUACUGCUCCACUAACUCCCUAUGGAGGGUUCCGUAAAGAUUUCACAAAGAAAUUAUUCGGAAGACAUAUCACCAAAAUAUUUAUGGGCUAAUACAUUUUUAUUUGUCCAUUUGAUUUGACAUAUCUUUCAAGUACUUUGAUCUGGUUAUACUUUUUUUUUAUUGCUAAAAAUAAAUAUCCACUUUUACUUGUUCAUUCUACAAAACAAAGACAAUAUUUUAUUGCUUGAUUCAGAUAUAAAAUUUGAGUAGGCUAAUUUACAAACCAUCUGUAGUCAUCCUGCCCCUAUGCUAUAACAUUUGAAAGAAAGAGGUCAUCAUCAUCAUAUUCAUCAUCGUUGUCAUCUUCAUCAUCAUCUUCAUCAUCGUUGUCAUCUUCAUCAUCAUCUUCAUCUUCUUCAUCAUUAUCAUCAUCAUCAUCAUGAUCGUCAUCGUCACUUGUUUCCUCACUGUUGAAAAAGCCAGCAACAAAAGAUGAAAAAUGAAAUGUUAUGCAAGUAUAACAAGUUACACAAUUACUAUAUUGGAAGGAUUUAAAUCAUAUACAAUGACAACGUAUGAACUUUUACACUAUAGGUGCCAUUUAACUGCUUAUUAAAGCAAUUUAUAAUUAUUUUAUUACUAGUUCUGGACACGUGCUUUGCAUGUGUAUAUUACACGUUUAGUCACGAUUGUAAGAGGGUGUACACCAGGAUCAUUCGAAGAGCAAAGUCGUGUGAGCCUUACAGAUAUUCUUGACGUACUCCUAUUAAAAUCUGUAUCAUAUUCGUAACUUUUUGAAUGAGGUUCACCUUUUUCCUCAUUGUACUUUGUACAUGGAUGUUGUCCAUCACAAUAUCCCCUUUUUCAAAUUUCAUAGCUGAACUACUAGGUGUACGAGUUCCUACCAGAACUACUACCAACUAUUUAUCAAAACACACAUCAACUAUAUAUGAGUUGUUCCCUUUUACUAGUGGUGACAAAUAGGUGGAUUUGGACGGGACUGAAAAUGGAUUGAGCAACAUGGUCGUAACUCACUUAAUCUCUUAAAGCCAGAAAACUUUAAAGAGUUAAUUGAAAUAAACUUAAUGACUAUCCUACUUGAAGUAUCACCGUCGUUCAGGUAAGAAAAAGGAAGUAUAUCAAGGAAGAAGAUGUCUUACAAAGCCUGAUGGAUAUGGACCUCGAUAGAACCUCCAUAGUUGUCUUGAAUGUCCUGUUGAAUCUGCUUUGCGGAAUUCCCAACAGAUUCUGGGCAGUUUCUUAUAUAGAUUAGAGCAAGUGUGGUUAUAUCUGCAAAAUCUUGAGGGAUUGAGUCCAAAAACCUGCAACUAUCAAGAAAUAGUCGUUCAAGGCACGGAAAGUGAUCACAACUAGCUCUCCAGUACUGAAUAUGUGAUCUUUUAAGUAACAAGAACUUCAAAAAAGGAAACCCUUCCUCAGCUACUUCCCACUCCCUGCCUCUGCAUACACCCUGUGUUAGUUCAAGAAGUUCAAGUUUGGGCAAUUUUCCGACAACAAUGCUUAAAUCCUUCCAUGACAAGAAGAAAUUUCCUGUAAAAGUUAAAUUCUUAAGGUUUCGUGGAAAAGCAUCUGGAGGAGGUAAGAUCAAAGAUGGAACAACUUCUACAACAAGUGGAUUCCUUGUCUGAAAACACAUUCUCCUCUCCAAAAAGUAAGCAUUAUUUUGAGGAGGAAGACAAAAUGCUAGUUCCUCGAGAUGAUCUAAGUAGCGAAAAUCAUAGAGGUCUUUGUGACUAUGGAAGUCUUGUGGGAUGCCACGUACUUGCAACUCCUUUAAAUUGGGAAAUAGUCUAAAGAAAGAUGCAGUACAAUAGCUAGGAUUCCAUCCAAACAGAGAAUGUAAAUUUUUCAUAACCAAACUUUUCUCUGUAAGCUCAUGAUAUCGCAAGUAAUUCCGAUCCAAAUGAAGGUGCCUCAACUGUGGCAUUGUCAAAAUAUCUGAUGGUAAUAUCAAAGCAUGUUUACGAAGAUUAAUGACGAGUGGAAGGUAAAGUACCAAACUUUGCAGAUAGCAUAGGUUUGAUAUGGAUGUAGGAAUGUCUACUCUUGAUGAGAGAACAUCUUCUUCGGAUCCUAGAUAUUGCUCAACGUUAGGAUAAAUACGCAAAGCUAGGUGUCUUAAGUGAAUCAAAUAAAGUAUUUCACGGGGAAAAGUUAGACAGAUAUUAUCAGCAAGAUCUAGAACUCUUACUAGCUUGAACGGCAAGUACUCCCUCAUGCAACAUCGGAAUCUACCAAAUAAGAUAACAGAAUGAGCUUCACUGUUAAGGCACCUAACAUACUCUUUCUUAUUAUGGAUGCUGAUUCGACUUCGACUCUUAGACAAACACUGCAUGGAUUUCACAUAUGAAUUUUGAUCAUUCUUUCUUCUGAGAACAUUCACAAAAUUCAUGUUACGAGCUUCCAUCAAACAGAGUUCACGAGUCAUAUCAUGAAUUCCACAACACUUAAUUUUUCCAUCAAAAGUAGUACUUUUAAUGGAAAUUAAACUUCUAUCAAUAAGAUCUUGUAGGUACUUUUCUGCCACUUCUUCUAUGCUUUUCAUCUCUUCUACCUUCAAAAAUCCCUCUGUUUCCCACAAUAUCAUAAGUUUAUUGACAAAAAUCAGUUUAUCCUCUGGGAAGAUUGCGAAAUAUAAAAAGCAUGGUUUUAGGUGGUGAGGCAAGUAAUGGUAACUCAUUGCCAACACCCUCAUGCAUUGGACACCAACAUCUGUGCUUACUGCUGAACUUACAUUUUCAGCAACACUUUGCCACUCACUCAAUGCUUUGUCAAUUUUAGUGAGAAGUCCCGCGAUCACAACAAUUGCUAGAGGCAAUCCUCCGCAUUUCAAUGCAAUUUGCUUUCCAAGUUGUUCAUAUUCAGGGGAGAAAGAGUCUUUCGUAAAGACUUUUUCAUAUAAUAAAUUCCAACUUUCGUCAAAAUUCAUGAGGCGCAUGUGAUGAGGAAGCUUACCUGAGCUAGCAUAUUCAGCCACUUCCACAUUCCGAGUAGUCAAGAGUAUUCGGCUUCCAUUAUGAAAGUCUGGGAAACAUAUUUGUAUAUCAUCCCAAGCUUUUGUAGUCCAUAUGUCAUCAAUGACUACCAAAUAUCUCUUGCCUUUUAGAAGCUUUUGCAGUCGAUCUGCUAGUUGCCCGUCAUGUAGCUGAUCAUAAGGUUUAUCACUUAUACAAGAAAGAAGGUCUAGGAAAACAUUUCUCACACAAUACUCUUGUGAAACAGUAGCUUUUGCACGUAUGUCAAAGCGAUACAUCAUGCAUGGAUCGUUGUAGAGUUUUGUUGCCAAAGUUGUCUUGCCAAUGCCUCCCAUACCUACAAUUGAUACAACUUCUAGUUCUCUUUCUCCUCUAGCAAGUUGAUCCAGCAUCAUCUUGAAUUCAUUUUCAUAGCCAACCAUUAUAACCUCGGACCGCUCAACAGCAAGUUCAGGUAUCUUGGAUAGACAGAAAUUUUGUGCUUUGAAAUCUUUAAUGUUGUUGUACCAGUCCCAUAUUGCCAACCACUGCAUCAUGAAGGAAUCAAUACAUUCUACCUCUUGUUCCAAGGAACAACAGAGUUCCCAGAAAGCUUUGCUUCGUGUAAUUACAGUUUCUGCAGAAGAAACUUUUCUUGAUUUCGAAUCAACCAUGUCUUCUGCUUUGAAUGCUACCUCCGUGAUUUCAACUUCCAAGGUUGUUAACCCCUCAUGAUCGCCCGUUAUAUUGCAGGAUUUCUCUAGAAUAGCUCUCAAAGAUUCGAGCUUUUCAUAAAACGGUUGCAAAUCACAUCCAUUAAGUUCCAUUGAUUGGUGUAUGGUUCUCAUAAGGGAAGUAACAGCAGCAUAAGCCAUAUAUCCAAAAAAUAGGAAUCUCUCACUCUCAGUAUGAAAAUGGACAAAUUAAUUGCCACAAGUUAUGUAAUCUUUCUUUUACUAACUAUUUCCAUCACAUUUCUAGCUAGGUCCACUAACAGGAUAAAGUAGAAAGAUGUGAGGUCACUAACCUUAUCAUCAUGAAGACAAAAGAAGAGACCAAAGUUAAAAAAAAAAAAAGACGAAAAAGUAGAAAAAAUUGUGAUCAUUCAUUAUUAGACCCUACACUAAUCUCUUCAGAAAAAUAAAAUAAAAUUUUAGUUUAAAUAAAGGAAUUCAAGCUGUAUAUUGAUAACGUCCAAUUCAAAUUCAAGUGUAGUACGGUCUAGCAAUAAUAAACUCAACAAAAGUUGGAGUCGAGGAGUACGCUUGUGUCAAGGUGACAGAGAGUGUGCGAAUUUGCUAACAAACAAAAGGUCUUUCUUUUAGCUAGGUCCAUAAUCCAUGUAGUGCUCUAUACUCUCUAGUCUCUAUCAACCAGCUCAAGUUUAAGGGUGUGUUUGGUAUGGAGGAAACAUUUUCUCUAGAAUAGGGAGAGAUUUGUGCAUAAACAAGGAAGAAUCUCUCAGUAUAACAGUGAAUGGGUAUUUUUUUAAGAUUUGCUUCUUUUGUGUAUGACUUUUGUAAGAAACAUUCUGGUAAAAGUUAAAAAAAAUGAUCUUGUGGAAUAGCCACAGUGAAUUCCUUAAUAUUCGAGUAGAAAAAGCCAGAGAGGAUAACAUUGCUAUUUGUACACUUAUCGUGACACGAGUAGUCUCUUAAAUAUUACACCUUUCUACUGAUGUUGCUGAUGCCACUGGAUUUAGCCUUCCGUCUUCCUUUGCAAGGUAGAUCGAGGACUCCCAAGAAAGGAAACACAAGUUACUGGAGUCUGUUCUGGCCUAUACAGUAUGUAUGUACAUAAAAUUUGGAGUAUCUAAAAACCACUGACAAAUGGCUAUACGAAAGAUCAUAUACAAUUAAAUUACAAGCCAUUUGCAAUCAUCCUGCCCCUUUAUGCAGAAUCUUUUCAAAGAAAAUGAAAACGAACAAAACAAACACUCACACAUUUGGCUUCUGAUUUGACAUUUAUUUCAGAGAACUGGCUAGUCGCUGCAGGAAAAAAAAAGACGCAAAAAAUGGAAAAUAAUAUGUUAGAUGUCCCAUAAUUAAGGAACAAGAGAACAUUAUAGCAAGAAUGAGCAUGCAGGUAUAAGAACUUACACAUUAUUGCGGCAAGAAGCAACUUCUUUCUCAAAGUCAUCAUCAUCAUCUUCAUCUGUUGUUACACUAUCGAAAAUGCUAGCUACAAAAGAUGAAAAAUGAAAUGUUACACUUCCCAAAAUCAAGAAUGAGCAUGCAAGUAUAACAAGUUACACAAUAUUGGAAGGAUUCGAAUCAAUCACAAUGACAGCAUCAAGAACUUUUGUUGAAUUGGUGUAAUUUGACUUACUAAAGCUAUUAUCCAGAUUAUUAUCGAGUUUACUAUAAUGAUGAGUUAAAUAUUGUUGUAAAUCAAGGAAGAAGAUGUCUUACUAAAGAUUACGAGUAUGGACCUCGAUAGAGCUUCCAUAGUUGUCUUGAAUGUCCUGUUGAAUUUGCUUGGCGGAAUUCCCAACAGAUUGUUGACAGUAAUGUAUAUCAAUAAGAGCUAGUGUGGUUAUAUCUGCAAAAUCUCGAGGGAUUGAAUCCAAAUACUCGCAAUUUCUAAGAAAAAGUCGUUCAAGGUACGGAAAGUGAUCACUACUAGCUCUCCAGUACCGAAUGUAUAUUUGAUCCAGAAACAAGAACUUCAAGUGAGGAAACCCUUCCUCAACUACUUCCCACUCCUCGCCUAUGACGGCAUUGUGUGAUAGUUUAAGGACCUCGAGUUUGGGUAAUUUACCAACAAUGCUCAAAUCCUUCCAUGCCAAAAGGAAAUCUCCUCUAAAAGUUAAACUCUGGAAAAGAUUAAUUAACAAAAAUUUAUGGUACUAAUUGGGGUAUUAAUUAACAUAUCCUUACUUGAUCACAUAUGUAUUGUUCUGUGUGAAAUUUUCCUCUGACUGAUAGUUGACUAAAUUAUAUUGCAUACGUUCGUGUACAUUUUCUCACUUGGAAGAGUGGAUUUGGACGUAAUUAACUAUCACCAUCGUUUAGGUAGAAAAAAGAAAAUAACUAAUAGUUGAAUGUUUUAAUACAUAGAUGAUCAACUAAUAUGAGAAGAAAAGAGUAGCGUAAAUGUGAGAUUCACUUCUCACCAAGAAUCCUCCUUUCUUAUUAUUUUCCUUUUAGAGGUUAAUAAUUAUUAAGUAUCCCUAGAAUAAUUUAUUGAAAAAGUAGAUUUGAAAGAAAGCAAUUACUCUCUUCUUCCUAUGCGGGACUUCUUGAACAUAACUAAUUUGACAAAAACCACAAUUUUAUUUAUUUUUAGGUGGAAUUAUAUCAAUAAGGAACUAUAUAUGCUUAUGAUAUUAAUCUAAGACCAUUAUUUGUUACUUGAACACAUGGAUUCAUCAUCUGAACAAUUGAAACAAUUAAUACUUGUGUGAACCUUUUUUUAUUUCGAGUGAUGUGUCAUAAUCAUUAGCCAACUAAGACUAGCGUUAAAUUUUUGGUAAGUCUCAAGAAGUGUAAUUAAUACUUAAUAAAAUAAUCUCAUCCUUGAGAUUCAAGAACUUGUUUGGAUUGAAUAGGUUUUUAUCAUCAAGAUCUAGAACAAAGUCUUAAUAUUAGUAAGAGGUAUUUUUGUGUGAAAAGUUUUCUUUGAGGUUCGAGAAAUGGAAUAGAUAUGGACUACAAGUUGAUAUUUCCCAUUGGAAAAUUCACACAAAAAGGAACAAGGAAUUCUCAAUGAAAAAAGCGCUCUCCAAAUCUGUUUAGUAUUUGUCAUGAGGUUCUUAUCAUAAUUGGAUUUUCCUUUUAGGAAAAGGUAAACACAGUCUCCAUAUUUGUCUAGUUCUUUUUCUUGUAGGAAAAAAAUUAUGACUCUAUAAAUAGAUGUUUUGUAACAUCCGACAAUUUGAAAUAGCUAAGAAGAGGCUUGAAAUUUGGAAAUUUUCAAUUUUUGGAAAGGAUUUGAAAAUCUGGAAAAUUUGGCUAAGUAUGGGAAAGGUGAGUUUUUUUGGGCCCAAACUUUGAACAACCAUAAAUUCUAGCUCAGGAUGAGUUAGGUGGAGUUCCGGUUAUGUUUGCAUAGCCCUCGGAACGACCUUUCCAACGCCACUGAGUUUGCUCAAUUCUGAGUUCGUAUGAGCGAGUUAUGGCCAUUGAAAGUUGGGCAGUUGGCAGGGAAUCCGUCCGGAAAAUUAAGGGCAUUUUAGUCUUUUCCCUAGCCAAUUCUUUUGGGAUUAUAUUGUUGUAUAGGGCUGAUCUUUAGAUCAUUUUGUCCCAUUUUAAGAAAUUAAAAUCUAGGGCUUGAGAGUGAAGAAGAGAAGAAGGAGAAGAAGAAGAGAAAAAUCGAGGAGAUCAACAAGUUUCCGACAAGAUCAUCGUGAAUGUUCGUCGGGGGUGAUCCCUAUCAAGGUAUGUGAGCUUUUAGUGUUGGGUGAUACUUUCCCCCACACACCUAGCCCCUUUUAUUUAUUAAGGAAGGAUUGGUUAUGUUGUUAAAGUUGUUAGUUGUUGUGGUUGAAGUUGUUGGAGUUGUUAAAGUUGUUAGUUGUUGUUGUUGGAAUUAUUGUUGGUGGUGGGACAUAAUUGAGUUGUGUUUUUAUGUUGAAAUCUAUUGAAUGUUGAGGGAUUUUAUGUUUCUAAGUGAUUGGGGGCUGGAAUCUUUGAGGUUAGAGGGUUUAGAGUUGGUAACGUGAAGGAGAAAGUCGGGUAGCUUGCGAGGAGCAUGUCUGCGUCGCGGACUUGUUCCUCUGUGAACAAAAAAUCUUCUCCGCGUCGCGGACAGGACGCAGACUCCACUGUUUUCAGAAUUUAUGUUCGAAGAUUUUCUUAGGUUUGGCUGUCCCAAAUCAUUCGCAAAUCAUUCCUAAACAUCAUGAGACCCUUCCAAACACCAAUCAAGUCCUUGAAUCCAUAAUCCAAUUCAAGGUGAGUUAUGAUCAAGUCAAGUGAAGUUAGUUUUCAAGUCAAGUGAAGUUAGAAGUCAAGUGAAGUUAGAGCCAAGCUUAGAAGUUAAGCAAGUCAAAGCAAGUCUUUAAAGCUUUUCAAGAGUCUUCAUUGAACGUUUUGACUUCAUUCUAAGGCUCAAGUUCCAAGUUAAGUAUAGAGUUUCAAGUCAAGCAAAGAGUCUCAAGUUUCAAGUUAAGUAAAGAGUAUCGAGUUUCAAUUUAAGUCAUAAUUUUUCAGUCAAGAGUCAAGAGUUGAGUUCAAUUCUCAAAAGUAAUUAGGGAACUAAGUAUUUCCCAAAGAAGUUUUAUAAGUGUUUUCACAUUUAAGUUGAGAGGAAACGGAGAUUUCCAAAAGAGUUUUGAGAAGUUUGAGCACUAUCUCUUUUAAAAGAAAAGAUGAGUUUUUGAAAAAGAGUUUCUAAAUUAUGAUUAGUAUGACAAAUGGAGUAUGUCAUCAAUGUUUAAACAGUAUGGUCUCUAGAUAUACCAUCAAUGUUUAAGCAGUAUGAAUAUCCCGAGUCAUCAAUGAUCAUAAAAAAAAAAAAUGUGGUUUUGACUUGUUCUAUUUAGAAAGAGUUUUCAAGUGCCUUCGGGCUAAGUUUUGAGUAAUUAUCUCAACUAAAGAAAGAUGUGCUUAAAACACUUAUGAGCUAAAGUAUUUUGGGAGUAGUAUCGAGCACCGAAUUGGGGAAACGAGUUCAUAUUAAACUCAACUCUCCAUAAGAACCAUGUAGCCAAACAUGGGAUUUCUCGGAUCAUACUUUUUAGAUGAUCACGAAAGUUAAGCUAGUGGAUCCAUUAAGCAAAAGUUAAAGUAAGGUCCUAUAUCGAUGGCAAGGUAUAGGAUGGUCCUUGGGCAACGUGAGGUAAAACGUUGUAUCACCACUCAGAUUCAUAGUGGUGGUUUGUCGGUUAGAGAAGCUCCCACAGUAGAAAGAGCAUGGUUCCUCGAGGGUUCUGCUUAGUAUGGAUGGGGGUAUGGGACUUCAUUCAUGCAUUGCACAAGUAGACUUUGAGAGGAAGCAUGGUAUUUUUAUGAUAUUAUAAAUAUGAUUUUUACGUCAUGUUUUAAUAGUUUCAAAAGCUUUAUAUAUAUUGCAUGUGUCUCAUUGCUUUAUAUUAAGUUCAGUUAUUCUUGAGUUGUACAGAGCCAAGGUAAGUUCUCUUUUGUAUCCCUUUUCAAGCUUAAGUUGUUGUUUAGCGGUCCAGCUCGCAUACUCGUACAUUCCAUGUACUGAUGCCAGUUGGCCUGCAUCUUAUGACGAUGCAGACACNNNNNNNNNNNNNNNNNNNNNNNNNNNNNNNNNNNNNNNNNNNNNNNNNNNNNNNNNNNNNNNNNNNNNNNNNNNNNNNNNNNNNNNNNNNNNNNNNNNNNNNNNNCAGUCAGUUAGUUUUGAGUCUCUCAUCUAUGUAUAUAUGUAAAUAUUCUAUUUUGAGACUCGAGUGGCCUUUUUGGCCAGAUGUGUAUCAUUUAAGUUGUUUAUGUCUUUGCAUGGCAUUGAGUUAUUCUGUUGAGUAGGUUUCCGCUGAGUUAAGAAAGCCAGGCCAAGGGUUCGCUUGGGGCCAGCAAUGGUCUCUGAGUGCCGGUCCCGCCCAGGGUGUAGGCUCGGGGCGUGACAUGUUUAUUCAUUCUAGCUUGGUAGCAUUCAUAAUGCAAUCCUAGGGGGCUUUGAGAGUUUUGUGUAUUGUGUGAAGCUAGAGGAAGAAUGUAUGAGACACAAGUAUUACUUUAACACUUGUGUGAACCUCUUUGUAUUCAGAGUGAAUUGUGUGAGGUUAUUCUUCUCUAGAUUUUAUAGUGAUUUUUUCAUCUCCUCUUGUGGAUGUAGAUCGGUUGACCGAACCACGAUAAAUGUUUGUGUCUUUUGAUAUAUUUCUUGUUUGUCUUAUUACUCAUCGUCUUUCAAGGUUUGCUUUGCUAGCUUUUGCAUGACACCUAAUUAUUUCAGUCCCAACAAGUGACAUCAGAGUCAGGUUCAAUGGUUUAAUGAUUCAAUGGUCGAACCAUGUUAAAAAUAAGUGUUCAUCUUGACGGGUUUAGUUCUAGCCGUAACAUAUUUGACAGUAAUGAAGAUUUUUGUUGGAGAAAUAUUUUCAAAGAUGUUUUCUGUGUUGAUAUAUAUAUAUAUAUAUAUAUAUAUAGAUUUUGCAGAGGAGAUGCAAGGUAUUGAAGAUUAUGUGAAGAAGGUGGAUCAAAUUUAUUUUGUCAGAAAUUUAGGCCAAUGGAGAUAUUUGUUUAGUAUUUGUCAUGAAUUUCUUAUCAUAAUUGGGUUUUUUCUUUUAGAAAAAGGAAACCACAAAGUUUCCAUAUUUGGCUAGUUCUUUUUCUUGUAGGAAAAUGUUUGACUCUAAAAUUAUAUGUGUAUUCCUUCUAGCCUAAUAGCAUUUACAAUGUAGUCCUAAGGGGCAUAGAGAGUUUUGUGUAUUGCGUGUAGCUAGGGGGAGAAUGUGUGAGACACAAGUGUUACUUUAACACUUGUGUAAACCUCUUUGUUUUUCCAUUGAAUUGUGUAAGGUUAUUCCUCUCAAUAUUUUGUACUUUCUUUUAUAUAGUGAAUUGCUCAUAUCCUCUUUUGGAUGUAGGUCGGUUGUCCGAACUACGUUGAAUAUUUAUGUCUUUUGGUAUAUUUUUCGUUUGUAUUAUUACUCAUGGUCUUUCAAAAUUUGCUUUGCUAGCUUUUGCCUGAUACCUAAUAAUUUCAGUCCCAACAAAACCAAACGUGAAAGUUGUUUUCCAGCAGACAACUUUUCUAGUAGCUCUACUCUCGACUUGGAUAAUUUAACCAAAAAGGUACGCUUUCGGCCAUUCUACAUGCUGCCUAUGUAGAGACAUGUUUAUCUAAAGUGGAUUCUCUUUUUUGUAGUAGGUAUCAAACCUGUUAUGCCCAUUGACUAAGAAGCUAGGGGUGGACACAACAACUACAUGGACCUCUUUCUUACAUCGGCCAUCACUAUUAAUCGUCUUUGUUAUCACAAUGACCACCACUAUUACCGUCAUCAAACAUCUCUGUCCUCACAAUUACCAUUAUUAUCAACCACUACUAUAUAUCAAACAUUUGCUAUAUUUAUGUUUUUUAUUGACAUAAACAAUGGGUUAACAUGAUAUAAUUUAUUAGUAGUUUUAUAUAUUUUUCUUAUAAUAAAGGAAACAAUCACUUAUACAUUCUUUGAGAUCAUUUAGUUUAAAAUCAGGAGUGGAAUCAUAACUAGGGUUAUAGCUUAGCAUCAAUUCACCUUCUUAAUUAAUGGGAUAAUUUAAUUAGCUAAAUUUGAAUGAAAAGAAGAAGAAAUUGAUUAAUUUAAUUCGUUUACGUUCCAAUGGGGUGUGCAAUAUCCAUAAAUUUGUCAUGUCGUUAUUAGGUGUUCAUGAGAUGCACAUAUUCCAAGCAAAAGUACCUAUUUGAUCACUAGAUGAGUUUAAGUAUUCAAUUUACAAAUUCUGCCAAAUUUGAGGGACUAUCUAGGUAUUAUUUAGAUAAAAUUAUUUGUAUAGUCCACUCUAAACAUACUUAUAAUUAAGCAAGUAACAUAUACUAUAUAAAGAAGCUUCUAGAGAUAAUUAAAGUUAACUCUAUAUAAUUAGAGUUGCAAUAACAAAUACGUCAAAACAUUAAAGUGUUUCACCAAUAAAGUCAUUUUUUUAAUGUCCAAAACUAAUCCAAUGGAAGCUCUAUUAUGUGGAACACCAGAAGAAGUUUCAGUAUUGUUGGUACAUCAUGAAGUAGAAUUUCUUACUAAUCAGACUGUUAAAUUGUUAGAGGCUUAUAAAUACAAAGGUGACAUUCUAGAAUUUUUUUAACUUUUUUGUUUCUUUGAUAUAAUAACUAAAUGCCGUGUGACAUUUUUUUUUAUAUAUAGAGAGAGAUUGAAAUGAUAUGCUUUUUGUUAUCUCAUUUAUGAUUUUAGCAUCGUCCAUUUUUAAAUUUCAUUUAUCUUGUAAAUCUUGAACUUUUCUUUUUCCUUGUUAUCAUAGCACUUUUUAAUUUUUACAAAUUUAUCUAUCCUCGAAGAAAAAUAAUUCUACAUUAGUGAUGGAUGCACAAGAAAUUAGGAUGACGGGAGGGAAGAGAAAGAGCACGAAAAAGACAUGAUAAGAGAUGAUCUGUCUAUCAUUAUUACUUGAGAUAAUAUUUUUUUGUCUUUUAUUGGAUGUAUAAAAAAAAAUGAGGAGAUCUAAUUUUCAUUAAAAAAACAUUUCCCUUUCUAUUUUUUGUUUUUGUUUUUCGUUGGACGUAGACAAAAAAUUGGCAACUCCUUUCUUAUACUUUGUUAGAUCAUCUAAUUACAUAUCUAUGAAAUAAAAUUACCUCAAAACAUUUUAUCCUAUUAUCUUUUGCUUUAAUAUUUAUUUGUUUUUGACAAGCCAUAAAUAAAUUGGAAUAGUUUUUAGAAAUAUAUUCUUUAGGAUCUUCUCUAGUUUUUAGUAAUCCAAUUAACGAAAAAAAAAAACUAAUAUAUACUUUUUAUGUAACCAAUCUAGUUAAGAUUGCACUCAUCAUUUAUAAUAUAAGUUGAUUAAUAUGUGUUAUUUUAAAAAUUAAAGUGCAGAAAUAUAACAUGAAAAUUCACAGUUGAAUUUGAAUAACAAACAAACAUAUCCAAAUGAUACCUUUGUGUACAAUAUUUUUUUUUUCAUAAUUUUCACUGAUUUCAAAUUGCACGGGUAUAUGUAGUUACGGAAGUUAUGGCUCCUGCGGCAAUGUCAAUGCUUUUCAAAGAAAAGAAAAAAAUUGAUGCAAUGAUAAUCAAGGUCAUUUCACCGGAUUCACAUUGCUUUGAGCUCCUGGCACAAGCUGUAACCUUGAACAUCAUCGUAGUAAGUAAGUAUUUAUAAUUCUAUCUUCCACUUAUUAUUAUAGACGGUAAAGUAAGUUUUUUUAAUUAACUAUUGCAUAAUGUAUAUAAUAUUAUUCAAUUUUAAUUGCUAUCUUCUUGAUAUAAUUAUGCAGUUGUCUAUGAUGAACUCAAUGAAUUCUUAGUGAAGAAAGCUUUGGACAAUGGAGCUUACAUUUGCUCGAAGAAGCCUCUUGUCGAGCAAACUAUGACAUUCUUGUGGCAAUUUGUAUGGAGGGAGAAAACACAAAGAGGGAAAUCAAUAAAAAGAGUAGAAACAAAGGGAGAUCAUAUUUUUGUUUGAAGUUAUUGGAGUUCUGAGAAAACAAUAGGUCGUGGUUUUUUCCUCCCUUGAGCAAAGAGGUUUCCACGUUAACAUAUGUGUUCUUACUUUAAGCAUUUAGAUUACUUCUUGUUAUCAGUAUAGUCAAGUGGUCAGAACACGAGAAGACAUGUCACUAAACAACAACAUAUAUAGGAAAAAACAAACUCUGCUAAGUGAUCGAUCCGUGUGUGAUAGUUGCCUUCUUAACCUUGAACUAUUGCUUCCUGCUAGAUUAUAUGAACUUAGAUAUGUAUACAAAUUAGUAUUCAAUGAGUUCCCAAACAUUCGUGCAUAAACAAUUUCCCCUGUUGUCGUGCCACCAGGACUUAGCAUAUGUUCUGUAUUUGUAUAAUUUCGAUGAUGAUCAUGAGAUUGCUGGGAUAAUGGAGGCAUAUUAUUAUUGUGUAUUAGACCGUGACUCCUACAUCUCGAACUAGGAGGUCUUUGUGGUAUGACUAUACCAAAAUUCUAUACCAAAAUUCGGGGCCUUAAUUUCAGAUGUUUUUGUAGCUUGACAGCGACCAUAGAGUGGAAUCAAUGUUUUUUGUGAGACUUCAGCUUUGCAAACAGGGCAAUUUGGUUGUUGGUUAUCGAUGUUCUCUGAUGAAAUGGUCUUAAAAUGUAUCCAUUUGUAGAUGCAAGGCCAACAAUAGGAGGUGACCACAUAAUGUAACAACAGGAUCAUGUACAACAUCUAGGCAAAUGUUGCACUCGAAACCUCCAGGUGAAUUUUCUUCAAGUUUAUCAAGAUCAAUUGUCUCCAUUUUUCAAAGGAAAUAUCGCGUUGAUCAAAGGUAGUUUCUGCUAUUUGGUCUUGAAAAAUUUGUUCUAAGGCCAUAUUUGCCUCUUGGUAUUGAAUUAUUUUGGUAAUGGCAAGAUGAAGAAUGGUUAGAAUUCAGGUUUUUAAUACAAUUAGAAGUGAGUAUUUAUAAGGACAAAGAAUAGUAGUUUGCAAACAAUGAUUCUUAAGGUUGUCACUUGUCAACAUCACAUUAUGUUAAAGGGGCAUGGCCAAAAAGAAAAGGCCCUACACAUUAUUAAACAACACUAUAUCAUAUUACUCAACAGUCUUGAUUUAUGGGGUAUUGUUUGAUUUGAUAUAACAUUUAAUAAGAAAAUGAAGACUUUUAAAAUAUGUACUGUAUUAAAGAUAAAAAAUAAAUUUUAAGUUUUUCGAUCCUAGAAAUGAUAUUCUUUUUAUAUUAAGACUAAAACAAAUGUUUUACAUAAAUUAAGAUAGAUGAACUAUCAAACACAUCAUAAUUAAGUGAUUUAAUGAAGUCAAAAAUAAAUAUUAAUGGAUCAUGGUUAAGUGAGAGGAGUUUUGUGCAAACACGUCUUUUAUCUAUCUAUUUGAUUUAAACAAGCAUAAGUUUUAUCAUAUUAGAAAUAUGAUUAGGACCUUAUAUUAGGCCCCAUGAUAGGAAUCUUAAUCUAGAAAAUAACUUUUAGUCAAUAAAAAGUAGCACUAGUUGCGUACAAGGAGCUACCACUUGAUGACCUUCCACACUUCCACAUCCCAUAAGUUCAAUAGUUUUCACACUAUAAGAACUAGAUGUUUUUUUCCGCGUGAAUCAAUAAAAUUUUUAGUUUUAUGUUAUAAAACAUGAUUUUUUUCAUUUUGAUUUUAUUAAACUAAUUCACUAAGAAAAUUCAUAACGAAACAUAAGUUCUCAUUGAAAUACUGGAAAUAGUCACUUGGAAAUUUAUGAGUUUUAGGAAAUUAUGCAUCAAAACUUAGAAAGACGCGGCUCAUAUAGAAAUUUGUUGUUAAAUCAUAAUAUAUACUUUUACAUCUGAAUAUCUUUAUUGAUUUGGUUAAAAUUAUAAUUAAAAAAAUUACAAUACAAUAUAUAUAGAUUCACAUAAAUUUAAUACUGUAAGUUCAAUUAUUAUUCAAUUAUUAUUAUGAUAUAUUAAUCUAAAAUUAUUAUAGAAGCUUCUAAACUCUAAAUUCAGAUCCAACUAAGGAGUGAAUAUACAUAGUGGGGGUCUGGGGGAUGGGAGAAAACAUAUGGACGGUGUGACAAAUAAAUAAAAGAAAUACUCCGUCCAUUCCAUUUGACUUAGUAUUGUUUGACUUAAUACGAUGUAUAAGAGAAAAAAAAGAUUUUAGAAAAUUAUAGGCUAAAACAAUUUUUAUAUAUUUAUAUAAUUGUAAAUCAUUUCAUUAAUUAAGGGUAGAUGGAGAAUUUUAAGUUUAAUUAUUUUCAAUUACAAUAAAAUGACAUUUUUAAAGACGGAUUAUGAGAAUAGAGUGCCACGUAAAAUAAAACGAGAAAAUACUACUCCCUCCUUCCCAUUUUAUAUGUUACCUUUUUACUUUACAUUUACAUUAAGAAAUAAUGUAACUUUACCCUUCUACCCUUAUUUAAUGUUUUCUUAAGUUAACUUUAUAACUCCCUCCGUCCCAUUUUAUAUGUCAUCUCUUUCUAUAAAUAGUUGGACCACAAUACUUGUCAUUUUAUAAAAUUUAUGUAUAAAUUACCAUAUUUUACCUAUUAUAUCCUUGAUAGAGUAGUUAAUUAAUCUUGAAAAUAUAUUCAUCAUUUAUUAUAAAUUGACUUAAGAAAAUAUUAAAUAAGAAUAGAAAGAUAAAAUUACAUCAUUUCUUAAUAAAAGUAUAAAGUAAAAAUGUGACGUAUAAAAUAGAACGGAGGGAGUACUACAAAAGAACGAGUCCGCACAUGCAUUAUACAAGUACUACAUGUGUCUCGAAUUUAGCAGCCUUUUGUCAACUUUUUAUAUUUUGGCUUACUUGGAAGCAAGUCUAUCCUCUCCUAUACAAUCAAUUAGGGUGGCCAUUAAUCAUAUAUUAUUAGGCUAAAGAUAACAUAUUGCUCCCUCCGUUUUUAAUUAUUUAUCCAUUUUUUUAGUUAUUCCUAAUUACUUGUCUAUUUUUACAAAUCAAGAAAGAACAAUUUUUUUUACCUAUUAUACCGUCAAUUUAUUACUUUGAAAAAAGUAGAACUUUUUGAAAAUCUUGAGUUUUUAAUUCAUCCACUUCAUAAUUAAUAUGGAUAAAAUGGUAAACUCACUAUUUCAAUAAUUGUUUUCUUAAUAGGUGUGCCAAUUCAAAAAUGGACAAGUAAUUAGGGAUAGAGAAAGUAUAUCGAAAUAAUAUAAUAAGAUAUUAUGCUAAAGAUAAUUAACAAAACUUUGAACAAUUAUAAAUAAGAUAGCAAAAAAAUCCAUAGUAAAUUAACAUGGUUCAACGAUUAGUGAUGGAAUCUGAAUAUGAUUCAGGAUUUUCACUAUUAAUGAAAUUCAAAAGGAAUAAUACAUAAAUGUGCCCUUUAACUUGACUUCAUUUUAUGUUUAUGUCCUUCAACUUUGGGUAUACACAAAUAUGCACCUAAACUUGUAUAAAGUUGAACAACUAGACACAUGAGUCCUACAUGACACAAUACACAUAAGAUACCACGUAGGAUAAAAAAUGCCAUGUAGGACAUGUGUGUCUAUUUUUUCAACUUUAUACAAAUUUAAAUAUCUACUUGUGCACACCCAAAGUUGAAGGGCAUAAAUGUGAUUUGAAGCCAAGUUAAAGGGUAUAUUUAUGUAUUAUGCCUAUUCAAAAUAUGAAUAAAUAAACAUAUAAAUUAGCUGACUACAAUAAUAGACAGAUAAAAAAUAAUUUUAACUAUAUGUAUAAAUAAUAUAAUUUUUCAUCGAAAGAGGUUCAUCUGAUUCCUCACUACUUUCUCUCAUUCAAAACUAAGCAAUAUGAGACUUUCAUGUCACAUGGAACCCUUUUUUUUUUUUUUGGAAAUCUCAGUAGUUCAGUUAAUUGACUGACUAUCUGAAUUCUCGAUUUCCCAUGUUGUAAUCCUCUACCCCAAUUUUUUUAUUACCUUCCUCACAUAUGUAUAAGACCGAAUCCAAAUAUCUAAGAUGAGAGAAUUUUGGGAGAGCCACCGACUCCAACUACUGCCAUAUAUUAUCCAUAUUAGAUUUGACCAACUAUCCAUCCUACCCUCCUCUACGUUCUUGACAACCCAUUUUUGUCUUAGUCAAGUCUUUUAGUGGCACGUUUUGAUCCUCUUUUCAAUUACUUAGAAAAAGUGAGUUAUUAUUCAGAUACAAAAUACUAUCAUUAUCGCCUAAAAAAUUAGACAUUCAACCCGUAAUCACAAUGAUCCAAUUACAAAAGCUCCGAACCCCCUAGGUCUAGACUGGCUCUGGCCCUAGUUUUAUCUCUUGACCUUCACAUGAGUAAACUCGUUGAUAUAGAGGAUUACAGUAUUGAUUUCUUUAAAAGAAAAAAACCUUAAUUUAAGGUAUGGAGGCCUAGAAAGGAAACACACGUUAUAUAUGGAGCCUGUUCUGGCCUAUACAGUAUAUAUGUACAUAAAAUUUGGAGUAUCUAAAGAACCACUGACAAAUGGCUACGAAAGAUCAUAUACAAUUAAAUUACAAGCCAUUUGCAAUCAUCCUGCCACCUUAAGCAGAAAAAAUGAAAACGAAUAAAACAAACACUCACACAUUUGGCUUCUGAUUUGACAUUUAUUUCAGAGAACUGGCUAGUCCUCAGAACACCUUAACUACUCGCUGCAGAAAAAGAAAAAAAAGACGCAAAAAAUGGAAAAUAAUAUGUUAGAUGUCCCAUAAUUAAGGAACAAGAGAACAUUAUAGCAAGAAUGAGCAUGCAGGUACGUAUAAGAACUUACACAUUAUUGCGGCAAGAAGCAACUUCUUUCUCAAAGUCAUCAUCAUCAUCAUCAUCUUCAUCUGUUGUCACACUAUCGAAAAUGCUUGCAACAAAAGAUGAAAAAUGAAAUGUUACACUUCCCAAAAUCAAGAAUGAACAUGCAAGUAUAACAAGUUACAAAAUAUUGGAAGGAUUCGAAUCAAUCACAAUGACAGCAUCAAGAACUUUUGUUGAAUUGAUGCAAUUUGACUUACUAAAGCUAUUAUCCAGAUUAUUAUCGAGUUUACUAUGAUGAUGAGUUAAAUAUUGUUGUAAAUCAAGGAAGAAGAUGUCUUACAAAAGAUUCACGAGUAUGGACCUCGAUAGAGCUUCCAUAGUUGUCUUGAAUGUCCUGUUGAAUUUGCUUGGCGGAAUUCCCAACAGAUUGUUUACAGUCACUUAUAUCAAUAAGAGCUAGUGUGGUUAUAUCUGCAAAAUCUCGAGGGAUUGAAUCCAAAGAAUAGCAAUCUUUAAGAAAAAGUCGUUCAAGGUACGGAAAGUGAUCACUACUAGCUCUCCAGUACCGAAUGUAUACUCUAUCCAGAAACAAGAACUUUAAGUGAGGAAACCCUUCCUCAACUACUUCCCACUCCUCGCCUAUGAAGGCAUUGUCUGAUAGUUUAAGGACCUCGAGUUUGGAUAAUUUACCAACAAUGCUCAAAUCCUUCCAUGCCAAAGAAAAUUUUCCCCUAAAAGUUAAACUCUUAAGGUUUUGUGGAAAAGCAUCCGGAGGAGGUAAGAGUAAAGUUGGAACAUCAGUUGGAGGUGCAGUUCCCCCGAAACGAGUCUGAAACCUCAGAGGAUCUUGCGGAGUAGAACCUGAAGGUGCAGUGUUUUUUAGAAAGCAAGCAAUAGGUGAAUAAUAAAUACCAAAUGUCAAUUUCUCGAGCUGAUAUAAGUAGCGAAAAUCAUACAGGUCCUUGUGAUUGCGAAAGUCCUCUGGGACGCCAAAUACUUUCAACUUCUUUAAAUUGGGAAAUAGUCUAAAAAAAGACCCUGUACAAUACCGAGGAUUCAAUUGAUUGAGGCAUUGCAAACUUUUCAAAACCAAUCUGUUCUCUGUAGGCUCAUGACUCUGCAAGUAAUUCCAGCCCAUAUGCAGCUUCCUCAAUUGUGGCAUCGUCAAAAUUUCCGAUGGUAAUAUGAAAGGAUAACUACUAUUGGGAAAUGGAAGGUAAAGUUUAAAAGUUUGCAGAUAGCAUAGGCUUGAUAUCGAUAGAGGAAUGUCUAUUAUUGAUGAGGGAACAGCUUCUUUCGAUCCUCGAUACUGCUUUAAGCAAGGCUUAAAACACAAAGAUAGGUAUCUCAAAUGAAAUAGAGAAAGUACUCCACUGGGAAAAAAUGGGCAUAUAGUCAAACCAAGAUCUAGUACUCUUACUAGCUUGAAAGACAAUGCCAGUGUGACGCAUUUGAAUCCACCCAACAUGAUAAUAGAAUGAGCCUCACUGCUACAACACCAAACCAAUUUUUUCUCAUUAUGGAUUCUGAUCCGAUUUCGACUCUUAAAGGAACACUGCAUGGAUUGUUCACAUGAAUUUUGAUAACUCUUUCCUCUGAUAACAUUCACAAAAUUCAUGUUUCGAGCUUCCCUCAAACAGAGUUCACGGGUCACAUCAUGCAUUCCACAACUUUCUAUUGUUCCACGAAAACUAAAAUUGUGGAUGAAAAUUAAGCUUCUAUCUAUAAGUUCAUUUAUACAUGUUGUUGCCACCUCUUCUAUGCUUUUUCCCUCUUCUUCAUUCAAAAACCCCUCUACGGCCCAUAAUUCAACAAGUUUAUUUACAUAAAUCUGUUCAUCCUCUGCGAAAAUUGCAAAAUACAGAAAACACGGUUUUAGGUGAGAAGGCAAGUGAUGGUAACUCAAAGCCAACACUCUCAUGCACUUUGCUUCAAGAUCUGUGCUUACCACUGAACUUACAUUCUCCGCAACAUAUUGCCACACACCCAAUGUUUUACUGAUUUUGGAGAGAAGUCCAGCAAUCACAGUAAUUGCUAGAGGUAACCCUCCACAUUUUAAUGCAAUUUGUUUCCCAAUAUUUUCAAAUUCAGGAGAAUAAGAACCUUCUUUUUCAAAGAUCUUUUUGUGUAGUAAAUUCCAACUUUCGUCAAAAUUCAUGAGGCGCAUGUGAUGAGGAGGCUUACCUGACCUAGCACAUUCAGCCACUUCCACAUUCCGAGUAGUCAGGAGUAUUCUGCUUCCAUUAUAACAGUCUGGGAAACAUAGUUUUAUAUCAUCCCAAGCUUCUGUAGUCCAUAUGUCAUCAAUGACUACCAAGUAUCUCCUGCCUUUCAGAUGCUUCUGCAAUCGGUCCGCUAGCUGAUCAUCAGGUUCAUCACUUAUCGAAGGAAGAAGGCCUAGGAUUACAUUUCUCACACAAUACUCUUGUGAAACAGUUGCUUUUGCACGAAUAUCAAAUCGAGACAUAAUGUAAGGAUCACUAUAGAGUUUUGUAGCCAAAGUUGUUUUCCCGAUACCUCCCAUCCCUACGAUUGAGACAACUUCUAGUUCCCUUCCUCCUCUAGCAAGUUGAUCCAGCAUCAUCUCAAAUUCAUUUUCACGGCCAACCAUUAUAUUCUCGGGCUGCUCAACAGCAUGUUCAGGUAAACUGACAAGUGAGCUAGUUUGUGGUUUUAGAUCUUUCAUGCUGUCCGAUGCUGCCAUCCACUGUUUCACGGUGGAAGCAAUGCAUUCUAGUGCUUGUUCCAAGACGAAAAAAAUCUCCCACAUAGCCCUGCUUCUUUCCUCCAAAUUCUGUGCUAAAAAAACAUUUCUUGAUUCCGAGUCAACCAUAUCUUCUGUUGUGUAUGCUACCUCUGCGAUUUCAACUUCCAAGAUUGUUAACCCCUCAUGAUCGCCCAUUAUAUUGCAGGAUUUCUCCAGAAUAGCUCUCAAAGAUUUGAGCUUUUCAUAAAACGGUUGCAAAUCACAUCCAGUAAGUUCCAUUGAUUGAUGUAUGGUUCUCAUAAGGGAAGUAACAGCAGCAUAAGCCAUAUAUCCAAAAAAUAGAAAUAUCUCUCAGUAUGAAAAUGGACAAAUUGCCACAAGUUAUGUAAUUUUUCAGUUUUUAAGAAAACAGAAAAUGCAAAGUUCUUUCUUUUACUAGCUAUUUCCAUCACAUUUCCAGCUAGGUCCACCAACCUUAUCAUCAUGUAGACAAAAGCAGAGACCAAAGUUAAAAAAAAAAGAAAAAAGGCAGGACUCUAACAGGAAAAAGUAGAAAAAAUUGUGACCAUUCAUUAUUAGACCCUACACUUAUCUAUUCAUGAAUAUAGGUAUGUUUCUUACAUACAAGAGAUUGAUGAUUUUAAUUCCAUUGAAAGCAACUUCGUAGAAUUUUCCAAAUCAAAGAGAGAGAAAUAUUAAGAUCCAAGUAGGAAUUUCUCUAUUCCUAGUUCGAUUCAAUUAACCAAGCAUAAAUAUCUCUUUAAAUAUAUAUGAGAAGUUUAGACUCUAAAAGUCAAAUCAACAAAAUAUUUAUGGGCUAACACAUGAAAAACUAUUGAGAAAAUUGCCUAAUUUCUGUAAAUUGGCCCUUAAAUCUCCAAAAUGGACUCUAAAAAUUGUCAGACUGUACGUAUUGCUCCCAACUCCCUACUAAGGGUUCUGUAAUUUCGAUUAGAAUUCGCCCGUAAGUCAUAUCACCAAUAUAUUAAUGACUAACACACACGAAAAACUAAGAAAAUUGUCUAAUUUCUUGAAAUUGGCCCCUAAAUGCCUAAAAUGGACUCUAAAAAAUUGUCAGACUGUACGUAUUGCUCCCAACUACCUACUAAGGGUUCUGUAAUUUCGAUUAGAAUUCGCCCGUAAGUCAUAUCACCAAAAAUAUUAAUGGGCUAACACACACAAAACACUGAGAAAGUCGCCUAUUCCUGUAAAUUGGCCCCUAAAUGCCCAAAAUGAACUCUAAAAUUGUGAGACUAUGUACUGCUCCACUAACUCCCUAUGGAGGGUUCCGUAAAGAUUUCACAAAGAAAUUAUUCGGAAGAUAUAUCACCAAAAUAUUUAUGGGCUAAUACAUUUUUAUUUGUCCAUUUGAUUUGAUAUAUCUUUCAAGUACUUUGAUCCGGUUAUACUUUUUUUUUAUUGCUAAAAAUAAAUAUCCACUUUUACUUGUUCAUUCUACAAAACAAAGACAAUAUUUUAUUGCUUGAUUCAGAUAUAAAAUUUGAGUAGGCUAAUUUACAAACCAUCUGUAGUCAUCCUGCCCCUAUGCUAUAACAUUUGAAAGAAAGAGGUCAUCAUCAUCAUAUUCAUCAUCGUUGUCAUCUUCAUCUUCAUCUUCAUCAUCAUCUUCAUCUUCAUCAUCAUCUUCAUCAUCAUCUUCAUCUUCUUCAUCAUUAUCAUCAUCAUCAUCAUGAUCGUCAUCGUCACUUGUUUCCUCACUGUUGAAAAAGCCAGCAACAAAAGAUGAAAAAUGAAAUGUUAUGCAAGUAUAACAAGUUACACAAUUACUAUAUUGGAAGGAUUUAAAUCAUAUACAAUGACAACGUAUGAACUUUUACACUAUAGGUGCCAUUUAACUGCUUAUUAAAGCAACUUAUAAUUAUUUUAUUACUAGUUCUGGACACAUGCUUUGCAUGUGUAUAUUACACGUUUAGUCACGAUUGUAAGAGGGUGUACACCAGGAUCAUUCGAAGAGCAAAGUCGUGUGAGCCUUACAGAUAUUCUUGACGUACUCCUAUUAAAAUCUGUAUCAUAAUAUCUGAUGAAAUCAGCUACUGAUCAGUCAAGCUCUCCAUUGAUGUAGACUUCAACUACACAUGAGAAAGAAUGAGAGAAGAAGAGAGAAGAGAAGAGAAGAAGAAUCUAGAAGAGCAACAUGAAAAUUAAUCUCUCAUUGAAUGUGAAUUAAAACUACAAGAAUUACAAUGUGACUAUAUAUAUAUAAUCACUGGCAGAAAUUAACUAACUAACAAACUUGAUUCUAACUAACUCUACUGUACAUAGAUUCUAACUAACUCUACUGUACAUAACCGACUCUACUGUACAUAACUAACUAAUUAUACUUUAUAUUCUCAUCACCCCCCCUCAAGUUGGAGGUGAUGUAAUUACAGACAACUUGUGCAAUAAGGCAGUAUGUUUAACUCCAGUCAGAGCCUUGGUGAAGAUGUCUGCCAACUGUGAAUCAGUGGGAAUAUGAUGGAGUGUGAUUAGGCCUUGUUGAAGCUUGGUCCUAACAAAGUGACAAUCGAUUUCUAUGUGCUUUGUCCUCUCAUGAAAAACUGGAUUCUUUGCAAUGUGGACUGCUGCUUGACUGUCACAAUGGACAGGGAUAGGUAAGGAGCAUUGUACAGUCAACUCAUCCAACAAUCGUUCAAGCCACACUAGUUCUCCUACAACUUGUCUCACAGCUCUAUAUUCAGCUUCAGCAGAUGACAAAGACACUGUUGCUUGCUUCUUAGACUUCCAGCUGACAGGACUAUCACCCAGAAGCACUAGGUAUCCACUAACAGACUUCCUGGAAUCAGGGCAAGCAGCCCAAUCAGAAUCACAAUAAGCACUGAUAGUGAGAUCAGGCUUGUUUGAGAUAAAAAUUCCCAAUGUUGGAUCCUGUUUCAAAUAUCUGAGCACAUGGUAUGCUGCUUUUAAAUGUGGUUCCCUAGGUGAUUGCAUAAAUUGGCUCAAGUGUUGUAUACUAUAAGCUAUGUCCAUUCUAGUGUUGGUCAAAAAAUUUAGCUUACCAACCAACUUCCUGUAUUGAGUAGGAUCAGAUAAAAGAUUGCCAUCUGUAGCUGUUAACUUCUCAGUGCAAUCAAGUGGUGAUGUAGUGGCCUUGUGACUUAACACAUCAAAAUCUUUCAGGAGAUCAGAAGUGAAUUUCCUUUGUGAAACUAGCACUCCAUCAUGUCUGUAUAAUAUUUCCAGUCCCAGAAAGUAGUGUAGUUUGCCCAAAUCCUUUAUCUUGAACUGAUCAUUUAAGAAGCUCUUUAAGGAGUUGAUUUCAGCCACAUCUGUUCCAGUUAGAAUUAUGUCAUCCACAUAUACAGCAACAAACACCAAGGAGCAGCCCUUCCUUUUGUAGAACAGUGAGUAAUCACUGUCUGAGUGCUGAUACCCUCUUGAACAUAGACAGUUUGCCAACUUCUCAUACCAUUGCCUGCUGGCCUGUUUUAGUCCAUACAAAGACUUCUUCAAUUUGCACACCAUGUUAUCACAACCUACUACAAGACCUUGUGGAGGUGCCAUGUACACUUCCUCAUGCAAAUCACCAUGUAAGAAUGCAUUAUUGACAUCUAGCUGAUACAAGCUCCAAUCUUUCUUAACAGCUAAAGAGAUUAAUGUUCUAACAGUAGUCAUUUUAACUACAGGUGAGAAGGUUUCAGUGUAAUCUACCCCAACUUGUUGUGUAUAACCUUUGACCACCAACCUACACCCCAGCUUGUUGUGUAUAACCUUUGACCACCAGCCUAGCCUUGAACCUCUCCACACUCCCAUCAGCUUUGUGCUUGAUUUUGUACACCCACUUGCACCCAAUAGCUUUCUUCCCAUCAGGUAACAUGACCAUCUCCCAAGUGUCAUUAGCAUACAAAGCUUCAAACUCCUGUGUCAUGGCCUGCUGCCAGGCAGGGUGCAAUAUUGCUUCCUCAAAUGAAAUAGGCUCACAUUCAUGUGAAAUGGUUGUUACUAACUGCUGACUAUCAGAACAAAGACUGGUGAAACAUACAUGUUUAUGGGGAGAUAUAAAGGAAGUGAGGGAGUGCAGCUUAGGUAUAGUGUAGGUGUAUUCUUUUAGGUAAUUAGGAGUGUGUAUGGUUCUGGUUGUUCUUCUAGGUGCUGAUAUUGUAGGUACUGGUAAAGUAUCAUGAUGCAUGGUGGCAUUUGGAUCAGGUAAGGUAGGUUGAGUUGUAGUAGGUUGAGUUGUAGGUUCAUGUAGGACAGCAGGUGGUACUUCAUUCAUGUUGGUAUUACUGGUUACUUGAUUAUUAGUGACUUCAUGUGGUGUGAAAUUUUCCAGUUGAUCAUCAUUAGCAAAAAUGUUCAUUUUACCAGACAUACAAGGCAUGCUAGUGGUAUGAGUAAGCAUUUGCAGAAUGGAAUUGAAACUAGAACCAUCAGGGGCAAUAACAAAAGGAAAAAUAUUUUCUUGAAAAAUAACAUCUCUUGAUAUAUGAACUUUCUUGGUAGCUAAAUUCAAAACUUUGUAACCUUUUGUAUUGAAAGGGUAACCAACAAAAACAUGAGGUGUGGUUCUAGGUUCAAAUUUAUCUUUGUGAGUUUUCAAGGUAGUGGGGAAACAAAGACAACCAAAACUCUUAAGGUGGGAAUAUGUAGGUGAUUUAUGGUACAACAUUUCAUAUGGAGAUUUAUUCUGUAAAAGUUGAGUGGGCAGUCUAUUAAUCAGGUAUGUGGCAGUCAAUACACAUUCCCCCCAGUACCUCAUAGGCAACUUUGACUGAAACAAAAGUGCCCUUGCUGUUUCAAGUAGGUACUUAUGUUUCCUUUCUACCACCCCAUUUUGUUGAGGUGUAUAAGGACAAGUUCUUUGGUGUAUGAUACCUUGUUUUGGAAGAAAUUUGUGGCUUCAGCUGAAGUAAACUCUAACCCAUUGUCAGAUCUUAUGGCUUUUUAACUUGGUUUGGAAUUGGUUUUCUAUGAGAGAUAUGAAGGCUUUGAUAGUUUGGAGAGCAUUACUCUUACAUCUCAGCAAUUGUGUCCAAGUGGACCUACUGUGGUCAUCUACCAUAGUGAGGAAAUAAUGAUAUCCAUCAUGAGUGGGAACAUGAUAUGGUCCCCAUAGGUCAACAUGUAACAACUCAAACACUUUAGUGGUGGUGGUGAUACUUUCUGGAAAAGGCAUCCUAGUUUGCCUAGCCAUAGGGCAUAUAUUGCAAGUAAAAGGCUGUUUAGGAGAAAAAUGAACAGGUAUAGUUGAGAUAUUUUUCAUUUUUACAAAAGGUACAUGUCCUAAUCUAGCAUGCCACAAAAGUUCAUCAUCAUGAGUGUGAUUAGAGACAUUUGUAAAUGAAGGACAAGCAUGAGUAAAACAAGAGGAAGGAAAAACAGUACAAUCUGCCUUAUUCAUAGGAGAGUAUUUUACAGAAGAACCAGUGGACACAUUAGAAUCUGAAACCCUGCUAGUAUUGCCUAAAGAAGAGACAAGAGGACAAUUAACAUGAGGUGCUUUACUCUCAGCAGAUGGACAACAAUUGUGGCAUUUGUGACACAAGAAGUACAGGCCAUUCUUGGCUUUACCAAGUUCCAGAGGGCUCUUCAGAGAAGGGCCCUGCAGCAAACAAGAAGAUUUGUCAAAGCUGACUACACCAUUGAAUUGUAGUGCUAAACAAUGAACAGAAAUGAGAUUAAACUUGAAGCUAGGUACAAACAACACUUUGCUUAGAGUCAAAGCUGGAUUUAAACAAGCAUCACCAAUUUCAGUCACUUUAACCUUGUAACCAUUAGGGAGUGAAAUUAGAAAGGGAUAUGGAAGUGAAAUGAUGUUUGUGAGGGUGGUCUUAUCAUAGGUCAUAUGGUGUGAUGCUCCUGAAUCUAUGAUCCAAGAGCCAGCAGUCAGUUUAACACAUUUACAAGAAAGAUCACCUAUAUCAGUAAUAGAGGAAUAACAUGCAAGUAUACCUGCCAAGUUCACAGCUCCAUUCAGCAUGUUGUUUGAGUUGUCUGAGGCUCCAUUUCCAACUUGUAAAGUUCCCAGGAGAUUGAGUAGUUGUUCAUAUUGAUCUUUGGACAAGUUCAAUGGCAUUUGUCUCCUUACUUCAGGUUCCUCUUCAGAUUGAACUCCAUUCAUAUCAGGGGCACACACAUUUGCUGCAGCUUUUCCCUUUUUGAACCUUGGAUUUGGAUUGGAUGGGUAUCCAUGAAGCUUGUAACAUCUAUCCUUUGUGUGUCCUGAUUUCUUACAGUAGUCACAAAACAAAGAAGACUUGCCAGUGCUAGAAUUGCCUCUAAACCCAGUAUUACCAGAAUUGGUUCCACCUCCUCCAGAUGAACUGUAGUUUGUCCGGAAUCCCCUGUAUCCUGCACUGCUGUUGGUCUGUCCAUAAGCAUUGAGAGAGGUAGAAUCCAAGGCUGUAUGAUUAUGAGGCUUCACCUCCCUUUGUUUUUCCUCUUGGGAUAAUAUGGCAAAAGCUUGAGCCAUGCUUGGAAGUGUGUUCAUCAUGAGAAUGCUGCCUCUGACAGUCGUAUAUAUCUCAUUCAAUCCCAUUAGAAAAUGUAUCAAUCUUCUGUCUUGUUCAGCCUUGUGUAAUUUGCUUUUACCCCCACAAAUGCACACACAAGUACACUGAGAAUUGACAUCAAUGGUACUCAUUUCCUCCCACAACUUCUUCAUUCUUGUGUAAUAUCCAGUGAUGUCUAAAGUGCCUUGGACCAGAUCAUUAAUUUCCUUCUGCAGUUGAUACAAUUUACACCCAUUGGUUUGAUCGUACCUUUCUUCUAGUUCUCCCCAAAGCUCCUGAGCAUUAUUGACAUACUGCAGACUAUCACGCAAAUCUGGUGACAAGGAAUUCAGGAUCCAAGAUGUGACCAUAUCAUCACACCUUUCCCAUUGCUGAAAGCUAGGAUCAGUAGGAUCAGGUCUCACAACCUUCCCAUUAAUGAAUCCUGUCUUGCUCUUAACAGAUAAAGCCCUGAGAACUGCUCUUCUCCAGGAUCUGUAACCAGUUCCAUCAAAAACUGCAGGUAAUAGGGAUGAACUUGCAUUCUCAGAUGGAUGCAAGUAGAAAGGACUAGGGAUUUCUACCCUAACAGUGGAUGCAGAAGCAUUUGGAAUGGAAUCAUUUGAAGAAUCGACCAUUGUGAAUUGAAAAUUGGGAAGAAGAUCAAGUCGAGAACAACCAGAUCAAACAGCGUUCACAAACAAAAUUGACAGAUCGAAGAUCCAGUCGAGAUCAACCAGAUCAAAGAAAAAAUUCACAUAAGAGAAAACGAAGCUCACAGAUUGAAUUGGAAACAAAAAAAAACAGGAGCAAUUCCCUGUGCUUUGAUACCAUGAUGAAAUCAGCUACUGAUCAGUCAAGCUCCUCCAUUGAUGUAGCUUCAACUCACAUGAGAAAAGAUGAGAGAAGAAGAGAGAAGAGAAGAGAAGAAGAAUCUAGAAGAGCAACAUGAAAAUUAUCUCUCAUUGAAUGUGAAUUAAAGAAGUGAGUAUUACAAUGUAUCUGUAUAUAUACACAAUCACUAAGCAACUAAUAAUCAUUGGCAGAAAUUAACUAACUAACAAACUUGAUUCUAACUAACUCUACUGUACAUAACCGACUCUACUGUACAUAACUAACUAAUUAUACUUUAUAUUCUCAUCAAUAUCCCUUUUUUCAAAUUUCAUAGCUGAACUACUAGGUGUGCGAGUUCCUACCAGAACUAUUACCAACUAUUUAUCAAAACACACAUCAACUAUAUAUGAGUUGUUCCCUUUUACUAGUGGUGAAAAAUAGGUGGAUUUGGACGGGACUGAAAAUGGAUUGAGCAACAUGGUCGUAACUCACUUUAAUCUCUUAAAGCCAGAAAACUUUAAAGAGUUAAUUGAAAUAAACUUAAUGACUAUCCUACUUGAAGUAUCACCAUCGUUCAGGUAAGAAAAAGGAAGUAAAUCAAGGAAGACGAUGUCUUACAAAGCCUGAUGGAUAUGGACCUCGAUAGAACCUCCAUAGUUGUCUUGAAUGUCCUGUUGAAUCUGCUUUGCGGAAUUCCCAACAGAUUCUGGGCAGUUUCUUAUAUCAAUUAGAGCAAGUGUGGUUAUAUCUGCAAAAUCUUGAGGGAUUGAGUCCAAAAACCUGCAACUAUCAAGAAAUAGUCGUUCAAGGCACGGAAAGUGAUCACAACUAGCUCUCCAGUACUGAAUAUGUGAUCUUUUAAGUAACAAGAACUUCAAAAAAGGAAACCCUUCCUCAGCUACUUCCCACUCCCUGCCUCUGCAUACACCCUGUGUUAGUUCAAGAAGUUCAAGUUUGGGCAAUUUUCCGACAACAAUGCUUAAAUCCUUCCAUGACAAGAAGAAAUUUCCUGUAAAAGUUAAAUUCUUAAGGUUUCGUGGAAAAGCAUCUGGAGGAGGUAAGAUCAAAGAUGGAACAACUUCUACAACAAGUGGAUUCCUUGUCUGAAAACACAUUCUCCUCUCCAAAAAGUAAGCAUUAUUUUGAGGAGGAAGACAAAAUGCUAGUUCCUCGAGAUGAUCUAAGUAGCGAAAAUCAUAGAGGUCUUUGUGACUAUGGAAGUCUUGUGGGAUGCCACGUACUUGCAACUCCUUUAAAUUGGGAAAUAGUCUAAAGAAAGAUGCAGUACAAUAGCUAGGAUUCCAUCCAAACAGAGAAUGUAAAUUUUUCAUAACCAAACUUUUCUCUGUAAGCUCAUGAUAUCGCAAGUAAUUCCGAUCCAAAUGAAGGUGCCUCAACUGUGGCAUAGUCAAAAUUUCUGAUGGUAAUAUCAAAGCAUGUUUACGAAGAUUAAUAACGAGUGGAAGGUAAAGUACCAAACUUUGCAGAUAGCAUAGGUUUGAUAUGGAUGUAGGAAUGUCUACUCUUGAUGAGAGAACAUCUUCUUCGGAUCCUAGAUAUUGCUCAACGUUAGGAUAAAUACGCAAAGCUAGGUGUCUUAAGUGAAUCAAAUAAAGUAUUUCACGGGGAAAAGUUAGACAGAUAUUAUCAGCAAGAUCUAGAACUCUUACUAGCUUGAACGGCAAGUACUCCCUCAUGCAACAUCGGAAUCUACCAAAUAAGAUAACAGAAUGAGCUUCACUGUUAAGGCACCUAACAUACUCUUUCUUAUUAUGGAUGCUGAUUCGACCUCGACUCUUAGACAAACACUGCAUAGAUUUCACACAUGGAUUUUGAUCAUUCUUACUUCCGAGAACAUUCACAAAAUUCAUGUUACGAGCUUCCAUCAUACAGAGUUCACGAGUCGUAUCAUGAAUUCCACAACACUUAAUUUUUCCAUCAAAAGUAGUACUUUCUAUGGAAAUUAAACUUCUAUCAAUAAGAUCUUGUAGGUACUUUUCUGCCACUUCUUCUAUGCUUUUCAUCUCUUCUACCUUCAAAAAUCCCUCUGUUUCCCACAAUAUCAUAAGUUUAUUGACAAAAAUCAGUUUAUCCUCUGGGAAGAUUGCGAAAUAUAAAAAGCAUGGUUUUAGGUGGUGAGGCAAGUAAUGGUAACUCAUUGCCAACACCCUCAUGCAUUGGACACCAACAUCUGUGCUUACUGCUGAACUUACAUUUUCAGCAACACUUUGCCACUCACUCAAUGCUUUGUCAAUUUUAGUGAGAAGUCCCGCGAUCACAACAAUUGCUAGAGGCAAUCCUCCGCAUUUCAAUGCAAUUUGCUUUCCAAGUUGUUCAUAUUCAGGGGAGAAAGAGUCUUUCGUAAAGACUUUUUCAUACAAUAAACUCCAACUUUCGUCAAAAUUCAUGAGGCGCAUGUGAUAAGGAGGCUUACCUGAGCUAGCAUAUUCAGCCACUUCCACAUUCCGAGUAGUCAAGAGUAUUCGGCUUCCAUUAUGAAAGUCUGGGAAACAUAUUUGUAUAUCAUCCCAAGCUUUUGUAGUCCAUAUGUCAUCAAUGACUACCAAAUAUCUCUCACCUUUUAGAAGCUUUUGUAGUCGAUCUGCUAGUUGCCCGUCAUGUAGCUGAUCAUAAGGUUUAUCACUUAUACAAGAAAGAAGGUCUAGGAAAACAUUUCUCACACAAUACUCUUGUGAAACAGUAGCUUUAGCACGAAUGUCAAAACGAUACAUCAUGCAUGGAUCGUUGUAGAGUUUCGUAGCCAAAGUUGUCUUGCCAAUGCCUCCCAUACCUACAAUUGAUACAACUGCUAGUUCUCUUUCUCCUCUAGCAAGUUGAUCCAGCAUCAUCUUGAAUUCAUUUUCAUAGCCAACCAUUAUAUCCUCGGACCGCUCAACAGCACGUUCAGGUAUCUUGGAUAGACAAAAAUUUUGUGCUUUGAAAUCUUUAAAGUUGUUGUACCAGUCCCAUAUUGCCAACCACUGCAUCAUGAAGGAAUCAAUGCAUUCUACCUCUUGUUCCAAGGAACAACAGAGUUCCCAGAAAGCUUUGCUUCGUGUAAUUACAGUUUCUGCGGAAGAAACUUUUCUUGAUUUCGAAUCAACCAUGUCUUCUGCUUUGUAUGCUACCUCCGCGAUUUCAACUUCCAAGGUUGUUAACCCCUCAUGAUCUCCCGUUAUAUUGCAGGAUUUCUCCAUAAUAGCUCUCAAAGAUUCAAGCUUUUCAUAGAAUGGUUGCAAAUCACAUCCAGUAAGUUCCAUUGACUGGUGUAUGGUUCUCAUAAGGGAAGUAACAGCAGCAUAAGCCAUAUAUCCAAAAAAUAGGAAUCUCUCACACUCAGUAUGAAAAUGGACAAAUUAAUUGCCACAAGUUAUGUAAUCUUUCUUUUACUAACUAUUUCCAUCACAUUUCUAGCUAGGUCCACUAACAGGUAAAGUAGAAAGAUGUGAGGUCCCUAACCUUAUCAUCAUGUAGACAAAAGAAGAGACCAAAGUUUUUAAAAAAAAGACAGGAAAAAGUAGAAAAAUUUGUGAUCAUUCAUUAUUAGACCCUACACUAAUCUCUUUAGAAAAAUAAACUAAAAUUUUAGUUUAAAUAAAGGAGUUCAAGCUGUAUAUUGAUAACGCCCAAUUCAAAUUCAAGUGUAGUACGGUCUAGCAAUAAUAAACUCAACAAAUGUUGGGGUCGAGGAGUAUGCUUGUGUCAAGGUGACAGAGAAUGCGAAUUUGCGAAUUUCCUAAGCUUAUCUACAAAUAAAAGGUCUUUCUUUUAGCUAGGUCCAUAAUCCAUGUAGUGCUCUCUACUCUCUAGUCUCUAUCAACCAACUCAAGUUUAAGGGUGUGUUUGGUAUGGAGGAAACAUUUUCUCUAGAAUAGGGAGAGUUUUGUGCAUAAACAAAGAAGAAUAUCUCAGUAUAACAGUGAAUGUGUAUUUUUUUUAUGAUUUGCUUCAUUUGAGUAUGACUUUUGUAAGAAAAUUCUGGUAAAAGUUUAAAAAAUGAUCUUGUGGAAUAAGCACAGUGAAUUCCUUAAUAUUCGAGUAGAAAAAGCCAGGGAGGAUAACAUUGCUAUUUGUACACUUAUCGUGACACGAGUAGUCUCUUAAAUAUUACACCUUUCUACUGGUGUUGCUGGUGCCACUGAAUUUAGCCUUCCGUCUUCCUUUGCGAGGUAGAUUGAGGACUCCCAAGAAAGGAAACACAAGGUACUGGAGUCUGUUCCGGCCUCUACAGUAUGUAUGUACAUAAAAUUUGGAGUAACUAAAAAACCACUGACAAAUGGCUAUACGAAAGAUCAUAUACAAUUUAAUUACAAGCCAUUUGCAAUCAUCCUGCCCCUUUAUGCAGAAUCUUUUCAAAGAAAAUGAAAACAAACACUCACACAUUUGGCUUCUGAUUGACAUUUAUUUCAGAGAACUGGCUAGUCCUCAGAACACCUUAACUACUCGCUGCAGAAAAAAAAAGACGCAAAAAAUGGAAAAUAAUAUGUUAGAUGUCCCAUAAUUAAGGAACAGGAGAACAUUAUAGCAAGAAUGAGCAUGCAGGUAUAAGAACUUACACAUUAUUGCGGCAAGAAGCAACUUCUUUCUCAAAGUCAAUAUCAUCAUCUUCAUCUAUUGUUACACUACAUCGAAAAUGCUUGCUACAAAAGAUGAAAAAUGAAAUGUUACACUUCCCAAAAUCAAGAAUGAGCAUGCAAGUAUAACAACUUACACAAUAUUGGAAGGAUUCGAAUCAAUCACAAUGACAGCAUCAAGAACUUUUGUUGAAUUGGUGUAAUUUGACUUACUAAAGCUAUUAUCCAGAUUAUUAUCGAGUUUACUAUAAUGAUGAGUUAAAUAUUGUUGUAAAUCAAGGAAGAAGAUGUACUUACUAAAGAUUACGAGUAUGGACCUCGAUAGAGCUUCCAUAGUUGUCUUGAAUGUCCUGUUGAAUUUGCUUGGCGGAAUUCCCAACAGAUUGUUGACAGUAACUUAUAUCAAUAAGAGCUAGUGUGGUUAUAUCUGCAAAAUCUCGAGGGAUUGAAUCCAAAUAAUAGCAACUUCUAAGAAAAAGUCGUUCAAGGUACGGAAAGUGAUCACUACUAGCUCUCCAGUACCGAAUGCAUACUUCAUGCAGAAACAAGAACUUCAAGUGAGGAAACCCUUCCUCAACUACUUCCCACUCCUCGCCUAUGAAGGAUUUCCAUGAUAGUUUAAGGACCUCGAGUUUGGGUAAUUUACCAACAAUGCUCAAAUCCUUCCAUGCCAAAAAGAAUUCUCCGCUAAAAGUUAAACUCUUAAGGUUUUGUGGAAAAGCAUCCGGAGGAGGUAAGCGUAAAGUUGAAACAUCAGUUGGAGGUGCAGUUGCCCUGAAAGGUAAGAGUAAACUUGUAUAAAGUUGAACAACUAGCCACAUGAGUCCUACAUGACACAAUACACAUAAGACACCAACUAUUUCCAUCACAUUUCCAGCUAGGUCCACUAACAGGAUAAAGUAGAAAGAUGUGAGGUCACUAACCUUAUCAUCAUGUAGACAAAAGAAGAGACCAAAGUUAAAAAAAAAAAAGACAGGAAAAAGUAGAAAAAUUUGUGAUCAUACAUUAUUAGACCCUACACUAAUCUCUUUAGAAAAAUAAGUUUCAAUAAAGGAGUUCAAGCUGUAUAUUGAUAACGUCCAAUUCAAAUUCAAGUGUAGUACGGUCUAGCAAUAAUAAACUCAACAAAAGUUGGGGUCGAGGAGUACACUUGUGUCAAGGUGACAGAGAGUGUUCUGGCCUAUACAGUAUGUAUGUAUGUACAUAAAAUUUGGAGUAUCUAAAGAACCACUGACAAAUGGCUAUACGAAAGAUCAUAUACAAUUAAAUUACAAGCCAUUUGCAAUCAUCCUGCCACCUUAUGCAGAAAAAAUGAAAAUUCUGAUUUGACAUUUAUUUCAGAGAACUGGCUAGUCCUCAGAACACCUUAACUACUCGCUGCAGAGAAAAAAAAAAGACACAAAAAAUGGAAAAUAAUAUGUUAGAUGUCCCAUAAUUAAGGAACAAGAGAACAUUAUAGCAAGAAUGAGCAUGCAGGUAUAAGAACUUACACAUUAUUGCGGCAAGAAGCAACUUCUUUCUCAAAGUCAUCUUCAUCUGUUGUUAUAUCGAAAAUGCUUUCUACAAAAGAUGAAAAAUGAAAUGUUACACUUCCCAAAAUCAAGAAUGAACAUGCAAGUAUAACAAGUUACACAAUAUUGGAAGGAUUCAAAUCAAACACAAUGACAGCAUCAAGAACUUUUGUUGAAUUGGUGCAAUUGGACUUACUAAAGCUAUUAUCCAGAUUAUUAUCGAGUUUACUAUGAUGAUGAGUUAAAUAUUGUUGUAAAUCAAGGAAGAAGAUGUCUUACAAAAGAUGACGAGUAUGGACCUCGAUAGAGCUUCCAUAGUUGUCUUGAAUGUCCUGUUGAAUUUGCUUGGCGGAUUUCCCAACAGAUUGUCGACAGCUACUUAUAUCAAUAAGAGCUAGUGUGGUUAUAUCUGCAAAAUCUGGAGGGAUUGAAUCCAAAUCAUAGCAAUUUCUAAGAAAAAGUCGUUCAAGGUACGGAAAGUGAUCACUACUAGCUCUCCAGUACCGAAUGUAUAUGUUAUCCAGAAACAAGAACUUCAAGUGAGGAAACCCUUCCUCAACUACUUCCCACUCCUCGCCUAUGACGGCAUUGUCUGAUAGUUUAAGGACCUCGAGUUCGGGUAAUUUACCAACAAUGCUCAAAUCCUUCGAUGCCAAAAAGAAUUCUCCGCUAAAAGUUAAACUCUUAAGGUUUUGUGGAAAAGCAUCCGGAGGAGGUAAGAGUAAAGUUGGAACAUCAGCUGGAGGUGCAGCUUUCCCGAAUUGUGUCUUUUUGUACAAUAAUUUCGUCUGAAACCUCAGAGGAUCUUGCGGAGUAGAACCUGAAGGUGCAGUGCUUUCUAGAACGCAAGCAGCACCUGGAUAAUAAACACGAAAUGCCAAUUUCUCGAGCUGAUAUAAGUAGCGAAAAUCAUACAGGUCCUUGUGAUUGCGAAAGUCCUCUUGGACGCCAAAUACUUUCAACUUCUUUAAAUUGGGAAAUAGUCUAAAAAAAGACCCUGUACAAUUCCGAGGAUUCAAUUGAUUGAGACAUUGCAAACUUUUCAAAACCAAUCUGUUCUCUGUAGGCUCAUGACUCCGCAAGUAAUUCCAGCCCAUACGCAGCUUCCUCAAUUGUGGCAUCGUCAAAAUUUCCGAUGGUAAUAUGAAAGGAUAACUAUCGGUAAAUGGAAGGUAAAGUUUAAAAGUUUGCAGAUAGCAUAGGCAUGAUAUCGAUAGAGGAAUGUCUAUUAUUGAUGAGGGAACAGCUUCUAUCGAUCCUCGAUACUGCAGUAAGCAAGGAUUAAAACACAAAGAUAGGUAUCUCAAAUGAAUUAGAGAAAGUACUCCACUGGGAAAAAUUGGGCAUGGAGUCCAACCAAGAUCUAGUACUCUUACUAGCUUGAAAGACAAUUCCAGUGUGAUGCAAUUGAAUCCACGCAACAUGAUAAUAGAAUGAGCCUCACUGUUACGACACCAAGCCAAUUCUUCCUCCUUAUAGAUACUGAUCCGACUUCGCUUCUUAAAGGAACACUGCAUGGAUUGUGCACAUGAAUUUUGAUCACUCUUUCCUCUGAUAACAUUCACAAAAUUCAUGUUUCGAGCUUCCCUCAAACAGAGUUCACGGGUCACAUCAUGCAUUCCACAGCUCUGUAUUUCCCCAUCAAAACUCAAUUUGUGGAUAGAAAUUAGACUUCUAUCUACAAGUUCGUUUAUACAUGUUUCUGCCACCUCUUCUAUGCUUUUUCCCUCUUCUUCAUUCAAAAACCCCUCUACGGCCAAUAACUCAACAAGUUUAUUUACAAAAAUCCGUUCAUCCUCUGCGAAAAUUGCAAAAUACAGAAAACACGGUUUUAGGUGAGAAGGCAAGUGAUGGUAACUCAAAGCCAACACUCUCAUGCAUUGUGCUUCAGGAUCUGUGCUUACCACCGAACUUACAUUCUCCGCAAUUCUUUGCCACUCAUCUAAUCUUUGACCGAUUUUGGAGAGAAGUCCAGCAGUCACAGUAAUUGCUAGAGGUAAUCCUCCACAUUUUAAUGCAAUUUGUUUCCCAAUAUUUUCAAAUUCAGGAGAAUAAGAACCUUCUUUUUCAAAGAUCUUUUUGUGUAGUAAAUUCCAACUUUCGUCAAAAUUCAUGAGGCGCAUGUGAUGAGGAGGCUUACCUGAACUAGCAUAUUCAGCCACUUCCACAUUCCGAGUAGUCAGGAGUAUUUUGCUUCCAUUAAUACAGUCCAUAUGUCAUCAAUGACUACCAAGUAUCUCCUGCCUUUCAGAUGCUUUUGCAGUCGGUCCGCUAGUUGAUUCUCAGGUUCAUCACUUAUCGAAGAAAGAAGGCCUAGGAUUACAUUUCUCACACAAUACUCCUGCGAAACAGUUACUUUUGCACGAAUAUCAAAUCGAGACAUAAUGUAAGGAUCACUAUAGAGUUUUGCAGCCAAAGUUGUUUUCCCGAUGCCUCCCAUCCCUACGAUUGAGACAACUUCUAGUUCCCUUCCUCCUCUAGCAAGUUGAUCCAGCAUCAUCUCAAAUUCAUUUUCACGGCCAACCAUUAUAUUCUCGGGCUGCUCAACAUCAUGUUCAGGUAAACUGACAAGUGAGCUAGUUUGUGGUUUUAGAUCUUUCAUGCUGUCCGAUGCUGCCAUCCACUGUUUCACGGUGGAAGCAAUGCAUUCUAGUGCUUGUUCCAAGACGAAAAAAAUCUCCCACAUAGCCCUGCUUCUUUCCUCCAAAUUCUGUGCUAAAAAAACAUUUCUUGAUUCCGAGUCAACCAUAUCUUCUGUUGUGUAUGCUACCUCUACGAUUUCAACUUCCAAGAUUGUUAACUCCUCAUGAUCGCCCGUUAUAUUGCAGGAAUUCUCCAGAAUAGUUCUUAAAGAUUCGAGCUUCUGUGUAUGCUACCUCUACAAUUUCAACUUCCAAGAUUGUUAACUCCUCAUGAUCGCCCAUUAUAUUGCAGGAUUUCUCCAGAAUAGCUCUCAAAGAUUUGAGCUUUUCAUAAAACGGUUGCAAAAUCACAUCCAGUAAGUUCCAUUGAUUGAUGUAUGGUUCUCAUAAGGGAAGUAACAGCAGCAUAAGCCAUAUAUACCAAAAAAUAGAAAUAUCUCUCAGUAUGAAAAUAGGACAAAUUGCCACAAGUUAUGUAAUUUUUCAGUUCUUAAGAAAACAGAAAAUGCAAGGUUCUUUCUUUUACUAGCUAUUUCCAUCACAUUUCUAGCUAGGUCCACCAACCUUAUCAUCAUGUAGAAAAAUUUGUGAUCAUUCAUUAUUAGACCCUACACAUAUCUAUUCAUGAAUAUAAGUAUGUUUCUUACAUACAAGAGAUUGAUGAUUUUAAGAGCCUGUUUGGAUGGACUUUUAAGCUGGUCAAACUGACUUAAAAGUCAGUUUUUGACUUAUUAGAGUGCUUGACAAUUAGCAAAGUGACUUAUUUUAAGUCAAAAAUGACUUAUUUUAAGCCAAAAGCUAAAAGCUAAAAGCUAGGUGAGGGGAGUUUUUUUUUUUUUUUAAAACUUAAAAGCCCUUUUAUGUUGACCAAGUAUAUUACCUUUUUGCCCUUAAUUCUUUUAUACAAUUUCCAAAUUGCCCAUAUUGAAUUAUUAUUAUUUUAUUAUUAUUAUUAUUAUUAUUAUAUUAUUAUUAUUAUUCAACUGCAACACUUUUAUCCAAACACAUAACUACUUAUUUUAAAAAUAAGUUCCAGCACUUUAAAAAGUUACUUUUUAAAAGUUACUUUUUUUAAGUCAAUCCAAACGGGCACUAAUUCCAUUGAAAGCAACUUCAUAGAAUUUUCCAAAUCAAAGAGAGAGAAAUAUUAAGAUCCAAGUAGGAAUUUCUCUAUUCCUAGUUCGAUUCAAUUAACCAAGCAUAAAUAUCUCUUAAUAUACAUGAGAAGUUUAGACUCUAGUCAAAUCAACAAAAUAUUUAUGGGCUAACACAUGAAAAAAUACUGAGAAAAUCGUCUAAUUCCUGUAAAUUGACCCUUAAAUGCCCAAAAUGGAUUCUAAAAAUUGUCAGAUGGUACGUAUUGCUCCCCCAACUCCCUACUAAGGGUUUCGUAAAGAUUUCGAUUAGAAAUCAUCCGUAGGUCAUAUCACCAAUAUAUUAAUGGCUAACAGACACGAAAAACUGAGAAAAUUGUCCAAUUUCUUUAAAUUGGCCCCUAAAUGCCUAAAAUGGACUCUAAAAUUGUGAGAUUGUACAUACUGCUCCCCUGACUCCCUACAGAGGGUUCCGUAAAUAUGUAGCAAAUAAAUCGUCUGAAAGUCAUAUCACCAAAUAUUAAUGGGCUAACACACACAAAACACUGAGAAAGUCGCCUAUUCCUGUAAAUUGGCCCCUAAAUUGUAAAAUCCGACAAAUUGAAAUAACUAUGAAGAGGCUUAGAAUUGGAAAUAGUUAUUUUUGGAAAGAAAAAAAAAUAUCUGGAAAAUUUGGUUAAGUAUGGGAAAAAGUGAGUUUUUGGCCAACUUUGAACAGUCAUAACUCCUAGCUCAGGAUGAUUUAGGUGUAGUUCCAGUUAUUUUUGCGAAGAUCGUUGAAUGAUCUUUCCAACGAUGCCAAUUUUACAUGAUUUCGAGUUCGUAUGAGUGAGUUAUGCCCUUUGGAAGUUGGGCUGUUGGCAGGGCAGUUAGCCGGAAAUUGUAAGGGUAUUUUGGUCUUUUCCCUAAUCAAUUCUUUUGGUUAUAUUAGUGUGUUAGACUGAAUUUAGAUCAGUUUUUACCAUUUUAAAAGAGUGAGAGUGAGGGUUAGGGUUCUUGAGAGAAGAGGAGAAGGAGAAGAAGAAGCAAGGUUCGUAGAGAUCGUCGUGGAUUUCGUCGGGGGUGAUCCCUAUUAAGGUAUGUGAGUUCAUAGUGUUGGGUUGGUUCUUUCCCCCACAUGCCACACUCGUUUUAUUUUUGAGAAAAGAUUGGUUGUGUUGUUGAAUUUUUGUGGUUGUUCUUGUUGAAGUUUGUGGUUGUGUUGGUUGAAGUUUGUGGUUGUGUUGUUGAAACUUCUUGUGGGUUUGGUGCAUGUUCCCGGAUGGAAUUCUGAGUUAAAUCUAUUGUAUAUUGAGGGUUUUAAUGAUUCUAAGUGAUUUGGGGAAGAAACCAUUCGAUUUUAGGCGAAAUAGGGUGAGAAAACGAGAAAAUAAACUUGCUGAAAUUUCUGGGUUGGGGGCCUGCGCCUGCCAGAGCGCCCCAAACCCACCUCUGAAGUUUAGGGGCUGGCGCCCCGCGCCACCCAUAGCGCCAGGGUCGCCUACCCCAUCCAAUUUGUCGUCGGUUGCCCCGUUUGAGUUCAUUAAAAGUGCACCUUCACUCCUUUUCGAUUCUAACUACUCUAAGCUACUUCUAAACACCUAAAAGUCAUUCCUAAUAUGAUCAUAAUCUUGAAUUCAUAAAUUCAAAUUCAAGGUAGAGUUGAGAGUUUAUGUUUUUGAGAAUUCUUUCGAAUAUUCUAAGAAAAUCCCUUUGAGUCUUUCUGAGGAGUCUUCUACAAUUUCUAGUAACUUGUUUCAAGACUCGAGCAAGUGAGUAAGAGAAUGAGAAGUGUCGUACACAUGAGUUCCAUGUAGCUUGUACACCUUCAAGUCAAGUUGUUCAUGCCCAUAAUUCAACAUGAACCAUAUUUUAAGAAGUCUUUUACAAAUGUUUAAACCUUGUUUUAAGACUUAAGCUUUGAAGUUAAGUAUUGAGUUCCAAGUUAAGUAUAGAGUUUCAAGUUAAGUAAAGAGCAUACAGUUUCAAGUUAAGCCAAGAGUAAGAGUCAAGUUCAUUUCUCAAAAGUUAUUAGGGAACUAAGUAUUCCCAAAGAAGUUUAUAAAUGUUUUCACAUUUAAGAUGAGAGAAAACUGAGAUUUCCAAAAGAGUUUUGAGAAGUUUGAGUACUAUCUCUUUUUGAGAAAAGAUGAGCUUUGCGAAAGAGUUUCAAAAAUAUGAUUAAUAUGACAAAUCGAGUAUGUCAUAAAUGUUUAAACAGUAUGGUCUCUAGAUAUACCAUCAAUGUUUAAGCAGUAUGAAUAUCCCGAGUCAUCGAUGAUCAUAUAAAAAUAUGGUUUUGAGAUGUUCUUUUUAGAAAGAGUUUUCAAGAGCCUUUGGGCUAAGUUUUGAGUAAUUAUCUCAACUAAAGAAAGAUGUGUUUAAAACACUAAUGAGCUAAAGUAUUUUUGGGAGUAGUCUUGAGCACCGAAUUGGGGACACGAGUUCAUAUUAACUCAACUCUCCAUAAGAACCAUGUAGCUAAACAAGGGAUUUCUCGGGUCAUACUUUUUAGAUGAUCACGAAAGUUAAGCUAGUGGAUCAACUAAGCAAAAGUUAAAGUAAGGUCCUAUAUCACGGAAAGGUAUAGGAUGGUCCUCGGGCAACGUGAGGUAAAACGUUGUAUCAUCACUAGGACUCAUAGUGGUGGUUAUUGGUUAGAGAAACUCCCACAGUAGAAAUUGCAUGGUUCCUCGAGGGGUUCUGCUUAGUAUGGAUGGGGGUAUGGGACUUCAUUCAUGCAUUGCACAAGUAGACUUUGAGAGGAAGCAUGGUAUUUUCAUGAUAUUAUAAAUAUGAUUUUGACGUCAUAUUUUAAAUAGUUUUGCCAGCUUUAUAUAUAUUGCAUGUGUCUCAUUGCUUUAAAUUGAGUUCAGUUACUCAUGAGUUGAACAGAGCCAAGGUAAGUUCUCUUUUGUACACCUUUCAAGCUUAAGUUGUUGUUUAGCUGUCCAGCUCGCAUACUCGUACAUUUCAUGUACUGAUGCCAGUUGGCCUGCAUCUUAUUAUGAUACAGAAGCAGGCAACCAGGAUCAGCAUCCAGCACGCCGUUGAUCCAGCUGAGCACUCCAUAGUCAGUAGUGAGCCUCCUUACUUUUCGGAGGACCCUGUUAUUUUGUGUUCCUAGUUUUGUUUAAUUAAGAUGUUGCGGGGUCUGUCCCAACAUCCAUCUCAGUGUUAUAGAGGCUUCAUAGACAGUCAGUGAGUUAGUUUUGAGUCUCUCAUCUAUGUAUAUAUGUAAAUAUUCUAUUUUGAGACUCGAGUUGCCUUUUUGGCCAGAUUUUUAUCAGUUAGGUUGUCUUAUGACCUUUCAUUGCAUGAAGUUAUUCUAUUGAGUUAGGUUUCCACUGAGUUAAGUAAGCCAGGCCAAGGGUUCGCUUGGGGGCCAACAAUGGUCUUCGAGUGCCGGCCAUGUCCAGGGUGUAGGCUCGGGGCGUGACAUAAAUGCCCAAAAUGAACUCUAAAAUUGUGAGACUAUAGGUACUACUCCACUAACUCCCUAUGAAGGGUCCCGUAAAGAUUUUACAAAGAAAUUUUUCGGAAGACAUAUCACCAAAAUAUUCAUAGGCUAAUACAAACGAACUGAGAAGAUCACCUAUUUCCUAUAAAUUAUCCCCUAAAUGCCCAAAAUGGACUCUAAAAAGUGUGAGACUAACUCCCUACGAAGGGUUCCAUAUAAGUUGCACAAAAGAAAUCGUCCGAAAACCAUAUCACCAAAAUAUUUAUGGGUUAACACACACGAAAAACUAAGAAAAUUGCCUAAUUCUUUGAAAUUGGCCCCUUAAUUCCUUUACGAGAUUAAUUAGAGAUGCAUAUAUAUAUAUAUAUAUAUAUAUAUAUAUAUAUAAAGAAGAAGCUAGUUGUAGGGCUUGAUUGCCAUAAAAUACUUAGACGAUGUGGGUGACGCACAUAGUGAAUCUCAUGAAUUGACUUGUGGAUCAUUGUGAUAUUGGGCCAUGAAACUUAGUCUGAGGGAAAGAUUGUUGGGUGUGAGAUUGAAUUUCCACAUUUGAGAAGCUAUAUAUAAGGUGUAGGAUCGCUUAAGGGAAAAUUUCAUAUAUGACAAACGUAUUUAAUGAAAUAACACUCUAUAGGUAUAGUUUAGUAAUUACAUUCAAUGGGUAUAGUUUAGUUUGCUAUGAAGCAUUAAUUUUGUAUAUUUUCUUUCAAAAAUAUAAUUUAUACAAAAAAAAAUUUUAAUAAAUGGAUACAUGAGUGCUAAAUAUGGUAAUAAAAAAUUUACAUAAUCCCAUUAUUCAAGCUAAUCGUCCAAAAUUAAAUAUUUUUCCAAAAAAAAGUUCUAUAGCAAUAGAAACACCAUAACAACUGGGUUCCUCAAAUGACUGAAGCAUACGAUUAAUCAAUAUUCUUGUAUAUUCAACGCUAGGUAAGCAUUUCUUUCAAGGAAACUUCAUGUUUUGAACGGCAAGAAAGUAUACAAUUGAUUUGUAUAGUAUAUAAUUGAAAUUUUGGAAAAUGGAUUAUUUUUGUUUUUUUCAUUCUAAUGGUUCACAAUAAUUUAAUUUUGUUUAUACAAGAUUAGAUAAAUUUUAUAUUAACAAUUCAAUUCUAAUUUUUUGUUCGAAAAAUUGAAUGACACAAUUUGUAUAUAUGAAGUGUAUAUGAUUCGACAACAACGGUGUGCUUUAAUUUGAUAAUCUUUGUUGUUGUUGUUGUAAUUUUAUUGUAUAUAUAAGUUAUACGAUUUGUAUAUUGUUUAAUUGAUAAUAUUGUAUAUACGUAAGUAAUUGUGUAAAAUUCUUAUCCCAUGUAUAAGUGUAAGUAGUUGUAUAAAAUUACUAAGUCAAUUAUAUAUAUAUGAAUUGUAUAUGAUUCGAUAAAAAAGGUGUGCUUUAAUUUGAUAAUUUUUGGUGUAACCUAACUGUAUAUAUAAUAAUGUAAGGUUUGUAUAUUGUUUAGUUCAUACUAUUGUAUAUAACUUACAAAAUAUACAAAUAUAUAUAUAUAUAUAUAUAUAUAUAAUAUACAAUUGUGAUUUAAGCAGAAAAUAUACAUAUACUACAUACAAUUUUGUAUAUAACUAACAAAAUAUACAAAUAUCUACAUACAAUUGUGUUUUAAGCAAAUACCUGAUGUUCUUUGUAUUUGUCUUGAUCUAAUGAAGGAGACACAACCUCCUCAGAAUCACUAUCUUUGGCUUUCCUCUUACUUUUUCCUUCAACAAUUUUAAUGUCGCUUGCCUUGACAUUGUUGAUGACUUCUGGAAGUGCAAUUGGGUCAUUUUUUUCUUGGAUCUCAAUUCUGCAAUAGAUUUUUCCUCUAGAAUUUGUUUAGAUUUUUCCAUAGACCCUGCAUUGACUCCAAAAUCUUGAGUGAAACCGACUGAAAAUGAAGGUUGAUUAUUAAAAACUUUGACAUGCAAUGACGUACCUCUCGUAAUCCGCUUAGAUGGAGUCGAAUCAUCCAUUUUAUUUUCUAUAAAAAUGAUAAUCUAAUAAGUAAUGAGGGAAUUUUGAGAAAAAAUUAUCCAAACACUAACAAGCACAAUACAUAUACAAUUGAAAAAUGAAAAAAAAGAAGAGGUUCACCUACGAUUUAGGCAGUUACCUGCAAAAAGUAAAACACAAUUGGAGGGAGAAAGUGAAAUUCGAAUUUCAAAUUGGAAGUGAAAGAGUUAUUUUAGGAGAAAAAUAGGAAAUGAGGAAAGGAGAGGAGAUGAGAGAUAAAUUUGAUUUGUAUAAAAUCAUAUACAAAGGCCGAUGAAGGUUUUGUUGAUUCGGUAUACAAAGAGGUGGUGGGUCUCAUUUUUAAUGGCAAAAAAACUGAAACUGUAUUUACUGACAGUAAGUAAAUUAAACUAUACCCUACCCUCAAUGACUAAUAACCUAGUAAUAUUUGUCAACUCGUGUAAUUUUUUCAUAAUGUGUGAGACUUUUUGAAGAAAAAAAAAACUGUGCUAACUUGGUCAAAGUGCACAAUAUCAUACUCUAUUUAGAAUAUCUUUGGGCUAAUUUAUCCGAACAAAAAUAAAUAAGGCCUAAAUCUAAGACCAUUAGCCGUUACUUGAAGACAAGACAUUCAUCAUUUGAACUAUUGAAUUAUGGACACAAGUCAAAGAAUCUUCCAACUAUUCAAGAAGUGUAAUUAAUACUUAAUAAAUAUAAUGUCAUCCUCAAUAACUUCAAAUAAUAUCCAAUAAUCAAUGUUAAAUUUUGAUAUUAGUAGAAAUAGUUAAUGAACCCCAAGUUGUAUAAUUUGAUUGUUGGAAUAGAAGUCAAUCAAAAAUUUAAUUUUUUUAAGAAAUAAUCUUUUUAUUGUGAUUCAAUAAUGUAAUAACACAAGCAUUUACAAUACACAUAAAUUUGCCAUGUCAGCAUAAGGUGUUCAUGAGUGCGUAUAUGACAAUAGUAAAAGUAUUUAUUUGGUCUCUUUUAGAUAAAUUUAAGUAUCUAAAUUACAAUUUGUGUCAAAUUUGAGGGAUUAUCUAGAUAUUUAGAUAAGAUUAUUUAUAUAUAAUUAUCUCUAAACAGGCUCAUAAGCCAGUAAAUGAUACUUUAUAAAUAGCUUCAGUUGUAAGUGUUUCUCUUACAAAUUCAAAUUAAUCUAAUGACAGAACCUUUUUAUGAUUUGACUGAAGAGGUUUCUGUGUUGCUGGUAAGAUGAGGAAUUGGUUUCUAAUCCAAUGGUUGAUUUACUAGAGUUCAAUGGAUACAAAGGUGAUAUAUCUAGAACUAAUUUCUGUAUGACUUUCAUUAUAUAUAGAGAGAAUUAAUUGAUAUGAUGUUUAUUUAGAACUUUUCCUUUCCUUGUUAUCAUAACAUUAUUUCUAUACUUGUGUAUGUCGUUUUACAAGUUAAUAAAUGAAUUUUGUAUGAUUAUAAAGAAUUAAAUUAGAUUCUCCAUUUUUGUUUUUGUUGUAACCAUGUCACAUAUUAGCUUUCUCCAUAAGGAUUGUGUAAUUUUUAAGAGGUUCAAUAAUUUUAUGUUAAAGUAUGUGUUGUUCUAAUUUUAUCGGAUAUUUUUCCAUAAAGGAGAUAGUUUAAGUUUAUAUUAAUUAUUUCACACUUGACUUUUUUGUACAAAAAAUAAAAAGGAAACUAAUUCUUUGUCAAUCAGCCUAGAGUUACAUCGUGUUGGAGGAGAAAAUAAUUAGGUCCCUCAUAAAUGAUUUUGAAAUCAUAGAUCUUUGAUUUUUGCAAAUCUAUAUAUCGUUUUAGAAAGAAAACAAAUUCACUUGGAUGAUUGAGGCACAAAAUAAGAGUAAGGGAUCGAAGAGAGGAGCGAGAUAAAGACAUGAUAAGAGAUGAUCUGGCUAUCAUUAUUAUCUGAGAUGACUUUUUUGUCUUUUAUUCGAUGUAGACAAACAAAUAAAUAGGGACUUAUGAUUUUCAUGAUUUUUUUCUUCAAUUUCUUUUUUGUCUUUUAUUAGAUGUAGACAAGAAAAGAAAAAUCUUUUCAUGUGACUUUUUCCUCAUUUAUUUUUGUUUUAUUUUCAAUUACUUUGUUAGUAUUUAAUAUCGAUUGUUCCUUAAUCAAGCUAUGUUAAACCUUUUCAACAUAAUUUUUUUGGUAACUCCUUUCUAAUAAUUUGUUAAAUCUCCUAAACUCUCGUUACUUAUUUAUGAAAUAAAAUUACCUUAAAACUUUUUACAUAAAUUUAUCUUAAAACUUUUUAUCCUAUUAUAUCUUGCUUUAAUAGUAUUUAAUCUAUAUAUAUUCAGUGUUUAUUUGCUUUCAACAAGUCAAAGAAUAAAUUAGAAUGUAUUCUUUAGAAUUAUAUUCCUAUAGAAUCUUCUCUAUUAUAUAUUCCUACAGUUAGUUACUCUAAAGUAAUAUUAUAUAUUAGUAAGUGUAACAUCCGGCAAUGUGAAAUAAGUGAAGAGGCUUAGAAUUGGAAAUUUUCAUUUUUUGGAAAGAACUUGAAAUCUGGAAAAAAAUUGGCUAAGUGUGGAAAUCAGUUAUUUUUGGCCAACUUUGAGCAGUCGUAACUCCUAGCUCAGGAUGAGUUAGGAGUAGUUCCGGUUAUGGUUGCAAAGUUCGUGGAACGAUCUUUCAAACGCCACCGAGUUUGCUCAAUUCCGAGUUCGUAUGAGCGAGUUAUGGCCCUUUGAAAGUUGGGCAGUUGACAAGGAAAUCCGUCCGGGAAUCAUUAAGGGCAUUUUGGUCUUUUCCCUAGCUAUUUCUUUUGAGGAUAUAUUGUUGUAUAGGGCUGAUCUUUGGAUCAUUUUGUUCCAUUUUAAGAGAGUGAAGGCUAGGGCUUAAGAGUGAAGAAGAGANNNNNNNNNNNNNNNNNNNNNNNNNNNNNNNNNNNNNNNNNNNNNNNNNNNNNNNNNNNNNNNNNNNNNNNNNNNNNNNNNNNNNNNNGAGGAAAAAUCGAGGAGAUCAUCGUGGAUUUUCGUCGGGGGUGAUCCCUAUCAAGGUAUGUGAGCUUUUAGUGUUGGGUGAUCCUUUCCCCCACACAUCUAGCCCCUUUUACUUAUUAAGGAAGGAUUGGCUUUGUUGUUAAAGUUAUUAGUUGUUGUGGUUGAAGUUGUUAAAGCUGUUGGUUGUUGUUGUUGGUAUUGUUGUUAAUUGUGAUGUUGAGAUUCUUGUUGAAUUGGGACUUGUUUCCGGUUGGGAUUUUUGAGUUGAAAUCUAUUGAAUGUUGAGGGAUUUCAUGUUUCUAAGUGAUUGGGGCUGGAACCNNNNNNNNNNNNNNNNNNNNNNNNNNNNNNNNNNNNNNNNNNNNNNNNNNNNNNNNNNNNNNNNNNNNNNNNNNNNNNNNNNNNNNNNNNNNNNNNNNNNNNNNNNNNNNNNNNNNNNNNNNNNNNNNNNNNNNNNNNNNNNNNNNNNNNNNNNNNNNNNNNNNNNNNNNNNNNNNNNNNNNNNNNNNNNNNNNNNNNNNNNNNNNNNNNNNNNNNNNNNNNNNNNNNNNNNNNNNNNNNNNNNNNNNNNNNNNNNNNNNNNNNNNNNNNNNNNNNNNNNNNNNNNNNNNNNNNNNNNNNNNNNNNNNNNNNNNNNNNNNNNNNNNNNNNNNNNNNNNNNNNNNNNNNNNNNNNNNNNNNNNNNNNNNNNNNNNNNNNNNNNNNNNNNNNNNNNNNNNNNNNNNNNNNNNNNNNNNNNNNNNNNNNNNNNNNNNNNNNNNNNNNNNNNNNNNNNNNNNNNNNNNNNNNNNNNNNNNNNNNNNNNNNNNNNNNNNNNNNNNNNNNNNNNNNNNNNNNNNNNNNNNNNNNNNNNNNNNNNNNNNNNNNNNNNNNNNNNNNNNNNNNNNNNNNNNNNNNNNNNNNNNNNNNNNNNNNNNNNNNNNNNNNNNNNNNNNNNNNNNNNNNNNNNNNNNNNNNNNNNNNNNNNNNNNNNNNNNNNNNNNNNNNNNNNNNNNNNNNNNNNNNNNNNNNNNNNNNNNNNNNNNNNNNNNNNNNNNNNNNNNNNNNNNNNNNNNNNNNNNNNNNNNNNNNNNNNNNNNNNNNNNNNNNNNNNNNNNNNNNNNNNNNNNNNNNNNNNNNNNNNNNNNNNNNNNNNNNNNNNNNNNNNNNNNNNNNNNNNNNNNNNNNNNNNNNNNNNNNNNNNNNNNNNNNNNNNNNNNNNNNNNNNNNNNNNNNNNNNNNNNNNNNNNNNNNNNNNNNNNNNNNNNNNNNNNNNNNNNNNNNNNNNNNNNNNNNNNNNNNNNNNNNNNNNNNNNNNNNNNNNNNNNNNNNNNNNNNNNNNNNNNNNNNNNNNNNNNNNNNNNNNNNNNNNNNNNNNNNNNNNNNNNNNNNNNNNNNNNNNNNNNNNNNNNNNNNNNNNNNNNNNNNNNNNNNNNNNNNNNNNNNNNNNNNNNNNNNNNNNNNNNNNNNNNNNNNNNNNNNNNNNNNNNNNNNNNNNNNNNNNNNNNNNNNNNNNNNNNNNNNNNNNNNNNNNNNNNNNNNNNNNNNNNNNNNNNNNNNNNNNNNNNNNNNNNNNNNNNNNNNNNNNNNNNNNNNNNNNNNNNNNNNNNNNNNNNNNNNNNNNNNNNNNNNNNNNNNNNNNNNNNNNNNNNNNNNNNNNNNNNNNNNNNNNNNNNNNNNNNNNNNNNNNNNNNNNNNNNNNNNNNNNNNNNNNNNNNNNNNNNNNNNNNNNNNNNNNNNNNNNNNNNNNNNNNNNNNNNNNNNNNNNNNNNNNNNNNNNNNNNNNNNNNNNNNNNNNNNNNNNNNNNNNNNNNNNNNNNNNNNNNNNNNNNNNNNNNNNNNNNNNNNNNNNNNNNNNNNNNNNNNNNNNNNNNNNNNNNNNNNNNNNNNNNNNNNNNNNNNNNNNNNNNNNNNNNNNNNNNNNNNNNNNNNNNNNNNNNNNNNNNNNNNNNNNNNNNNNNNNNNNNNNNNNNNNNNNNNNNNNNNNNNNNNNNNNNNNNNNNNNNNNNNNNNNNNNNNNNNNNNNNNNNNNNNNNNNNNNNNNNNNNNNNNNNNNNNNNNNAUGUAUAUGUAAAUAUUCUAUUUUGAGACUCGAGUUGCCUUUUUGGCCAGAUGUGUAUCAUUUAAGUUGUUUAUGUCUUUGCACGGCAUUGAGUUAUUCUGUUGAGUAGGUUUCCGCUGAGUUAAGAAAGCCAGGCCAAGGGUUCGCUUGGGGCCAGCAAUGGUCUCCGAGUGCCGGUCCCGCCCAGGGUGUAGGCUCGGGGCGUGACAGUAAGAUUGCACACACCGUUUACGAUAUAAGUUGAUUAAUAUGUGUUAUUUCAUAAAUUAAAGUAUAGCAACAUAAUAUGAAAUUUCAUAAUUGAAUUUCAACGAGAAAUUAAAUAAACAUAUCCAAAUGAUAGCUUUGUGUAUAAUAUUUUUUUCAUGUUCUUCACUAACUUUAAAGUGUAUGGAUAUAUACAGUUACGACUCCUGCGGCAAUGUCAAUGCUCUCCAAAGAAAAGAAAAAAAUUGACAUGAUGAUAAUCGUUGUCAAUUCAUCAGAUUUACAUUGUUUUGAACUCUUCACACCAGCUGUAACCUUAAAUAUAAUCUCUCUUGGUAAGUAUUUAUAAUUCUAUUUUUCACUUCUUGUUAUAAAUAUUGUGUAAAGUCAGUUGUUUCAAUUAAUACACCACAAAAAUAUAAUUAGCUAUAAAAUUUAUCGUUAGUCUAUUGUCAAGAGACAACAUCUAUCCAUUGGUAAUCUUGUUUUUAGUUAUAGUUAUAUGAUAAAUGAUUGUUUCGUAACAAAGUUGUUGUCGUAACAGAUAAAAUUCAGUAAAUAUAUGUGUGAAAUUAACUAUUUUCAUAAUGUAUGAUAUAAUUUAAUUUUAAUUUUUGACUUCUCAAUAUAAUUAUGCAGUUGUAUGUGAUAAACUCAAUAGACUCUUAGCCAAGAGCGCUUUGGAAAAUGGGGCUUAUUUUUGCUUGGAAAACCAAUUCAACAAGGAAAUUGUGAAAUACUUAUGGCAACUUGUAUUGAGAGAAAAAAUACAAAGGGAGAAAUCGAUAAAUGGUUUAGAAGCAAAUGGCCGAAAUCAUAUGAAUGUUGAUGAAAUUUAUGAUAAUAAUAUUGUAAGAGAUGAACAACAAUUUGGAGAGAAGAAUAUGAAUGUUGAUACUGAGGAACAUAACAAUAAUAUCCAUAAGGCUGAAAAUGAUGGUGUAUCAACUGGUAAAUACAAGUUGAAGAGGAAGAGAGGGAGAAAAGGUAUAAAACAGAUUAAUGAAGGAGAAAGUCGUAGAGGUGUUAUUAAUAAGACUGGUACACGUAAGAAUUGCGCAAAAUGGACUGUUGAUCUUCAUUCCAAAUUCACAAAAGCUGUGGAACAACUUGGUCAAGGAAGUAAGUUUACCUCGCUAGUAAUUAAUUUUGCCUACAAUUUAUUUCUAUAUAUAUGUAGCCAUAUAAACAAUGAGAAUUCAUACUUUUAGCUAAUGUUACUUAUUUGGGAUUACAAAAUAGUGAUUAUUGUAUUUACAUGUACCUUGACUUGAUAUAGAAAUAUUGAAGCAGUGAUUAGCUCAAAGUUACAUCCUUAUGGAACAUGUAGAAUGUUAUCCGGCGGAGAUAGUUGAAGUGAUGAAUGUGUCUGGCCUUACAAGGAAGCAAGUAUCCAGUCACUUACAGGUACAUCCUUUAAAAAAUUGAAGUGGUAAUAUAUAUCAAUCAUUUAUUUAUGUUUGUUUGGGGGGUAUUAUUUUGCAAGAAAAUAUAUUUUUAAUGAAGUUAUUUUCUGAUACUCGAUUAUUAAAAAAUAUUUAGCUUGGAAUGAUUUUUCAACUAACACAAGAUCCACUUUUCUACAAUGAUCUUAAUUUUAGUUUUUUUUUUUUUUAUCAAAAUCAUUUAUUAGAACAAAAUUUUAAUUUUACAUCAUUUCCACUAGUAAAUGUUUGGAAAUUAUUCUCAUCUUUAGUCCUCAUUUUUUUUUAUUAAAACACGCGCUAAGUAGAGAGGAUUAGCAACAAACUUUUAUUAAAUGUUUAGUUAUUUGUUGCUAAUUUCUAUUUUCUUUUGUUAUGUUUAUUCAAUGAAAUAAUAAUAUUGCCAAUUCAAAAGAUUUUUGUCGUUCCUCGAAUAGCUACAAAAAGUAUAUUAUCAGAAAUGACUUGUAUCAUGCAAUUUAAACAUACAUAAAUGACAAUGAAUUUGAGAUAAUAAUUAUAUCCAUAGUCCAACUCUCCUUUGAGUUUUUCUUUCUUUCAGAAAUGUCGUGAAAACAAUUGGAGACCUCGAAAAGAGAGAAAGAAUAUUCAUCACGGAUCCUCAAGUGAUUCUCAACAAAGAAGUAGUUGUAACACAUCAUUAGAAAGAAAAAAAAGGAGCUGCAAAAAACUUGGAAAAAUGCCUCGUCUUCAAACAAAUGUUCCAAAUCAAAUCCAAAGAGUCUUAGAGUUCCCACCAGUUAAUACCAACAACAUUUUUGCUAUUUCAACUCAGCAGCAACUCCAUCACCCACAACUUCAGGCUCAACCACACUACCUAAACCCAUCUUUGUCGGCCCAAAAUGAUGUUGGUGGUCAACUACAACAACACAGUCUGUUAUUUGGAAUGUCGGGUCCAAUUAUUGGAAGCACUAAUUAUAGGUCUUCUCUGGCGUUUAAUAGUGGGGAUCAUCAUGAUUACGGCUUGGAUAAUCAUACUCAAAAUGGUUAUAGCUUGGAUCUCAAUCCUGCCUAUGUAACAACACAUUCAGGUAACACAAUGAUAACUAAUACAAAUGUUGGAAAUGUGACACUUAAUGGAUUGGGAGCAACAAAUGCUAAUUUUCAGCAAGAUAUUGGUGAACAAAACAUGUUUGAUCCAAGCAACAUCGUUGCGAAUGAUAUUGAAGGAAGGGAUCCAAAUGAGUGGAAAUAUUGGGAUGCAUUUGCCGAUUACAAUCCUAUGGGUGAUCUCUUCCAAAAUUCUACAUCUCCAAGUGCUACCCUACCUAAUGAACAUGGCAGUAAGUUUAUGCUUUUAUUUCACUUCCCUUACUACACUUUAUUUAUUUGAAAUAUUAGUUCGAUAGAAUUAACUUUUCAGAUGGUCACUCAAUUAUCUCAUAAAGUUACUUUCUUCAUAUGCAGAUAGUAAAGACAUUGGGGGUCCAGUUUUCAAGAAUAACAAAUUUCCUGAUGAAUAAUCAACAUGAUGAUUCAGUUCUAUCAGUGACAAAAUUGUUUUCUCAAAUUGAAAUUGCUAUCUUUCAUUGUAAUUUUCUACAAACUAUUUUGUUUUGUAUGAUUUGAAUUGCUUGAACUAUUGGAAAGUGAUCGUAAAACAAGAAUCUAGAACUUUAGAGAGAAAAUAUCUAAGGAAGAAGAAGGCUCUGUUAUUUAUCAAAAAAGUGUAGUUUACAAUGAUAGAAGAACUAUUUAUACAUCACAUUAUUUGUUAGUAACUAACCUUCUGUUUAACCAACAUUCUAAAGGUUGUUAUAACUAACUAAUGGAAAUGACUAGUUUACCCCUAACUAUAACCGUGCUAACUCACUACUUAGCUUUUCAUAUCACAACACUCCCCUUCAAGCUAGGUAGUGCAAAAAUGUUUAGCAUUCCUAGCUUGGAUAUAAGAUGUUCAUGCUGCAGUCUGGAUAGUCCUUUAGUCAUUAUAUCAGCAGGCUGUUCUUUGGUAGGUAUGUAAUUGACUUUGAUUAGCCCUUGCUGCAACCUUUCUCUUAUAAAGUGACAAUCGAUCUCAAUGUGUUUGGUCCUCUCGUGAUACACUGGAUUUGCAGCAAUCUGUAUUGCUGCUUUACUAUCACAAUAUAUCAGAACUGGUAAUUGCAUUUCAACACCUACUUCUUUUAAUAAUCCAAGCAGCCAGACUAGUUCAGACACAGUAGCUGCAAGACUUCUGUAUUCAGCUUCUGCUGAACUUUUUGACACUGUGGUUUGCUUCUUAGCUUUCCAUGACACAAGAGAACUCCCUACUUUGAUCAUGUAUCCAGUUACAGACUUCCUGGUAAGUGGACAAGAUGCCCAGUCUGCAUCACAAAAUGCAGUAACCUUUUGAUCAGAGGAACUGGCUAAUAAUACUCCCUGUCCAGGUUGUCUUUUUAGAUAUUUCACCACUCUUAGUGCAGCAUCCAUAUGUGACUUCUUUGGUUGUUGCAAGAAUUGACUUAAGGUCUGAGUGCUGAAGGAUAUAUCAGGCCUGGUCAUGUUGAGGUAUAAUAAUUUCCCUAUCAACUUCUGAUACAUUGUUACAUCUACCAAGGGAUCUUUCACUUGUCCUUUGUGUAUAUGAUCAUCAUACAACUUAGAUGUUAGUUUGACAUUAAUGUCAAUGGGAGUUCCAGCAGGCCUUGCUGCUGACAAACCAACUUCAGUUAUAAGUUCCAGGGCAUAUUUCCUCUGAUGCAUAAGUAUACCAUCAGCUGACCUGAUGAAUUCAAUUCCUAAGAAAUACUUUAAUUCCCCUAGAUCCUUCAUCUUAAAUGCUUGUUGUAAUGCUUUCUUUGUCUCUUCAAUCAUCUUCAGACUGCUGCCAGUUAUUAACAUAUCAUCCACAUACACUAGUACAAUCACAAUCCCUUCCUCUGAUCUAUUAAUGAACAAAGAGUAGUCAUGUGGACUUUGUUUAAACCCGAGUUUGAUGAGAGCUUCUGUUAGCUUAUGAUUCCAUUGUCUUGGAGCCUGUUUGAGUCCGUAAAGAGACUUUGUCAGUCUACACACCUUCUCCCCUUGACUGACAAAACCCUGAGGUAACUGCAUGUAAAUUUCAUCUUCUAAAUCACCAUGUAAAAAGGCAUUAAAAACAUCCAUCUGAUGAAUGUGCCAUUGUCUAGAGGCAGCCAAAGCCACUAUGGUUCUCACAGUGACCAUCUUAACAACAGGGGAAAAAGUCUCUUGAUAGUCUAUCCCUUCUUGUUGACUGUAGCCCUUAGCAACCAAUCUUGCUUUGAACCUCUUUAUUUCACCAGUAGAUUUGUACUUUACUUUGUAUACCCACCUGCAGCCUAUAGAUUUCUUUCCUAUGGGCAAGUCAGUGAUUACCCAAGUGUUAUUGGUCUCCAAAGCAUGAAUCUCAGUCUGCAUGGCCUCUACCCACCUUUUGUCUUUAAUAGCUUCUGCAUAAGACAAAGGUUCUUGGACAGUUGAAGUAGCAACAAUAUAACAUUUAUAAGAAGGAGACAAAUGAGCAUAGCUCAUGUAGUUGCACAGUGGAUAUUGCACAUCCUUACUGAUAUUCAAUGAGCAAAAUCUUGCAUCCAUUUAGGAGUAUGUGUAGUUCUAGAGGACCUUCUGGUAGGUGCUUGGACUGCAUCAUGUGGUGAGUCACACACAGUGGUAUCAAUAACCUGAGCACUUCCAUCUUGAACCUGUGCUACAUCAGUAACCUGAUCACUCCCAUCUGAAAGUUCCUCAUGUACCUGUUCUACAUCAGGCAUAUUAGAACUUGAAACGUCUUCACUACCGUCUGUAAGAACAACUUCCUCAUCACACCUUAGAGGCAUAUGAGAGAAGUCUUCAUACAGCACACCUGAUCCUUGGACAGUGUCCUCAAACACAGUGUGAGUGUUCAAGCGAUUCUCCUUCUCCUGGGCAAAGGGAAAGACAUCUUCCCUAAAGACAACAUCCCGACUGACAAAGAAGGACCUAUUAGUUAUAUCAAAUAGUACAUACCCCUUCUGAACUUCUGAAUAUCCCAUAUGAACAGCUGAUCUUGACCUGGACAUCAGUUUGUCAUGUUCACAUAGAUUUUUAGCAAAGCAUAAGCAACCUAUUGUUCUUUAAUGAGACAGACCUGGUGAGCAUCUAUACAAUCUCUCAUAAGGAGAUUGAUAAUGGAUCACACUACUUGGUAAUCUAUUGAUUAGAUAUACUGCUGCCAGAACACAGUGCCCCCAAAAUGUCAAAGGAAUUUUAGCCUGAAACCUGAGUGCUCUUGUAACAUCAAGUAUAUGCCUAUGUUUCCUCUCAGCAACACCAUUUUGCUGAGGGGUAUAGGGGCAAGAUCUCUGAUGUAUAAUUCUCAAAUCUUUAAACAUUGUGUUGCAUACUGAGUUAAGAAAUUCAGUUCCAUUGUCAGACCUGACAAUUUUAACAGUCUUACCAAACUGAGUCUUAACAUAUUGCAAGAAAAACUUAAGAGACACAGACACAUCAGACUUAAGUUUGAGUAGAAAAAUCCAGGUCAUUCUUGAAAAAUCACCCACUAUUGUGAGAAAGUACUUGUUACCAUCAAAGGUAGGUGUGUUAUAAGGACACCAUAUGUCACGACCCGGGAAUACCCCCUAGUCGUAACCGGCGUACUCGACCUCGAAGAGGUCUAAUACAAGCCUCUUAGCAUUCAUUCAUCGCAUAGACACUAAAAAAAACCAUAAGGAAUUAAAAACUUUCUUUACAAAGAAGACAUUUAAUUAAAAAUAGCAAGCGGAAGACUUUCUAGACUUUAUACAUGAUGUCUCAAACCAUCUAAUACUUUAGAGUACAAAAUUCGGGACUAAUCCCGUACACAACUUAAACAAUACUAAAANNNNNNNNNNNNNNNNNNNNNNNNNNNNNNNNNNNNNNNNNNNNNNNNNNNNNNNNNNNNNNNNNNNNNNNNNNNNNNNNNNNNNNNNNNNNNNNNNNNNNNNNNNNNNNNNNNNNNNNNNNNNNNNNNNNNNNNNNNNNNNNNNNNNNNNNNNNNNNNNNNNNNNNNNNNNNNNNNNNNNNNNNNNNNNNNNNNNNNNNNNNNNNNNNNNNNNNNNNNNNNNNNNNNNNNNNNNNNNNNNNNNNNNNNNNNNNNNNNNNNNNNNNNNNNNNNNNNNNNNNNNNNNNNNNNNNNNNNNNNNNNNNNNNNNNNNNNNNNNNNNNNNNNNNNNNNNNNNNNNNNNNNNNNNNNNNNNNNNNNNNNNNNNNNNNNNNNNNNNNNNNNNNNNNNNNNNNNNNNNNNNNNNNNNNNNNNNNNNNNNNNNNNNNNNNNNNNNNNNNNNNNNNNNNNNNNNNNNNNNNNNNNNNNNNNNNNNNNNNNNNNNNNNNNNNNNNNNNNNNNNNNNNNNNNNNNNNNNNNNNNNNNNNNNNNNNNNNNNNNNNNNNNNNNNNNNNNNNNNNNNNNNNNNNNNNNNNNNNNNNNNNNNNNNNNNNNNNNNNNNNNNNNNNNNNNNNNNNNNNNNNNNNNNNNNNNNNNNNNNNNNNNNNNNNNNNNNNNNNNNNNNNNNNNNNNNNNNNNNNNNNNNNNNNNNNNNNNNNNNNNNNNNNNNNNNNNNNNNNNNNNNNNNNNNNNNNNNNNNNNNNNNNNNNNNNNNNNNNNNNNNNNNNNNNNNNNNNNNNNNNNNNNNNNNNNNNNNNNNNNNNNNNNNNNNNNNNNNNNNNNNNNNNNNNNNNNNNNNNNNNNNNNNNNNNNNNNNNNNNNNNNNNNNNNNNNNNNNNNNNNNNNNNNNNNNNNNNNNNNNNNNNNNNNNNNNNNNNNNNNNNNNNNNNNNNNNNNNNNNNNNNNNNNNNNNNNNNNNNNNNNNNNNNNNNNNNNNNNNNNNNNNNNNNNNNNNNNNNNNNNNNNNNNNNNNNNNNNNNNNNNNNNNNNNNNNNNNNNNNNNNNNNNNNNNNNNNNNNNNNNNNNNNNNNNNNNNNNNNNNNNNNNNNNNNNNNNNNNNNNNNNNNNNNNNNNNNNNNNNNNNNNNNNNNNNNNNNNNNNNNNNNNNNNNNNNNNNNNNNNNNNNNNNNNNNNNNNNNNNNNNNNNNNNNNNNNNNNNNNNNNNNNNNNNNNNNNNNNNNNNNNNNNNNNNNNNNNNNNNNNNNNNNNNNNNNNNNNNNNNNNNNNNNNNNNNNNNNNNNNNNNNNNNNNNNNNNNNNNUUCAAUUCCCCUAGAUCCUUCAUCUUAAAUGCUUGUUGUAAUGCUUUCUUUGUCUCUUCAAUCAUCUUCAGACUGCUGCCAGUUAUUAACAUAUCAUCCACAUACACUAGUACAAUCACAAUCCCUUCCUCUGAUCUAUUAAUGAACAAAGAGUAGUCAUGUGGACUUUGUUUAAACCCGAGUUUGAUGAGAGCUUCUGUUAGCUUAUGAUUCCAUUGUCUUGGAGCCUGUUUGAGUCCGUAAAGAGACUUUGUCAGUCUACACACCUUCUCCCCUUGACUGACAAAACCCUGAGGUAACUGCAUGUAAAUUUCAUCUUCUAAAUCACCAUGUAAAAAGGCAUUAAAAACAUCCAUCUGAUGAAUGUGCCAUUGUCUAGAGGCAGCCAAAGCCACUAUGGUUCUCACAGUGACCAUCUUAACAACAGGGGAAAAAGUCUCUUGAUAGUCUAUCCCUUCUUGUUGACUGUAGCCCUUAGCAACCAAUCUUGCUUUGAACCUCUUUAUUUCACCAGUAGAUUUGUACUUUACUUUGUAUACCCACCUGCAGCCUAUAGAUUUCUUUCCUAUGGGCAAGUCAGUGAUUACCCAAGUGUUAUUGGUCUCCAGAGCAUGUAUCUCAGUCUGCAUGGCCUCUACCCACCUUUUGUCUUUAAUAGCUUCUGCAUAAGACAAAGGUUCUUGGACAGUUGAAGUAGCAGCAAUAUAACAUUUAUAAGAAGGAGACAAGUGAGCAUAGCUCAUGUAGUUGCACAGUGGAUAUUGCACAUCCUUACUGAUAUUCAAUGAGACAAAAUCUUGCAUCCAUUUAGGAGUAUGUGUAGUUCUAGAGGACCUUCUGGUAGGUGCUUGGACUGCAUCAUGUGGUGAGUCACACACAGUGGUAUCAAUAACCUGAGCACUUCCAUCUUGAACCUGUGCUACAUCAGUAACCUGAUCACUCCCAUAUGAAAGUUCCUCAUGUACCUGUUCUACAUCAGGCAUAUUAGAACUUGAAACGUCUUCACUACCGUCUGUAAGAACAACUUCCUCAUCACACCUUAGAGGCAUAUGAGAGAAGUCUUCAUACAGCACACCUGAUCCUUGGACAGUGUCCUCAAACACAGUGUGAGUGUUCAGGCGAUUCUCCUUCUCCUGGGCAAAGGGAAAGACAUUUUCCCUAAAGACAACAUCCCGACUGACAAAGAAGGACCUGUUGGUUAUAUCAAAUAGUACAUACCCCUUCUGAACUUCUGAAUAUCCCAUAUGAACAGCUGAUCUUGACCUGGACAUCAGUUUAUCAUGUUCACAUAGAUUUUUAGCAAAGCACAAGCAACCUAUUGUUCUUAAAUGAGACAGACCUGGUGAGCAUCCAUACAAUCUCUCAUAAGGAGAUUGAUAAUCGAUCACACUACUUGGUAAUCUAUUGAUCAGAUAUACUGCUGCCAGAACACAGUGCCCCCAAAAUGUCAAAGGAAUUUUAGCCUGAAACCUGAGUGCUCUUGUAACAUCAAGUAUAUGCCUAUGUUUCCUCUCAGCAACACCAUUUUGCUGAGGGGUAUAGGGGCAAGAUCUCUGAUGUAUAAUUCUCAAAUCUUUAAACAUUGUGUUGCAUACUGAGUUAAGAAAUUCAGUUCCAUUGUCAGACCUGACCAUUUUAACAGUCUUACCAAACUGAGUCUUAACAUAUUGCAAGAACAACUUAAGAGACACAGACACAUCAGACUUAAGUUUGAGUAGAAAAAUCCAGGUCAUUCUUGAAAAAUCAUCCACUAUUGUGAGAAAGUACUUGUUACCAUCAAAGGUAGGUGUGUUAUAAGGACCCCAUACAUCAACAUAUAUCAAGUCAAAACAAGCAUUACUUUUAAUACUACUUGAAUGAAAAGGUAAUCUUGUCUGCUUAGCACAAGGACAAACUGUGCAUUUAGAAACCUUACACAUACUGUCUUUAUUCAUAUCAAACAGUCUAGCAAGUACGAUAGAAGAAACAUGUCCUAAUCUUUGAUGCCACACUUCUAUACUGGAGAGCACUCCAGGAACAACACAAACAGACUUCUUCACUUCACUUUCAGGUCCAUGUGUAAACUGGCUUAACAACAAAUACAAUCCUCCUUCCUCUUUACCAACCUCCUUCACCUUUCCAGCGUAAAGUUCCUGGAAAACACAAAAAUGAGGAAAAAAGGUGACUGAGCAACCUAGUUCCUUUGUGAUUUUACUUACAGACAACAAAUUAUGUUGAAAGUCUGGCAGAUGAAACACAUUUGUAAUGACACUGUGAGCUGACACAUCACAAGUACCCACAUGAGUCACUUUAGUAGUAUCACCAUUUGGAAGAUAAACAAUUUUAGGAGUAUCAAGUUUUGUCACAGAAUUCUUGGACAACAUUUCCAAGUUAGACACCAUAUGAUUUGUAGCACCCGUAUCUAUAAUCCACACCUUAUUAUUUGCAGAGACAAAGAAUGCUUUACCUGCAGUAUUCACUGCACUGCAAUCAGGUAUAGCUUGCUCUGGUUUUUGCUGCUGAAACAUUCUGAGAAUGUGAUCAUACUGAUCUUUUGUGAAAGUGCACCCCUAAAGUAGUUGCUUGACAUCUUUUUCAGCUUGACUGAACUGCAGAUUAGCUUUAGUAUUCUCAGCUAUAUAUUCACCACCAAAAUUAUGAGAGUGAGAACUUUCAACUUUCUUUCCCCACUCAGGAACCUGGACAUUUGUGUUGGAACCAUAAGAGAAAUGAGCCUGAGCUGCUGAAGGUUGACUGUACUGUCCAGAUUCACUUCCCUGACUCUUUCUUUUAGACUUGAAGUCAGGUGGAUAUCCUACAAUUUUGUAGCAAAACUCUUUGUUGUGUCUUUUACAUUUACAGAAAUCACAAACUAGCAGAGAGUUCUUCUUGAACCUUUGACUCACCCCUGAGCUACUACCAGCUUUGGAAUAUAAGGCAGCAGAUUCCAUAUUCAUAGCACUCAGUCCCAAACUACUACUGGAUGUAUGAACUACUGCUUUUUGACUCUCAUCUCCCACAAUCAUAGUAUAUGCAUGAUUAAUGGAUGGUAAAGGGUUCAUCAUAAGAAUUUGGCUCCUAGCUUGGUGAUAUGAUUCAUUCAAUCCCAUUAAGAAUUGAUAUAAUUUCUGCCUAUUCAUAUGUUCCACAAAACCUUUCGAUUUUUCACAAUUACAACCAGGAGAUGGUACCAACACCUCAAACUCAUCCCAUAAGGUCUUAAGUCUGGUGAAAUACACAGAUACAGAAGCAGUACCCUGUUGUAAUGAAACUAUAUCUUUGUGCAAACUGUAUGUCCUAGAUCCAUAUUGUAGUGAAACUAUAUCUUUGUGCAAACUGUAUGUCCUAGAUCCAUCCACUCUAUCGAAUCUUUCCUUCAGGUCAUUCCACACAUUUAAAGCAGUUGAAGCAAAAGCAAUACCACUCAACAAACUUUUAGAAACAGAAUUCAUUAGCCAGGAUAACACUAUAGCAUUAACUCGUUCCCAAUGUCCCCAUAGUUCCUCACCAUAUACUUCUCUCCUGCAACUCUCAUUAAUCAGCCCUAACUUAUUUCUUCCUAACAAAGCUAGCUGAAUCGAUCUACUCCACAACAUAUAAUUUUCAAUGCCAAGCAAUUGAAAAGAAAUCAGGUUGAUCCCACUGAUAUCAGUAGGACUCAAAAAUAGAGGAUGAUUAUAGUCGAUACCUUGAUUUGAAGAAGAACUACCAUUGUUAUGAGCAGAUGUACCAACAUUUUGACCAAUAUUGAGAUUCUGAGCUAGAUCCACUGCUACAUUAUCAGAAGCCAUUGAUCAAACUCUGAUUCAACACCUGACUGGAACUGCUUUGACAAAUCUCUUUUCGCGGAAGCAAAAAAUGCAAAUUUCAAAUUGAAAUCUGCCGCUGAAGGAAAUCAGCAACAAUGAAUCGAUGGAUCUACAAUGAUCCUUUGAUUCUAGAUCCAACUCGUCUUCACCAGUAGCUACUGGGAAGAAAGCUCUGAUACCAUGAUCGUAAAAGAAGAAUCUAGAACUUUAGAGAGAAAAUAUCUAAGGAAGAAGAAGGCUCUGUUAUUUAUCAAAAAAGUGUAGUUUACAAUGAUAGAAGAACUAUUUAUACAUCACAUUAUUUGUUAGUAACUAACCUUCUGUUUAACCAACAUUCUAAAGGUUGUUAUAACUAACUAAUGGAAAUGACUAGUUUACCCCUAACUAUAACCGUGCUAACUCACUACUGAGCUUUUCAUAUCACAACAGAAAGUGAAAGGAAUGCUCUCGUAAUAUUUGUAUCUUAACUUAUCGAAUGCAUUUAUGUAUCUUCCUGUAUUGCAAAAGCUAUAAUUGGGAAAAUAUUUUCAUCCUUUGAUGAGAAAUUUCUUAACCUUUACUCAUUUCUUCGUUUCCUUAUUAUGUAUUGACUGUUUAAGAUUGUAGUAUAUUAUUACAUUCUUAAAUCUUGUUUAUGAAUUUUUUUUAAUGAUUAAUGUUUGGAUUAGAUCUCUUGUUUUGCCUAUGUAUUGAAUGAUUUUUACUUUUAAUGAACUGAGUCAAAUUGUUUCUUUAAUUAUUCUUGUAUUUUAAUAUUUCUAAAAGGAGUGACUAAUUCUAGGACUUGCUCAGUUACUUUGAUUUGAGCUCGAGAGAGUGAAAAAAGAAUAAGAAGAGAGAUUGGAAAAGAUUAAUUAACAAAAGUUGUGGUACUAAUUGGGGUAUUGAUUAACAAAUCCUUACUUGAUCGCAUAUGUGUUGUUCUGUGUGAAAUUUGCCUCUGACUUAUAGUUGACUAAAUUAUAUUGCAUAUGUUUGUGUACAUUUUCUCACUUGGAAGAGUGGAUUUGGAUGUUAUUAACCAUCAUCAUCGUUUAGGUAGAGAAAGAAAAUAACUAAUAGUUGAAUGUUUGAAUACAUAAAUGAUCAACUAAUAUGAGACGGAAAGAGUAGCGUAAAUGUAAGAUUCACUUCUCACCAAGAAUCCUCCUUUAUUUCCCUUUUAGAGGUUAAUAAUUAUUAUGUAUCCCUAGAAUAAUUUAUUGAAAUAGUAGAUUUGAAAGAAAGCAAUUAUUCUCUUCUUCCUAUGCGGGACUUUUUGAACAAAACUAAUUUGACAAAAACCACAAUUUUAUUUAUUUUUAGGUGGGAUUAUAUCAAUAAGGAACUAUGCUUAUGAUAUUAAUCUAAGACCAUUAAUUGUUACUUGAACACAUGGAUUCAUCAUCUCAACAAUUGAAACAAUUAAUACUUCUGUGAACCUCUUUUUAUUUCGAGUGAUGUGUCAGAAUCUUUAGCCAACUAUUAUGCGUAAGGACGGCUUAAAAUGGACUGAUGAUCUUUGUGUCAAAUUCACAGAAGUUGUGGAACAACUUGGUGACGGAAGUAAGUUUACUCACUAAUAUAUAUAUAUAAGUAAGAAUUUACACUUAUAGCUAACGUCAAUCUGUUUGGAAUUAGGGAGUAGUAAUUAUUGUAUUUAUAUAUAUCUCAGCUUGAUAAAGGAAUACUGAAAUAUUGAUUAAAUUAAUUUUACAUUCUAAUAAAACAUGUAGGAUGUUUUCCGUCAGCUAUCCGCGAAAUGAUGAAUAUGCCAAGUCUUACCAUUAAGCAAAUUUCAAGUCGUUCCACCAGUUUAUACCAAUAACAUUUUUGGUAGUUCAACUCAGCAGCAGCUCCAUCACCCACAACUUCAGGUUCAACCCAACUAUCUCAACACAUUUUUGUCAGCCCAAAAUGAUGUUGGUAGUGGACAACAACAACGCGGCCCGUUAUUUGGAACAAUGGGUCUAGUAAGUACAUUUAUUGGGAGCACUAAUUAUAGGUCUUUGUUGGAGUUUAAUAGUGGAAAUCAUCAUGAUUACGGUUUUUAUCAUCAUACUCAAAAUGGUUAUAGCUUAGAUCUCAAUGCUGCCCAUGUAACAACAUAUUCAGGUAGCGCAAUGAUAACUAAUACAGAUGUUGGAAAUGUGACACUUAAUGGAUUGGGAGCAACAAAUGCUAAUUUUCAGCAAGAUAUUGGUGAACAAAACAUGUUUGAUCCAAGCAACAUCGUCGCGGCAUCAGAUGCAAAUGCUAUUGAAGGAAGUGAUCCAAAUGAGUGGCAAUAUUGGGAUGCAUUUGUCAAUUACAAUUCUAUGGAUGAUAUCAGCUUCCAAAAUUCUACAUCUCCAAGUGCUACCCUACCUAAUGAACAUGGCAGUAAGUUUUUGCUUCUAUCUCACUUCCCUUACUGGUUCGAUGGAGUUGACUUCUGAGACGGUCACUUAAUUAUCUCAUAAAGUCACUUUCUACAUAUGCAGUUGGUAGGGACACCGAGGGUCCAGAUUUCAACAAUAGCAAAUUUCCUGAUGAAUAAUCAACAUGGUCGAUAAUCCAGUUCUAUCUAUCAGUUAUAAAGUUGUUUUCUCAAGUUGAAAUUGCUAUCUUUAGUUUUAAUUUUGUAGAGACUAUUUUGUUUCGUAUGACUUAUAUUACUUGAACUUAUGGAAAGUGAAAAGAAUGUAUUUGAAAUACUCAUUUGAAAUUGAACUUGACAAUGUUUUAGCUCUCAUAAAUUCUGCCUUGCUGCAAUCUUGUCUAACUUAGCUUUCCGCUUAUCUUCUUUGUCUUCCGCUUCUCCAUUAAUAGAGGUGUUACAAGGUGUGUAAGAUUAAUCCUUGUGAGUAUCGCAGUCUGUAUUCACUAGUUGUUUGAAGUUAUUGGAGUUUUGAGAAAACUACAGGUCAUGGUUUUUUCCUCCCUUGAGCAAAAAGUUUUCCAUGUUAACAUCUGUGUUCUUACUUUAAGCAUUUACAUUACUUCUUGUUAUCAGUAUAGUCAAGUGGUUAGAACAAUAGAAGACAUGUCACUAAACAACAACAUAGGAAAAAACAGACUCUGCUAAGUGAUCGAUCCGCGUGUGAUAGUUGAUGAGUUGAACUUGGAUAUGUAUACAAAUUAGUAGUUGAUGAGUUCCCAAACAUCCGCGCAUAAACAAUUUCCCCUGUUGACAUACCACCGGGGCUUAGCAUAGGUUCUGUCAUAUAAGGUUGAUAUGUUGGAGACUGUAGUGAAUGAUUUCGAUGGUGAAGUUGCUGUGAUGGAAUUGAAUCAGUAGUUCCUCUUAGUCCGUGACUCCUACAUCUCGGACUAGGAGGUCUUUGUGGUAUGACUAUACCAAAAUUCGGGGCAUUAAUUUCAGAUGUUUUUGUAGCUUGACCGCGAGCAUAGAGUGGAAUCAAUGUU